UGCGAAAAAAGUUUUCAACCGUGUUAUCCUAUUGAGUCAAUUUUGAAUAUUUUAGUCAUACGAUUAAAUGAUAAUAUUUAAUGAGUUACUAUAACCUUUGGUUUGAUUAGGACGUUAUAUGUUGAGAGAUUUUUUUUUUUUUUUGAGAGAGAUAGGUAGCACGCUACCCGUUUCGUUUAUUUCAUUUAGAAAUAAACUUAGCUGAAAAUGUGAAUCAACUAGGAUUCGAACUUGGGACUNAGAACAAGAAUCACUAGCCUCUCCAUUGGCACACUCUUAUGGGCUCUCUUCCUUCUCUCCCAUCUGCAAAAUAAAACACUAAAAUGAAUAACAAUGCACAAUGUAAUCAAAUUUUUUUAUAGUGAAAGAGAGAACAAUAAUUUGUUAUGCGAUUGUGUGAUGUCUAGUAGGGCUAUUAGAAGAAGCAUUGUAUUGCGUCUUUCUAAUAAUGUAUAUUUAUGGACCCGUUGUCUAUUAAAUCGAUCAUUUGGGUAAAUAUUAUAUAAGAGCCAAUUCUAAGUCAAUUCUAAACCCUUUGAUCUUAUGAGGUAGUGAGUUCAAUUUUCAUCUUUAAUAUUUAAAAGGCAUGCGCUUGAGCGGGAAUGUUAGUUAUUAGUUAUAUGCCUAAAAGCCAAUCUGAUAAUACUAAUAUAAGGGUAUUUAUGUAUAAUUAUUUAUAAUUCAUAAUAUAAAGGCUGAUAUUAUAUUCAUAUCUAUUAACUGGCAAUAUAAUAUUGAUGUUAAUCGUCCAUACGGUCCUUGUUUGCGAAGACGUAGAAAUAUAUUUUUUUGUACAAGAUUCUUUAAAUGCCCUUAGCCAAAAGGAUAUUAUAUGAAUGAUAAUAUACCGGAUAGGUCAGUAUAUGCUAUAUUUCUAUUUUAAGUGACGAAUCUCGAAUCGCUAGUGUAGGGACACUAGAGCAAGCAUACAUGUGCUUGUUAGAGAACAAGUAUACUAAGCAUGAUCAUUUAGUUGAGUACUCGUAAGGUUCUAUACUCGCCAAUGACUAGCUCAUUGCUAUAGUAGUGUGAAAUACUCCUCAAAUCUUAGGUAUCAUGGUUGCUUCACGUUUAGAUUACUACUGUUUGACAAUAUUAAUACUUAGAUUCUAGUCAUGAGUCUAUGUUCGAUAUUGAUUUGCUGUAGUGGUUUAUACAAGAAGGCGUGUGAAUACUCAAUAAGGAAUCCAACAUUCUCAAUAAUGAGGGAAAACGUCCUACAUAGUUUAUUGAACUCGACUCGAAAAAUCCGUAGCCAGGGUACAUAGUAUGCAAAAAAAGUCAAUAAUGAGGAAGAACGUCCUACACAGUUUAUUCAUAGCCAAGGUACAUAACAUGCGAAAAAAGUUUUCAAACCUUUUAUCCUAUUGAGUCAAUUUUGAAUAUUUUAGUCAUAUGGUUAAAUGAUAAUAUUUAAUGAGUUACUAUAACCUUGGUUCGAUCAGGACAUUAUAUGUUGAGAGAAAUUAAUCACACGAUCACUAUAAGCAAAAGAGUUUAUUCUUUAUCACUUUUCUAGAUUGUUCAUUGUUGUGAUAUAUUACUAGGUAUCACUCAUGGACAGUAAGAAAAUAUAAUUUUAAAUUGUUCUUAUUUAUUAAUUAGAAGAGUUCUAAUUCAAUAUUAAAAAUGUUGAUAUUAAGUUUCACUGCCGAAUGGUAAUAAAGAUAUGCGGUCACAUAUAAUAGAAAUUUUGUACGGUUGUUCACUUAAGGCUGCGUUUGGUUAAGAGAACUAAAUUUUGAAGAACAACUUUUAUUGUUCUCGAGAACAUGGGAUAUUCCGGUACAAGAUAGAACAAUUGUAAAUUUGUGUUUGGAUGCAUUCGAGGAUAUUCUAGAGGAUAUCCUUAAUAGCGUUUGGAUAAAAAGUCUAGAACAACGUCUAAAUAUAUUUUUAAAANUUUAUAUUAUAUAAUAAAAUUUAAGUAUAAUAUAUUAUCAUAAAAAUAAUAUUUAUACUAAUAUAUUUAUUUAUUAAAUUUGAGCAUUCAUUUAAACAAUUAAAAGGCCAGAAAAAAAAAAAGGGGCCAAAAUCUCUUGUUCCAGCUUGUUCUCCCUUUUAGGGAGAACAAGCUUAACGGGUUGUUUCCGGCUUAACGGGUUGUUCCGGAAACAACCUGAUUGUUCCAAAAAGCAUUGUGUUUGGAGGGAUAUCCCGCCUUGUUCUGGGAUAUCCCUCCAACCAAACGCAGCCUAAAAAAAUUUAGUGUGAGUGAUAAAAAUGAAAGGGAGCUGGUCAAUUAAAUUAAAUAUAAUUAUUCAGCUCAGCUGUGACUAACAUUUUUAAUUAGAUUAUGACUUCAGAAUUAGUUUGAGAAUUAUACACGAGAUUAAAUUCUUUAAUCUAGAUGACAUUAAAUCAUACUACAACAAAAGCGGUGUAUAGCGACACUUUUAAAUAUCGGUAUAGGUAAAUGCUGCUGGCUAAAUUAUCGACAUUUUUUAAAAGUGUUGCUAUAUGUUGGGUUGCUAUAUGUAGGGCCGCCUUGAUAUUUAGCAUCCACUCCUCCAGUGACCUGUGGUGGAAAGACACGUGGCGAUCGUAGCCCUUUACGGUCACUGUGAGAUUCUCGCGGCCUAACUCCAGCCGCCGAAACCCUACCUCGUCGGUUGCGGCGGCGAAGAGGAGAAGGGGAGAUAGUGAUCAAAUUUUUUUUUUCUUUAUAUUUGUAAUUGAGCAGAGUAGGCUGGGUGGGGUUGGUUGAGUAGAAAAACUUUUUAUUUUUGAUUGGAUUUGGCUUUACAUUUAGGCUUUAUUAGAUUUUUUAAAGAAAUUUUGGCAUAAAUAUUAAGACACUUACACAAAAGUAUCCCAAAAAUAUGUUUCUAUAAUCUAAUUCUGUUGUAGUGAUAUAUAAGAUAUUUAAAUGAGAUUUAAAUAUUAAUGAAAUAAUUUUAUUGGAUAAGAUUAAAAUUAGAUAAAAUCUAACUACAAAUAAUUAAAGAGAUUAAUGUUUAUCACUAAUUGAGCUAGCUAAUAAUUAAAUAUUUACACCGACCGUCCCUAGAAUAAGUGACAAAGGGCUUGGUGGUUAGUACCCGAGUUCCCAAGUUUGAAUCCUAGUUGAUUUACAUUUCCAGCUAAGUUUAUUUCGAAAUGAAAUAAAUGAGGCAAAUAGCAUGCUACGUACCUAUCUCUCAAAUAUAUAUAUAUAUAUAUAUAUAUAUAUAUAUAUAUAUAUAUAUAUAUAUAUAUAGNNNNNNNNNNNNNNNNNNNNNNNNNNNNNNNNNNNNNNNNNNNNNNNNNNNNNNNNNNNNNNNNNNNNNNNNNNNNNNNNNNNNNNNNNNNNNNNNNNNNNNNNNNNNNNNNNNNNNNNNNNNNNNNNNNNNNNNNNNNNNNNNNNNNNNNNNNNNNNNNNNNNNNNNNNNNNNNNNNNNNNNNNNNNNNNNNNNNNNNNNNNNNNNNNNNNNNNNNNNNNNNNNAAUAUCUUACACGACAAAAUUUUAACUUGAUUUGAUAAUUCUAUAUACUUAAUUAUAAAACUUUAUUGGGAAGAGAAGAUCUUAUUAAAUAAAAUUUUACUAAAUAGGAUUCUACGUAUAUAGACACAUACAUAUACCUACUUAUGGGAGAUAGAUAAUAAUUAAAUAUUCACAAUAUCUUACACGACAAAAUUUUAACUUGAUUUGAUAAUUCUAUAUACUUAAUUAUAAAACUUUAUUGGGAAGAGAAGAUCUUAUUAAAUAAAAUUUUACUAAAUAGGAUUCUACGUAUAUAGACACAUACAUAUACCUACUUAUGGGAGAUAGAUAAUAAUUAAAUAUUCACAAUAUCUUACACGACAAAAUUUUAACGUGAUUUGAUAAUUCUAUAUACUUAAUUAUAAAACUUUAUUUGGAAGAGAAGAUCUUAUUAAAUAAAUUUUACUAAAUAGGAUUCUACGUAUAUAGACACGUAUAUAUACCUACAUAUGGGAGCUUAGUUUAAAAGAAUAAAUAAAUAAAUAAAAGUUGAGCUGUACGGGAUGAAGUGCCAUAUGGAUUGGGGUGGAGCUCUACGUAAGGUGUGUCUUGUAUCUUAAUUAUUAAUAAUUAGCUCUACGUAAGGUGUGUCUUAAUUAAUUAGAUGCUUAUUAUGAUUUUGGUUUUUGACGUAUAUACAUAUAUAAGACCAAUUUCUCUUCGAAUUUGUGUGUGUGUGUGUGUGUGUGUGUGUGUGUGUGUGUGUGUUUAUUUCUUCUAUCAAUUAGCACCGUUCAGAUUAUCCGCCACUCAUUCGCUUCAUGACACGAUAUACCGAUUCCGUAUGGAUACGUGUAAAGGCCGAUUGAGCACAUGCACAGCUACGUUAGAACUCCAAAAUAAUGACCAAAGCAUAUACUACCGGCUGUACUAUAGAUCAAAAAAUUUUAUAUGGUACACGGUAAGAUUUUUAAAUAUAAAGAGUUUUGUUUAGAUUAAAUUUUGUAUAGUAGAAUGAGAAUGAUUCGCUGGUACUAGACUGAUUUUUUAAUUUUCGGCUUUCAUAUGUGAUAUAUAUAUUUGGCUUCUAACCAAUUUUAAAAUACAAAAUUAUCUUUCUACCAUAUUUUUUUUGCCAUUAAUUUCUUACAUUAAUAUAUUAGUUCCUAGAGGAGAUCAACUUUUUAGGUAACACUCCUAACAAACUUUUGGACCUUAAAAUCACAUUUCUAUUUUUGUCGCUAUAGCAGAAGCUUCAAACUAUUUUAGAUGCCAAAUGCUCCAGUACAGGUAACUAACUAUAAGGGCGCGUUUGGUUCGAGUUAUGUAAUAUUACAGAGCAUUUCGAUAUAUUCAGGUAUCUUAGAUUUCUAAAUGAGAUUACUAUUGAUGUUGUAUAAGCGCGUUUAGUUUAAUACAGUAAUCUAAUGCUGGAUUGCAGUGUUUAUAGUACUAUUAUGUUUGGUUCUGUUUAUAAAAUUGAGUAAUUUAGAGAAUAAAGUAAAAUCUAUUCCAAAAUUGCCCUUAGCCAUAUUUCGCCAAUCUUUUUUUUUUAGUGUUUACAAAUAAUAUUUUUUUACUAAAUUUUAUUUUAAAUAAUUUAAUUUUUUAAAUUUAAAUUUUAAAUUUUAAAUUUGAACAAAAAUAAAAAUUUAUUAUUUUAAUUUAAAAUAUAAAUAUGAAAUUUAUAAAUUUAAAAUCUAAAAUAUAAAUAUAAAAUUAAAAAUCUAAAUUUAAAAUUUAGAAUUUAAACUACAAAUUUGAAAUUUGAAAUUUGAAAUUUAAAAUUUAAAAUUUGAAAUUUAAAAAUUAAAAAUUAAAAUUUGAAAAAUAAUAAUUAAAAUUCAAAAUUUAAAAGUUGACCGUUCAAAAUUUUAAAUUAAUUUUUUUAAAAUGACGUAUUGAAAGGGUUUCGGGAGUUAGAGGGGUAAAAUUGUCAUUUUAUAUAUUAUGCAGUAUUACUGGCUUUCAGUAAUCCAAGAUACACACCCCUCUCUCGAUAAUAUUUUUAGUGUAAUCCUGCAUCUUUGUAAUGCUACAUUAAUGACUCGACUACAUACCAAAUGAACCAAACACGAUAAUUCUGACAGGAUUGCCUGUAAUCUUGCCAGGAUAACUCGAACCAAACGCACACAGAAUUAUCUAUAAUCCUGCCAGGAUAAUCCGAACCAAACGCAUCCUAAACGAAAGCAUAAGCGAAAGCGGGGCCAAACAUACCAUUUAAUUUAUAGCAAGAAAAAAAGAAAUAUAAAGUUAACAAGCUGCAUCAAAGUUAGAGAGAGGUUGAGGAAAUCAAACCAAGUGGUGGUAACUUGACAUGGAUGAUGACUUACUGCUUAAUGACAACACAAACUUCUUAGGGUGAGGAACUGAGAAUGCAAAGUUGGAGAGCAUGUCCAAAGGAUGAGUAAUAAGAAGAAGAAGAUGAUGAUGAUGAUGAUAAAAAUAAGGAGAGAAGCAAAAUAUUGGGAACUAUUAAUAUUACUGGAUCUUGGUGUUAUCUUAAAAAUUAUUAUAUUGAGGAGAUUUGGUACCUAUCUUUUUCUUGUUUGUUUUCUUGUUUUUUUCUCUUUGGUUAAUGCUGAGUGGUGGUACUGGUACAUACAUGUCAAUUUGAGAUUGAGCCACAGUGAUCAUUUAGCAAGGGAAAAACCCUGGUACAAGUAAAGGUACCAUUAAGCAAGUGUUCUCAGCAAAAAGAACCAAAAAACAAAAAAAAAAUUGUAAAAAAUGGUGCCAUUAGGGAGUUCCCUCUCAUUGUUCAAAGCAUGCGUUCUCACCCCCACAAAAGAAAAAAAAAAAAAAACAAAACAAAACAAAACCAAAAGGUUCAUUGAGCAAGUUCUCCAAUGAGAGUAAAUUGGCCUUGUUCACACUCAUUUUGGGGACGCUGAAAUGUGAGCGAAUCAACACAAAACACGUGGCGUGAUAUCUGGAGAAAGCUACAGUUGUUGACUUGUUGUUGAUUUGAUUUAGGAAAUAUAAAAGGAGAGAAAAAAAAAAAAUCAGAAUCUGUAAUCUUAGCAGUAGGCGAAACUUAGCUUUGAAAUAGCGAUAACAUAAAAACCAUCGUGCGAAAAGAGCUACCACCUCGAUGGCCUUCGAUGACGUCUAUGUGAUAUAAUUGUUAUACUCUAAAAAUUUAAACUGUGGCCUCGAGACUUUUUACAAGAUCCAUAACGUAAAUUUAAAUUAAAUAGAAGGAAAUUAAUUAUGCUAGAGAUCUGACAUCUGACAUAACUUGAACUCAGAACCUCCUGCUUUGAUACGAUGCGAAACAACCGUUGUACCUUAAAAAUUUAAACGGUUAAAAAACGGUAUUUAUAUAAUUUUAUAUUUAACAGCCUUACCGGAGAACUCACAUCCACGCUGUUGUUUGCUCCAAAAACCGCCUCCAUCUGGAUCAACAGUCAAGACUGAAAGGGCCAAAUGCAUAUUGGUUUGGUUAGUAUCUAGAGAAAUGAUUCGGUACUUUUUUUAAAAAAAAAUAAAAAAAAUCUUAACCGUUGAUUAAUAAAGGGUAAAAAUGUAAUUUUAAUACUUAGCAGGUAAAAAAAUUAUUUUAUUCAAGGUUAGUUUGGUAAUUAAACAAUACAACAUUUAAAGAAACUUUCAAUUGAGGUCCUAAAUUUACGCACUAAUUAGCACUAAUUUAGGAAAUUAAUUGAUUAACCAAAUUUAUGCAAUUAUUAGGCAUUAAUUUAGACAUCUACUUUAAAUGUUUUAGUGUUUCUAAAAUUAUGCAUUAAUUUAAAUUAUAGAAAUUUUAGAAAUAGUUUUAUUUCUAAAUACGAUGAAUUUAAAUUUUAAAAAUUAAGUACUUAAAAUUUAAAAGUGAAAUUUAAAUUAGAGGAAUUUCAUAUUAUCUCUAUUCGGAAGUUUAAAAUAAUGUUUUAGAAACAAUUAUCUCUAUUCCGAAUAGAGAUAAUAGUUUUAAAUUAGUGUUUCUAGUUAAAAUAAAAAAAAUUUGACAAAUAAAGAGAAAACACUAAAACACUAAGUUAAUGUUUCUAGUCAACAUAUUUAAUAUGUUUNNNNNNNNNNNNNNNNNNNNNNNNNCGGCCUAGCGGAUCCAUCUUUUUAAUCAUUAGUUAGUUAUGGAUUCACAGAUACAUAUAUAUUAUAUAUCUAUAUUUGCAUAAAAUCUUAAUCUUAUCAAGAUGUUUUCUUCUCUUCAAUAAAAUUAAGUAACUCUCAAAAUACUCAUACAUUAUCCAAGACUAGAAUCACAAUUCCAAGUAAAAGAUCUUAUCUCUAUAUAGAUAUAUUUCACAUAUUUUCAAUUAGAUUCUCUAAUUCCUAAUUAGAGAUAAUAUCACUCCUCACAUAUUUAAUUAGAUCUCUAUCAUCUUUUUAAUCUUAUUUUCAAUAAGGUUACUUUACUAAUAAAUUAAUUCCUCACUCUUAAAUACACUUCCAUGAUCUAAAUAUCCGGUAUCCCUCAACACUCUCAUUAGAGUGGGAUAAAUUUAACUUUCGAGGCCGCUCAAGUGUCAGAACUGAUACUGAGAUCCUAAUCUGACAUCUGGGAACUCACUUACAGUUGAAUACCGACAGCGAAUGAAUUAACAUCCUAAUUUCACACUGAUCAAGCGCCAGCUUCUAUUUUCACUCAGCUUUGACACUAAACUCUCAUGUACUGAAAUGACUCGUCAUCCAAACGGAUUCCCAGGUGCACGACAAUUCUAUGUGUGUCGACCGCAUAGGUUAUACCAUCGGCAGUGGAAUCAACAUAAACUGUUUGAUAUUUUAAUUAUAACUCUUCUAAUCGACAAUCCAAACAAUUCAAUUCAGUUAUCUCAUAGUGUCUGCUCGGCCGUCCCCGUAGUGACCCGACUGUGCUGUAUAGAAUGGAAUUCUAAAUUAAUUAAGGUGGUCAUGCACCUUAAUUAAUUGGAUCCAUGAUAGCUAUUGAUCUAUAUACAUAUAGAAAUCAAUCUCUCUCCGAUCUCUCUUCUGCGCGCGUGUUUCUUUCCGAUCAACUUCUCUAUUCUUCAUCGACUGAAAGAUCAUGAAGUGAUUGCUAGCACCGUCCAGAUGGUCCGUGACUCAUCCGGUUCGUGAGACGAAGAUAGAUCGGGUAUGCGCCGAUUCCGUGUGGAUACGCGUAGAGGCCGGGCAUGUGCACGGCUAAUCGGAAUCUCUGUUCGUCAUAUUCAGUUUCAACCGUACAGUAGAUCAAGAGACCUUAACUGGUCCACGGUAAGAUUUCUAAACAUAAAGAGUUUUUUGUUUAGAUUAAUUUUUUGCAUAGUAACAUGAGAAUGAUCCGCCGGCAACGGUUUGAUUUAUUGGUUUUCGGUUUUCAUAUGUGAUAUGUAUUUAGCUUCCGAAAAAUUUUAAAAGUGCAAAAUUAUUUUCCGCUGCGUUUUUCUGAUGUGCCGGUUAUUUUCUAACACCUCGAUGGCCUUCGAUGACGUCUAUGUGAAACAAUCGUUAUACUCUAAAAAUUUAAAUUGAACUAAAAUAGUUUUAGAAUGAAUGACUAUUUGAAAAAUGGAAUGUCACAGCUAGUAUCAGAGCAAAUCACCAGUCGGAAAUGUAAGAUGAGUCUUGAUUGAGUAAGGAUUAUACAACGGGUAGAGCGUGACUCUCAACUAAUUACUACUGUGGGUGGAACGCGACUCUCCACAAGAUCGGCUAAAGACUAACGAGACGAGUCUCACAUCUCGUCUCGCAUCACCUGAUGUCGAAUUUGAAAUAGUUAUAUAUAUAAAAUAUAAUAUGACUAAAUCUCUUAACCCGAUUGUAAUAUUUUGGAUAAUGGUUAGAUCCAAAAAAUUAAGAAAGUUAAGCGUAAUAGGACUAAAGUAGUUUUAGAAUGGAUGAUCUCCUGAAAAAUGCCGUCACAUUAUGGCUCAUUUGAAUUUAGAAAAUAAAGAUCGAAACUAUAUAUUUAGCAAAAUUAUUUGAUCUCCGUAGAAAAACUCUACUAUUAUGAACAAAUAAUAUAGAAAUUAGUAUAUAUUAUCAACAAAAAAAAUAUAAUAUAGUGUAAAAAGCUAACAUGUUCAUGGAAUUACGUAUGCACUAUUUUACUAAUAUGGUAAUGUUUAGUAUUUUAGUUAGACAGUUAUUGCAAUUUGUAAUAACAAUAAUUUAAUUUGUAGAUAGAAUAAUAAUUGCAUUCUUUUAGAAGGUUAAAGUGUGUAGCAUUUAUCGAAAUUAUNAAAAAUUCUCAGAUCGAACUAGAAAAAAAUUAACUAACAAAUUAAAUCACAAAAUAAUCUAAAUUUUAUUCUUAAAUUAUAAAAGAAAAGAUAGAGAGAGAAAAAGGAAAAAAAAAUAGAAAAUAAAAAAUUUGAAAACAUAGUAGAUGUAAAAUGACUAAAUUGCUCAUGUAUUAAAAGACAAAAAUACCUUUUUUUGAGGUACGUGGUAACCGGUACCUCUCCCAAAGUAACCUGCUAUUGCAGGUGACCAUUUUAAAAAAAUUAAAUCUGAGUCGUUGAAUAUGCGUGAAUGAACGGUAAUAAAACAAAAAAAGUAUAGAAGUAUUACUCUAGUAUCUAACAGUAUUGGUUCGGCGCUGAACCCGCUUUAGGUUAAAACAGAAUCCGGUCGGGUCAUUUCUUUAUCUGCGUUUCCUCCGCCAACAGAUCUACUUUAUACUUAUUAAAUUAUGUAUGAUGAUUCUAUAAUUUAGAAUAGUCCUAUAUAUAAGAUAUAGUAAGGUUAAAACUCUUCAUUGAACUAAAAUAGUUUUAGAAUGGAUGACUAUUUGAAAAAUGGGACGUCACAGCUAGUAUCAGAGCGAAUCACCAGUCGAAAAUGUAAGAUGAGUCUUGAUUGAGUCAGAAUUAUACAGCGGGUAGAGCGUGACUCUCCAACUAAUUACUGUUGUGGGUGGAACGCGACUCUCCACAAGGUCUGCUAAAGACUAACGAGACGAGUCUCACAUCUCGUCUCGCAUCACCUAAUGUCGAAUUUGAAAUAGUUUUAUAUAUAAAAUAAAAUAUGACUAAAUCUCUUAAUCCGAUUGUAAUAUUUUGGAUAAUGAUUAGAUCCAAAAAGUUAAGAAAGUUAAGCGUAAUAGGACUAAAGUAAUUUUAAAAUGGAUGAUCUCCUGAAAAGUGUGCCGUCACAUUAUGGCUCAUUUGAAUUUAGAAAAUAAAGAUCGAAACUAUAUAUUUAGCAAAAUUAUUUGAUCUCCAUAGAAAAACUCUACUAUUAUCAACAAAAAUUAUAGAAAUUAGUAUAUAUUAUCAACAAAAAAAAAUAUAAUAUAGUGUAAAAAGCUAACAUGUUCAUGGAAUUACGUAUGCACUAUUUUACUAAUAUGGUAAUGUUUAGUAUUUUAGUUAGAUAGUUAUUGCAAUUUGUAAUAACAAUAAUUUAAUUUGUAGAUAAUAGUAGAGUUUUNGUAACUGUUUAUUUUAAUAAAUUUAUGAUUACAUAAAUUAUAUUAAAUAUGCUAUUUAAGUUAGUAGAGAUGAACGCCAUAUUUCAAAUUUUUAAAACUAAAAAUUGAUUAAUCGGCUUAAAUUAAAUGUAUUAAAAAAUAAUUAAAAAAAUUAAAAUUUUUAAAAGUUGAGUAGCCAGAUCAAUAUGGGUGAUAAUUGAAGUGAAUUCUAAUACAUUUUUACUAUUUUAGAAUAAACUAAUAAAGAAAAUACUAUAUGAAUAUGUUAAAAAAAAUUGUAAAAAUUUGUGCAUAGGCGUAACCUUGUCUUAGGGAUAAAAUAAUACACUUUUUCGUUAUCAAACUUUACUUUAUUAUAAUUUUGGUUCAAUUAAAUUAUACAAUCCAAUUUAAUUGAUUAAUUGUGAUAUAUUUCUAAGAUGAUACCGACGUAAUAUUGUUAUAAUUAAUAACGUAGCAAUUAUUAUGAUACUAUAUUAAUAUAUAGUGCAAUUAUUAGACCCUAAGACUAAAUUACAAUAAUUUAAAAAGUUUGAGUUAUAGAUAACCAAUAAUUUAAAAAUCAGGUCGAAUCGGUCCGUUACACCAGUUCAACCGUAAUCCAAUUCAUAAACCAGUUUAGUUUAACCUUUUAACCAGAUAAAACAAAAUUUUGCUUUGAACUAUUCAAACUUGCAAUUUAACUAUUAAAUUAGCAAAUUAUGAAUGAAGCAGGUAGCUGGCUACAUUUUUCUCAAAAAAAAAAAAAACUAUUAAAUUAGCAAACCGGUUCGAUUUAAUCAAACUGGUUCACGUCAUAUAAAAAUUCAACAACUUAAAAUUAACUAAGUUAAUUUUAUUUUCAAUUGGCAUAAAUUAAUAUUACAAAAAAGUAAAACUUUAAAACUUAUAUCUAUUUAAUUUACUAUAAAAAUAAUGAAGUAAACAGUGAUCUUUAAAUUCAGUAAUAUUUUCAGGUUACUAUUUGACCAAAUUUUUAUAACAUGGUAAAUAAAAAUUUGAGUUUGAGGAGGAAAUGUAAUUGUUUGAAAGUUUGAGGACCAAACGUGCAAUUUGGUCACCUUCCCCUUAAACCUCUCGGAAAGAAACAGUGCUCCGCAACCGCUCUAAUGGCUCGCUUCCUCCGCUUCUCCGCAAAUUCCCUUCGCCUCCUCCUCCCCUCUCCUCAAAACCCUAACCCCUCCUCCUCCUCCUCCUCCUCUCUCCUCAAAACCCUAACCCCUUCUCCUCGUCCUCUUCUGGCCCUCUCCCCUCGCUCCUUCCUCUCCGACCCCGGCCCCUCCCCCUCCGCCUUCGACGAUCGCCUCCUCCGCCUCCUCCGCUCCGAGAUCUCCUACCUCGCCGGCCACCUCCCCCCUCUCCCGGUAAUCCCCCCGCUCCAAAACCCUAAUUCCCCCCUCUUUUUCUACCGUAAUCGACUAAUUUGGUGAUCCCCCCUGCUUCCGUGAAGCCCCCCAAUCGAUUCAGGUCCUUCUCCGUCGAGGACCACCCUGGGGAGCAGUGGAUCCGGCUCCGGUGUGCCCAUGGCGCCGACGAGGUUAAGGUGGACGCCACCAUGUUCGACGGCGCGGCCGCGGUCCCCGACGAGCCCUUGUUCAAGAGGGUGGAGGCGCAUGAGCGGGGCCCGCGCCUCCACAUUAGCCUCGUUGUAGAGGUGUCCCGAGGCGGGGGUGGGGACGAGGGCGAGGGCGAGCCCUCGGUGCUCGAGUUCAUCUGCUCCGCGUGGCCCGACUCCCUCGUCGUCCACAAGGUGUUUCCGCUUAGGAAGAAGGGCGCCGCGGUGCGGCCCUACAUGGGCCGCGAUUUCAAGUGAGACUCAUGAUCCAAAAUUGUAACUUGUUAGUUUUUAGAGCUUAAUUUGGUAGCACCUGCAUUUGUUUGCGUUCCAAACUUUAAAAUUUUGCGCGAUUGAACAUGCUGGUAUCGAAUAGUCCUUAGUUUGUCUACUUAGGGGUUUUGUGAUUUGGGUUGAGAUUUGGUGUAUGGUGUGGCAGGGAGUUGGAUGCGGGAGAUCGGAGGUCGGUGGUGGAGUACUUGGAGGAGAGAGGGGUGGAUGAUGAGCUCGCAGAGUUCUUGCAUGAGUACAUGGUGAACAAGGACAAGUCGGAGCUCCUUCGGUGGCUGAGGAUUGUGGAGUCUUAUGUCCAAAAAUAGGGAAUGCGGUAACCAUUGAAGGGUUUGUCUCCUUUGUCCCUCUAACCAGAUUUGUUUUGGGUCAUCUCCCUCGGCACAAUGCGCACAUCUACAAAAUUGCCAAUUUAUGUUAUGUGAAUGCUUUCUUAAUUUUUCUUGUGUAUUUUUCAAGGAGGAACCCAUAUGCUAAUUUCUUGUAUUAUUAUUGCAUAUGCUCAUAGUAUAUUUGAUCCAUAGUAGGAUUUUGUAAUUUAAGAUAUCCUCUUCUUUUUCGUGGAUGAGCCAUUUUAUCAAAAAUAUUAGUGGAUAGUUGGUAAUUUUACACUUGCUUGUUUUCUUUAUCUGCUUGCAUUGGUUUCAGAUAGUUCUAACAGCUUAACAGAAUUAUAUCGAGUUUUUGCUAAAGUUGAUAAUUUUACCUGGAACUCAUGAGUUUAAGCUUAGUGUGUUACUCUUAGAUUAAUUGUAGUUGUUCUGUAUUCAAAGUACGUAUUGACAUUCAUAGUUAAUCAACAAUUUUCAAAACAUUUACUUGAAUUAGCAAUCUUUUCGAUUUAGGUUACUUCACAAAGUUUGAGGCAAAUAGACAUAAUAAUGUCCAAAUGACAUGCAUGAUAAUCAUGUGCUUAGCUUGGGCAGCAUUUGAUCGCAGGUCUUUGCAAAAAAAUCAGAAUGUAAAUACAGGGUAGUUAAGUAAUACAUUACAUGGUUGUAAUAUGCGAUAGGGCUAAGCUACAGGGUUCCAUUUUGAAGUUUUGCUAAAUUAAGAUCUCAUCAACCUGUGAAUCUAUAGUCCGUCAUCCCUUGUCACAGCUAUGCCGUUGAGGCUUUCUUAAUUCGUACAGGAACUGUGUAUGCUGAUGUGUUGCUUGUUAUCGUGAAUAAUGUUGAUACAUCUCCUUCAGAAAACAAAAGUAUAAAUAAAGAAUGUUUGUGUUCUAAGUAAUCUAUGUGAUCUGUGUUCAGUAAUUUCGUACACAUUACAUGUAGAAAAGUGAAAGGAACAUGCUGUCUAAUUUUUGUGAAUUUCGUUCUGUACUAAACAAUGUCAAUAGAAAAUAAUUGAUGUUUUCCACAGGAUGUAUCAAUUGUACCUGAUAUAUCAACUCUAUGAUAAUCAUUUUCUCAUUUUGGUAUGUUUUUUUUCCCCCUUUCUUAAUUGUCUAAACUUCAAAUUCUAAGUAGUUGGAUCUACUUGCUGGUGGACUUCACCUUUCUGAUUAUUAUUUGUUAGCUUAUAAAAUCUUUUUCAUUUCCGAAAAGAAACAAAGGAUGCAAAAAUUUGCUACUUAAUUUUUUUUUUUUUUUCUGUUGCCAAACAAAUGAAUAUAUGUAUAACUUGCAAAAUAUGGUUUGCACAAACUUUGCAAAACAACAAAAAUGUAAUCAUCGCUAACGAGGCUGAUGCUUUGUAGUUUUAAACUAUUUUACUUUGAGUCGAGUCUCUCCGAAAUCGUAGAGCUGAAUAGGCUCUCUGACUUUGGAGAAAGAAAAAAAAAAAAAAUCCUAUUACUUCUUGUCUGGGUCUUAAAGUAGCAAGCAGAAUGCUUUGAAAACGAAUUUUAAUGACUAAACCAAACUAAAUUUUAGUGCUCCACCAACUGUUUUUUUCCUUCCAUUUUUUUCUCUCAAAAGUAAUAACUUAUUUUUAGCGCUUGAAUUGACCGACAAAAGCCAGAAGUAGAGUUGAUUUUGAAUUUUGACAGAAACUGGGUCAACAAUGGUGGAACAAAUCCUCAUGCUUUUAUAAACCUGGGUAGUUCAUUGUUUGUCAUUUUGUCUGAAAUAAAACUUUGUUUUACACUUAAAAAUGCAUGCAUCAGUUAUGAAGUCCACACGACAUAUAUCUAGAAAAACUCAGAAACAUGUUGACAUUUUUUUUUUUUGCUGCAUUUUAAUUAAAUUAGAAACUGAUUGCAGCAUAUUGUUUGCAGAAGGUAAGCGCUUAUUUGAAUGACCGAAAGGUAACAAUUUGUGACUUUACAAGUUCGCUUCUAUACUCACUUGUAAAGGAAAAGUUGACGUAGAUUAUUUUCUGGUUGAUUGAACUAGACUACAUGAUUGCAUUUCUUUCUGCAUUAAUAUGCUUGGCAGAGAAACCUUCUUAUCGGUAUGUAAGCCGAUGUCAAGAUUUUCUGAAAGGUAUAUAUAAUAUAAGCAAUUCUCAAUGGAAUAUGCAAACAAACAGUUAGUACAUGUAUAGACGGAAAAUUUCCCUUCCUAUUUAAGACCCUCUGGGUAGAGCAACCUUACAACUUAAGUUUGUGGUCUGUCAGGCUAUCUGAAACAAAAGAUAAAAGAGUUUGGUGUAUUUCUUUUUGGAGACUCUCUCUAUGUAAAUUGUUCGGCGAAGUAGUGACCCAAAUAUAUGCAACCUAAAUGCAGGUGGCUUUCUCUGCGUGUGGCCAAGUUCACCUGCUGGCUAUUCUACUAGUUUCCUAAGUAUGGUUCUCCACAAUAAUAAAAAAUGUUGAUGAAAACUACGUGAACUAUUGAUUCUUUCUUCUUGGAAACACUAGUUGCUUAAAAAUCUUAUUACAGACUUCUGAGUUAGACCAUGUUAAUUUCAUAUAUUUUAAAAUUUGGAUAAUAAGGAUGCUGUGAUGUUCAUUUAGCUUUGCGGGUGAUUGCUUUGGUUAGCAGGUCAGGCAUAGAUAAUCUACAAGAUUGAAAAUGUACUCUCUUUGUAUCCCAAUCCUAUUCAGAUGCACUGCACAUAUGUCACUCCUGUAGUUACAAUCUAUUGAUUUAGAUUAAACAUAAGCUCUGGCAUUUUCCUCAACAUGCAUGCAAAUCCAGCUAAUUCAGCUUUAAUUCUCAAAAAUAUCAAACUAAUAUUGAGCAGGACAAUUGAAAUGUAAGUACUAUUUCACAGUUUAUGCCAUUUCUCUUGUGAUGGAUCACAUCUAUUAGAUAUAACAUUUAAUGGUUCCAAGGAUAGUCAUUUCUAAGAAUAUAUAAAGGCAAAACAAGUAGUAGUUUUUUUUUAAAUUUGAAAUUGCCCCCUAGUAUUUAUGGAGAGACGGGUGCUUUAUGAACUAUUGAAUGUGUAAGAGGCAUAGAGAGAUCAGUUGCUAUCGUUGAACUAGUAGAUCUUGCUGGAAGUGAUGACGAACUAAUAUUUGAUUGGGCAGUUGCUGAGAGACUGCAUGGGUAGCAGAUGUCAAAUGGGUUAGAAAGCUCAGGCAAAGAAUUUACUGGGUUAGAAAGCUCAGGCAAAGAAUUUACUCCUAAGAAUUACUGUGGUGGAUAUGACUUUUUAAUUCUACAUAAUUAGAAUUGGAUAGUUAUAUUCUGUGUGAUCAUGACAUUGUAACUAUAUGUAAUUAGUAUAUUUUCUGUACAAGACUGCUAUUUUUGGGCUCUUUCUGCAUUAGCUGAUGUUUAAGCUUUAUAUACUCGUCCUUGCUUGAAUCUUUGCCCAUGUAGGAUCUUUUCAUAGUGAAUCUCUGUAAAAGCAUUGUUGGAUUGGCAUGGUCAAAUGGGGCUACAGCUGCCUAUGCUCUAACUUCAUUGCAGUAGACACAAUCACUUGUGCAUGCUUUCUUUGAGUUGAUCUCCUCCUACUUGCUACAUUUUCUUUUCUUAUCCGGUUUAAUGCUGUUAUUGUUCUUUUUUUUUUUCAGUUAAAUUGGUUCAUAUUUGUUUCCUCGCGGAAACGGUGGUACUGAGUUUAUCAAUUUGACUAUGUCAAAACAUGAUGGCAAGCAUUAGAAGGCCUUUAGAGCUAAUUUUUCUACAGCUGAUGAUUAGUAACACUUAAAGAGCCAUGGAUCUCAGGUAUUACCUACUAGCCUGCCUAGUCUUUGUUGAUACUGACAAACUUUAUUGUUGUUGUUAUUAUUGGUGGCCAAAAGUGUUGAGGGUCCCCGAACUUUGUUUUCUUCUUUAAUUGAAAUUAUAUGUUGUAUUCUUUUAUUAAAUUUUGUCAGAAGAGUUGUAAAAUAUUCCAUCAAGAAGAAGAACAUAGUUCAGUUAUAGAAUAGUCUGUCAUUUAUUAAUUUAACCAAAUCGCAAUUCAACUGACUAAAAUAACUCAAAUAAACAAAUGAAAUUUGAGGAUUACCUAUCAAAACAAAAAAGAAAAAAAGAAAUACAAUCUAGGAUCUGUUUCAAAGUGGCCGAUAGUCGACGGCGACUUCAUACAUAUCUACCUUUUUAAAAUCAAACAAGAAGACAGUGGGAGUUGGGGGUUCAAAUCUGAAAUGCCGAAGGUCGGGGACUUGUUUCUUGAUUACCUAUAGUUGGUUGAUGAGUUUUUUGAGCCUUAUUAUUGUUAUGUUUGAUACUUAAAGCAUGUUGGGUCCCAUGAUAUCUGCUUAAAAUAUGUUGCCAUUUCAUCACACAAAUCUUCAUUCUUCAACCAGAAUCUAAGCAUGGCCCCGGCCCCACAUGUGCUAUAUUGAUUAAAGUUUUUGUCAUUGUCAUUUCCCUACCAGACACUAAAAGAAAACUAGAUAAUUGUAUUGAAUUUAUGUGUCUCUAAAUUCUUUUAUAUUUAAGUUCUGUUCUGUUUUGCGCCUGAAACUACUCUGAAGAGGUACUUAGAUAAUGCGAAGCACGCCUUUUAUUAAAUAUUUGUUGUUCACUACAUUCAACUUUUCCGCCGGUGAUCUCACUCUAAGUUGCUUAUGCAAUGGCUUGCUAUUAUAUAUGCGGAUUAUAUGUGGAGCACUUUUCAGGUUACAAGGGAUUGUGCAUUAGUUGUGGUUUGUUCCUUGAAGAUAGAGAAUAUAUACAUCAUUAACCCUGUCCAUGAUCUUAGAGUGAGUUAUGAAUCUGACCAAGUAGAUAAUAUAAUGACUUAGAAAAAGUAUUAUUAUGGCAAAGCAUGGUUUGCGUGUGGAUUGGAGUAUGCCAUAUUAGAACUAGUCCUAUAAUUUUCUGUGUCUGAGUGAUUAUAGUAUUUUUAAGUUAAUGCACAACUUGUUCACAUCAAUACAAGAGCAAUUCAAUAUUUACUCAAUCUGUAGUGAAUUGCAGGAAUGUAGUAGAGACACAAUGCUGAAGAUUUUAGGAAAUAAAAGUGCACUAUAUAUGUGGGUGCAAAGUGUUGUAGGCUCCAGUAGCCUCUCUCUUUUUCUUUUUUCUUUUCUUUUUCUUCCCUUCUUGAGGAUAGUAGCAAAACAAUUGUAUGGAAGAACUUACAUGCAGUGUUAAAUCACAGUCUGGAUUGGAUUCCUGCAAAAAAGUAGUGAGCAUGUUUGGUUCUGCUUUAGCUUCUGCUUUCUAUUGUAGUUAUUUGAAAUAAGAACUUCUGCUAUUGGAUUGUGAUUUGAGGCUCAUAAAUAGAAGCUUCUAUUUGGAGCAUCUGAUGUUGCUUUAGAAGUAAGUUGUUGAGAGAAAUUUAACAUUGUGUAUAUUUUAAUAAAUUUUUAAAAAAGUAUUUUUUCAAACAAUAUUGCAUUGUACUGUAGUGCCAAUAGAAUUGGUCCUAACAGCUUUAAGCUUUAAUUUUAGGUUAAAUUACAUAAAAUUUUUCUGUCAAAACCCGAUUUUUCACUUUUCCCUCUGUUAUUUAAAAAUUUACACUUUGCCUCCUUGUAAAAUAAAAAAUGUUCACAGGGGGUACGGUGUGUAUUGUGAUGAUAAAAUGAUCAUUUUGUCCCUCAUCAUUUUCGUCUCCUCCCUCAUUUUUCUCAACCGCCGCCUCGAUCGGCCAUGGUUCACGCCUCGAUCGGCCGCGGUUUUUCUUCGUUUUCUUCUCCUCCUGCUUCCCUUCUCCUCCCGCACUCUCGCCGCCCCUUGAUUUCGGUGACAGUAGGGAGGAAAUCGAGGUGGGCGUGGAUGGAGAGGUGGGUAACGGCAACGAGGGCGAAGGGGUGUUUGUGGGCGCAGAUGGGGAUGUGGGCGAGGGCGAGGCAGUGGCAGUGGAGGAGGGCGAGGCAGAGGAAGACGAAACUACAGGGAAGAGAGCGGGGAGGUAUUUUUGGCAUAAAAAAAUAUUUUAUAACGGAUCACUAAUGAUAGUAGGUGAAGUGUAUAUUUUUUAUUUUAAAAGGGGGCAAAGUGUAGGUUUUUAAAUGACAGAAAAAAAAGUAAAAAAUUAGGUUUUGAUGGGGGGGCGGGGGUUUUGUAAUUUAGCCUUAAUUUUUUUUCAACAACUUUUGCGUAAUGCAUAAGUUAGAACCAAGUGCUUCUGCUUUUUGAGCUCAAAAUUGUAAUCAUAAAAAUUAUUAUGUUAUACUGACACGGGACAUUGGACGCUAGAUAUGUAGCACAUGUUUUAACUUAAACAUGAGCAUGGGACAUAUUUUAUACUUCAGAAACCAUUUAUAUAUGCUUUUGAUUGAGAUCAUGUGGGUACCCUGAGCUUCAAUCCAUAUACAUUUCAUGUAGAAACAUUGCGUUCAAAAUUUUAUUCAAACCCUAGAUAGCCUAUCAUUUGGAAAUAGAAUAAGCAAUUGAAUUUUCUUUUUCUUUUAUUUUUAUUUGUCAUUGAUCUAAUUUUGGCCGUAAAUGGAAAAAUAUAAAUGUAAGAGAAAUAACGUAUACCAGUAACAGAAAACUAGAGUUAAACGGGCAUGCUUAUGGAAAUUUAUUUAUUACCAUCCUUAGUUGAAAUGAUAAANGAAAAAUAUAAAUGUAAGAGAAAUAACGUAUACCAGUAACAGAAAACUAGAGUUAAACGGGCAUGCUUAUGGAAAUUUAUUUAUUACCAUCCUUAAUUGAAAUGAUAAAAAUACCAUUUAUAAGAUAAUGUGGUGAUUCAAAAUUUUGAAAUUUUUGUAUUUGCUUUUAAGAUCAGUUACUAUUUGUUUGUCUAAAUGAAGCUAAAAGGUAAGUUAAUUGACUAUUUUGGACAAUUUUAAAGGUUAAUCCUUACCCUUCUACUAAAUAUCGUAGAUAAUAAUAAUAAUAAUAAUAAUAAUAAUAAUAAUAAUAAUAAUAUGAGCAUGUGAACCAAAUUAAGAAGGAUAUUGAUUUACAAAAGUGGAACGAGAGAGAGGUGAAAAUUUAUGGAGACCCCUCUUAACUUUCGAUUUUUUUUAGUUGAGUCAUUUUAGUCAAUUAAAUUAGAAAAUUUGUUAAACUUAUUACUCCUACAAAAAUUUAGAACUUAUCGGGUAUCAAAUUAGAAAUUUUUUUAAAACAGAAAGUAAAGUUGAAGGUGCCUUUUCAAAUUAGGCGAUAGUUGAGGGGGCCUUGGUGCAUUUUCAAUCCGCAAGAUGUAAACACGACGUAAUUAAAUGCAAUGGGACUAAAAAAAUAAAAAAGAGAAACAAGUAUACAUAUAGUUAUAUACACAAACAACCCACAAUUAAUCACGAGUUAAACAAACGAAACAUCAUCGAAUGUUCAAAUCCUUUACAAAAAUACGAACUAAUUAAUGAGCCUAGACCAAAAUAAUCGGCUUAGUCAAAUACAAAUUUAGGUUAAAUAAAGUAAAAAUCACUUUAUAAAAGAAACAUAAAUAAAUUAGUUCGAGCUUAAUCACCAGCUAACUAAAGCCUCAGGGUCAGGUCCAGUUUAGGCAACUCAUCUUGUCUAACGUUCAAAUUGCCACCACCACUGCUGCUGCUGCUGCUGCUGCCGCCACCGCCACCGCCACCGCCGGCGGCAGCGGAUGCGGCCGACAGAUACCCUCCGGACGCUGCCGACGUCUCGUCGAACCUCGAUAUGAUCGGCGGCGGCCUCGCCGACAUUGCGUACGCCUCAUGCGGAUACAUGCGUCCGAUNUUCCUUCGUCACUGUCCUCUCCUUCUGUCUUGCUUUCGAGUUGUGGUGUUACGGCCUCUGCGUGUUCGCUACCCACUUUUUUCUCACCAUCUUUUUGAAAAGUCUCAUCCAUGUUGUAGUAAUCCAUGAUGGUGUUGUUGUUGUUAGGGCACAAAUAACAUGGGGGGGUUUUGUACUUGUGAUUGAUGUUUAUUAUUAUUAUUAUAGGGAGAGGGUGAUAAAGCAUGAAUGGAAAAGAAUCAAAUGAAUCUCCCAAAGAUGGAAGUGGGGGUUGGGAGUUACAAAUUAGAAAAGAGUAGCGAGAGAGAAAUUAAGCUUACAUGGAAACUUAUGUGGCUCCUCUUAAACAUGUUGGAUGUUUCAUGCAUCUCCUCUCUCUCUUCUCUCUCUCUCUCUCUCUCUCUCUAGAAAUUAAUGCAUUGUGAGAGGGAUGAAUCAAUCCAAAUUUGAUAAGAAAAGUGAUAUAUUAAGACAUUUAAUCACAUGAUUGGUGAGAGAAGGUCUAAUACUUCCAUAUUGAAGUGAUGUCACAUAUGGAUGGACCUAGUCUUAGCCACGAGGCUAACUAUAUAUAUGACAAAAAAAAUAGAAAAAACAAAAAAACCCCAAAAAUAAAAAUUAGUUUACCCUGCCGUAGUUUAGCGCCUAGUUAGUUAAUUCGCGAAUUAUUCGCGAAUUAUUGAAAAUUCUAAUUAAACAGUUUAUUUACGAAUUUUUUUCAAAGAAGAAAAAUUAUUCACGAAUUUUUGAUCUAGCCGAAUUAUUCGCAAAUUAUUAAAAAUAUAAAUAAAAAAUUUAUAAUUUUUUAUUUUUAAAUAUAUAUUAUCUUAUAUUUUAUAUUUUAUACUGAAUCCGUUUUUUAAGCCGAAUUUUUCAACGAAUUUAAAAAUUAGAAAAUAAAUUUUAUACGUAUUAUACCCGUACCGAAUUUUUGCCGAAUCCGAAUUAACUAACUAUGGUUUAGCGCAUUUUUACUUUAUCAUUUUGUAGUUUAAACAAUUUACACUUAGGUUAUCUAUAAUUUAAAGCUUUUUUUUUUUUUUUACUUAUCAGUCACCAUCUAAUUCAAAAAACUACACAUGAAUAUCAUAUAGUUUUAUUUUUUAAUAUAAUAACAUCAUAUAGUUUUUAAAAAAUAUCACUUUAAUAUCUAUUUAGUGGGAAGUUUUUUCAUUGAAAUAAUAAUAAAACCACACGAUAGCUAAGCACAACCUUAUUUUUGUUUACAAAUUAAAAAUACGUUAAACUACGAGGUGGACAAAUUAAAAUUUACCCAAAAAAAGGAAAAACCUUUAACUGCUUUUUUUUUUUUUUUUUCAAUUUUCACUACAAAAUGCUAUAAUUUACCAACUAGAGAGUGGUACGUAAUUAAAGUGAAAAAUUUUACAAAGAAAAAUGUGUAAAUACUUCUUGAAAUGUACACUUUCACGAGCCGGCGCGAAACUUUUAAUCUUAUAAAUUAGACCCCUUAAACUUUACCAAAACUUCAACAGAUCUCGAUCUUCUCCAGCGAUGUUAUUAAUUGGAAAAUAGUUUUACUCGCAUGCGUUGUAGCAUUUGAUCUUAUGAUUGUAAAAUAUAUAAUUUUACUGUUCUAUUUAAUGGUAGAUCUUUACGAUUAAACAGAUCUGCAGAGUAAAUAAUAAAGUAAAACUUUUCAAAUCACGUGACGGCAAAGUAAAAAUACAUUAAACAAAGGGGGUUAAUCAAAGUCUACUCAAUCUUUUAUGUGCACCAAUAUAUCAGUAAACAGUUAUUUAAUGUGUAUAUGUUAGCAUAUAUUAAUUCCAAUAUUAACCUUUGAGGUAAAGUACAAUUUUUAUAUUUUAUAGGAGCAAUUUCAAACAUUCCCCUCAUAACUUUAAAAAUAUUACAAAUGUCCCUUCAUAUUUGGUAAUAUCAUUAUUACCUCUCAAAAUUCUUAAAUUAUAUCAUAAACAGUCUCAGAUUAGUAUAAAAUUAUAGUUGAAUUAAAACAUAAAAUGAUAAAUUUUACUCCUUUUUAAUUAAUUAUAGUUAAUAUUUUGGUUACCGUGAAGGACUGAGAAAAUUAUUUUGUACGCACUUGCUAAUUAGAUUCGCAUCUCCCAAACCCUAAAAACCCUAAAAUCCCUAACACCCUAAAAUUUCAAAUUCUUAAAACCCUAAAAUUCUAAACCCUAUAAUCCAUAACUCUAAACUUUAAAACGCUCCAUGGGCGGGCGUAACGGGAAAAUGGCCAAAUUUUAAGCAGAGUUAAAAAAAUAAGCAUAAUUUCAAUAAUUUUAUGAAAUUAAAAAGAUUUUUUUGCUAUUGAAAAUUUUUUAGGGGUACCUAUGUAACUAAUUAAGGGUACUCUUCUGAGUACUCAAGAAAUUAACCCUGUUUUAUAAUUAUCCUUCUAUUUAUAAAUAUUGUAUUAUCAUCUUAAGCUAAUUAUAUUAGAACCUAUUUUUAUAUAUAAAUAGCAUGUUAGGAAACAGCUAUAGAAUAUGUUAAAGUAAACAUAACAUUGUGUCUCUUUUGCAUUGGAUCAUGGGUGAUUUCAUAUUUGCUAAUUUAGGAAUCAACAUAUCCUGGAUUAAGAUCUCUACACGUAAAGUUGCAGCUGGUUUAUUACCAUAAUUAGGUAAUUCCCAUGUUUUUAAUUAAUGGUGGAUAUUAUUAUUAUUAUUAUUAUGUGUGUGUGUGUAUAUAUAUAUAUUUAUGGUAUAGGUGCAUGAACUAAUAAUAGUGAAGUGAUGAGAUUUGGUGUGUAAAUAUGAAAAGAUACGGCCAAUGAAACGUUUCGUAUAAAAAGUAAAUAAAAACAUAUGCAUUUGUAUCUAUUAAGUGAUGGGAUAUUGCUUCAUAAAUGUAUGGUACAUAAAAAGUUCAAAAUUAAAGAAUAAUAAUAAUAAUAAUAAUCUUGUAUGCUACUCAAAAGUACAUUUCACACUUGAGGGAUUUAAAUAACUAUUCUAGGAUUAAUACCUUGUCCAAAUAUACAUUAAUCUAACUCUUAGCUAGCUAGGGUUUUAUUUAUUUUUUGUUGGUUUUUGUUUAGGUACAUAACUAGCUUGGUUAAGUAAGGAAUAAUUCUAGCUAGCUAAUUCUAGCAAUAUUUAUCAAGUGAUUAGCAUUUCGAGAACGUGAUUAGCGAUCACGUGAAAUAACUUAGGAACUGAUUGGUUUUCCGUAGAUUUAGAUUCGACAAGUUAGAGUUACAGACAGAUGAAACUGGAGCAAUUAUAGCUGUAUCACAUUUGAAUGUCGGGAGGAAUGUAGCAACAAAAGCUAGAGGAGUAUAUCCUUAUAUACUUUCAACUGUCGUAAGUCAAAUUUGCAGCCGAUUUGGCCUCAGGUCGAACUACUGUAGUUGGAUUUUGAGUUUAACUACUGCAGUUGAAACUAAACAGGAGCUUCGAUUGUUGCAAGUGGACUAUAUUUGAAUUGACUAUAAUUUUAAUUGCAGCAGUUGUUAAAGAAUCAAAUCAUCUUAUUUAAGGGGAAAAAAAGUAGCAUUUUUGAGCUAGGGAAAAAAAUAUACAUGAAGGGUAAUUUAGACAUAUCCCUUAAAACUUAGAAAAAUAUUAUAAAUAUCUCUUCAAAAUUGUCAAUAUCCAUAUUAUUUCUAUAAAUCUGUAAAUAAUAUCCGAAACAUCCUUUUUCUUAUCAAUUUUCGUUAAAGUUUUAUUAGAAUUAGCCCUCAUGAGAGAAACUAUCAUCUGACUUUGUGUUCUUGGUUCAAUUUAUACGAUUUUAGGAUAGUUUUUUUUCUUUUUUCAGUUUAUAAUACGAAUACGUUUUGGUUCAAUUCAUGCCUCAAUUUUAUUUUAAACAUUAGUACUUAUUUAAAUUGAUAAAGUCUAAAUUAUCUUUUUAUUAAUUAAAGGGCAUUGAUGUUUGUCACGCAUGCAAUGUUGGGAACAUUUUUUUUAUAUUGACAAUUUUUGAAAGAUUCUACAAAACUAGUGGUGGAGGAAAAAAAAUACAAAUACAAUUUUUUUUAAAAAAAUUUCAUACUCUUUUAAUUAUAUUGUAUUUAUAAUUACAUCAAAUCAACAUCAAAUGUGCGCUAAGUUAGGAAGAGCCCCACUUUUUCUUAUCUACAUUUCUUUGCAUGAGUACACAUUUUUUGGGUAUCUUCGGUUCGCCAUUUUUUACUCAGAAAUUAGAAUCAGAACAGAUGAUUAGUAUAUGAGAUUUUCAUUCCAAUUUCGAUUUCUGGUGCAUUGUGAAUCCCCCGAUCACUUAUUUUCUCUAAUCUGGCGUAGGAGGUGGGAUUGGAAAUUAAAUUCUAGCGGAAUGAAUGCUUGCUCCAAAAAUAGUUCAAUUAUAAUGUAUAAUCUUUAUUUGAAAUUAAAUUAAUUUUUUAAAAUUUAAUUUUUAAUUAAAAUAUGAGUUCAAAAUUAAGAAUUGAAAUUUCAAAUUUUAGAUUUUGAGUUCAACUUAAAUUGAAAUUUAAAUUCAAUCAAGAAUUUUGAAUUUGCACUAUGAAUUUAAAUUUAAUUCAAACUUUACAUUCGAAUUUUAAGUUUUAAUUGUGAUUAAAUUUAUGGAUUCGAAUUGGAACUCAAAUUGUAAUUCUACAUGUAUAAUUUGAAUUCAAUCGUAAGUUAGUUGGUUUCAUAUUUUGAACUGUUGACUCAGUUUUAAAUUUUUUUUUUUUUUUUAGAGAGAUAGGUAGCACGCUACCCGCUUCGUUUAUUUCAUUUAGAAAUAAACUUAGCAAGAAAUGUGAAUCAACUAGGAUUCAAACUUGGGUCUCGGAUACCAACCACCAAACCCUUCGCUACUUGCUCUAUGGACGGUCGGUACUCAGUUUUAAAUUUUAAUUUUUAAAGAUUUAUAUUUUCAAUUUUGGCUAUCAUUUUAAAAUUCUUACAUAAACUUUUAAUACUUAAGUUUUAUUUUGAAUUUAAAUUGUAAACUAAAUUCUAUGUUUGGAGUUGUGAACUCAAUUUAAAAUUUAAAUUUUUUUUAUGUUUUAAUUUAGCUUCUUUUUUUUUUGACAACUAAAGUUUUUUCCAUCACUACCAAAUAGUGAAAAUAAGAAUCAACUAUUCUAAUCCGAUUGUCUUUCUAAACCAAACAUAUUUGGAGAUUUUACCGCUCCGUUUUUGGUUCCGGUCCAUUCAGAUUUUCAUUUCGAUUUCCGAUUCUCGAUUUCUAUUUUAAACCAAACACGCUCUUUAUUUCUCUUAUGCAUAAGCCAAAUAUAUAUAUAUAUAUAUACAUAGGGUGGAUCUAAUUAAAAAUUACGGUGUCGUUAAUUACUCCGAGUUCUCAAUGAGAUGGUGAAUGUUGAAUAUGUGGACUUUAAUUAGGUUUUAGAUGCAUAAGCCAAAGAGGGGGAAUAAAAAAAAAAAAAAGGGUAAACUUCAAAUAUCACCUCUAUGGUUUCGCACUUUCUUACUUUAGUACCAUGUGGUUUACAGGCAUGUGGUUUCAUUUUUAUCUUUUCGUCAGCUUUUCUGUUAAUUUUUGUUAAAUUAUAUACAAAAAAUUUUAGGUACUUUAUCUAGAUUUAUCGAAUAUUCACUUUAGUAUCAUUUAGUUUUAACUUUAUUACUGAUUUAACAAAAAAAAUUAGUGGAAUCGAUAAUAAAAAAAGAAAAAUAAAAUCACGGGGUACUAAAUUGAUACAAUUUAAACCAUAUGGUACUAAAGUGGGAAAGUGUGAAACCACUAGGAUGGUAUUUGAAGUUUACCUUUUCGAAUAUGAGUAUGAAAAACGAAACACUGACAGAUUUAGAUUCGAUAUGGAUUUCGUCUGUACCUGAACCUAACCCGAACCCAACCCUAACCCGAAUUAAUUUUUUAUUAUAUAAUAUGGUAAAUGUUUGGGGUUAUAUUUGAAUUUAUAUUUUAAAAUUUUAGAUCUAAUGUAAUGUGUUUUGAAAUAUAGUAAACAAGUAAUAAUUGUUUCGGGAUUUGAGUUUCCAGGUUCAGGUUGGAGUUUUGGAUUUUUGGUCGAGUUUAAGUUCGGAUUUCGAAUUUGAUAGGUGGGUUCAGAUUUAGAUUUUUAAAAAUUUACUUCAAAUUCAGCCAGUUGACAUUCCUUCGUAUAGAGAUAUGUAUGAUUUAUAAGACAAAGGAUGAAAUUCAAUCCUUAGAUUACGUAAUUUAUAAAAAAUUUAUUAUAUGAUUUAUUUGUGAACAUAGCAUUUCUUUCGUUUUUUUGUUUUUUGUUUUUGUUUUUUUUUUUUUUUUGUGCUGCUUAAACAUGUCUGUUUCUCCCUACCAUAAAAAUCCAUAAUAGAUAUUUUAUCCCAGAAGCCAGAGAAUUAAGAUUCUCAUUUUAGAACAAAUAUGCAGAGCUUCGAAUUUCUGAUCUUCAAUGUAUAUUCACUUUAGAAAUCUAAUAAUCUGUCGACACCUCAAUAAGCGAGAAUCAAUGAGUGGAGUCGAAGUGACAGCAAAUUAAUGAUCUACAAAGCAAGAUCAGUGGAGAUAAAGUGACUUGGAAAAUGUCUCAUCAAGUGAUUUUUCUACAUCGACACAUAUUUACGUUGCUUUAUCUGUCGUUCAUGCUGCUUUGAAAUUUUGAAAAGCGAUAGCAAGUGAUCUACGAACGAGAAGAGUGCAGAAGAAAAAGUGUCGUGGAACAUAUCUCGUCAAAUGAUUUUUCUACUCCGACACGUUUUUAUACUGCAUUAUUUGAUGUUCGAUCACGUCGCUUUAAAACUUUUAAUCGAUUAGUUGAUAAAUAGUGACUAACACAGCCUCAAAAUAGAAACAAUCAAUCUCUGGUAAAUAUCUGUUGUGAUUCGAGUCGGUCACCCAUUAAAAAGAAUAUAUUUGAAUAAGGAACAUCUUAUAUUCUCUUAUUGCCUCCCACUAUAUAUAUCCGCCGUUUAAUGUGGAUUUAGACGAAAAAUUUCUAAAUUAGAACAGACCUUAAAGUUUCAGAUGCGGAGCGAAUUAUAUAGUUUUCCAAAUUAUUUCAACGAGUCCUCAAUGAAGUCGUGCUCAACGUAUUUGUGAAUCGAUCCAGCAGCUGGCACUACAAUAAAAACGGUCUAUAGCGACACUUUUAAAUGUAGGUAUAGGUUAAAAAAAAUAUUGCUGGCUAAAUUACCGAUACUUUUAAAAAGUGUUGCUAUAUGUGGGGUCGCUAGGUAUAUAGUGAUAGUUAAAGAGUGUCGCUGUAAUCUAAAAAAGUGCUAGUAAUUAGCAACACUUAUUUAAGCAUCUAGUAACCGCCGGAACUCUAUCUCGUUGGCUGCUGUGGCGAAGGAGGACGAGAGGGAAGGGCUACUCGUCUAGGAUUUCAGUGGAUUGAGUGAAGGGAGAAGGGGAGAUGGUAAUUAAUUUUUCUUUUUUUUUUCUUUUUUGUUUGGAAUCGCGCCAAAUGGGCUGGGUUGGGUGGGUUGAGUAUAGUAACCUUUUAUUUUUUGUUGGAUUCGGCUUUAUAUUUAGGCAUUAGAAUAUGUUUUUUUAAAUUUUAACAUAAAUGGGACACUUAGACAAAAGUGUCCUAAGUAUGUGUCCCUAUAACCUAAUUCUGUUGUAGUGUGGUGACAUUACGCUAUUUCUAUUGGUUAUUCAAUUCGCAUAUGACAUGGUAGACCUUGUCCAUGAAAUAAUUUUCUCUAUCAUGACACCAAAUGUUGCAAACCCCCACUCAAAAUUAAACAUAAAAGAGAAGGAAUUGUGACUAAAUAAGAAAAAAAAAAAAAAAAAGGCAAUUGGCUAUGAGUGGCUUGUAAGUGCAUGCUUUAAAGACUUAUUUUCACUGUGUUAUCAGAAUCCCUAUGCUGAGACUAUCACAAUCAAAUGAUGUUAAAUGCUCCCCACUUGCUGGAAAAUCAUUUGCAUAUCUUAUCAAAGAUUUUAAGUGUUAAAACUUGUCCCUCAAGUUCAAUUUUAGGCCUGAGAUUUGAAUCUUUGUAGUAAAAUUAUUACCAGCACGUAAGCAUCAUCCGCAAAGUUGUGCACCGUUUUCAAUCAGCUCGAAAAAUUUUACAUUGAAAAAGAACUACAACGUAAUACAUUGAUCGUAAAAUACUUUCAAAAAUCAGAAUGCUGAAUAUGCUAUAAAAGUUUGAGGACCCAAAUUAAUAAAAUUAGGCUAAACCUUGGUGGACAGUGGUGCAACAUAUCCAAAAAUUUAGUAUACAUGACUCUCUAUCUUUCUCCAUGCAUAUUUUUCAUGGUAGGACCAACCCAAGAAGAAAAAAUGAAAAAUCCAAAGAGAUAACUAUUGUCACCAUCAAGCUAAGUAGAUAAACAAGUAUACCAAAAAAAAAAAAAAAAUCCUUUUUUAAAAAAACUUUGAGAGAAACAAAAAGAAGCAAUUAAAAAAGAAAGGAAUCACAGGGUCCUAUGUGGCAUGCAAUGUGUGGCUAGCUCAUUUCUGCCACUUGUUUGUUCAUGAUUGGUUGUUGAGGCAAGAUUAGUUAAUUUCCUUUAGUUUAGUGUUUGUGAUCUUGUAGUGUACUUGUUGUGUGAUUUUGUGUUAUCCUCAAUUUGCAUAGCAAACCUCUCCCUUGAAAACACAAGGACUAUCUAAGUAUUUAUAUUACUUGGCUUCUGAAAUAGCUUAUUCUAUUAAAGAAGCAGAAACGACAUGCUUUGCAAAGUACAUGUUCAAGAGUUUUUAGUUGCUGCACUGCUGAAGAAAAACAAGUUAUAACUAGUGUUUUACUUUUGUUUGAAGCUUUGUUAAGGAAGAUUUUGAUGAAAAAGUUGUUAGGAUCUACUAAAAAAGCAAAAGCCGCAUAAUUGUAAUUGCAAAUUCUAGAGCUUCUGAUUGUUGUGAAACUGAAGAUGAAAAGAUUCUAAUAGAAAUGUUUUUAGGAUUUUUCGAACAGCAACUCCUAAAAGUACUUUUCUGGAAGCUCGUAGCGUGCCAAACUAAGGUAGAAAAACUAUAUAUGUUCUUGAACGCGUCGCUAACAUCCCCUCGCGUGUUCUAAGAGCUAUUAUAUUUUAAGAUAAGAGACAAUAUGAUCUCUCCAAGUUAAUAGAACAAUUCUUCUCUAACCAAAAAGGGUUAGAAAGUUGUUUAAGUUUCAUUAUAAAUUUUUAUUUUUGAAAAGUAAGUGAUUUGGUAGGUUGAUGAGCUCAAUAGAUAAUCUUUUUACACAUAGUGAAUGAAACUUUAGAGUUUAAUAAUAGUCGAGUACAAUUAUAUAAUCUUUGUGAUAUCAUUAAAUAGAAGUACAUUCUUUUGUAGCCUCUCAAUGUUAAAAUUGCUAUUUUGUUCUUUAAAAUUCAACUUUUUUUUUUCAAAUUUUUAUUGUGUAUUUGCAUUGAGUUACAUUACUCUCUCUGUUACAACCUGUUUGGUUACAUGAAUAUCUUGUUCAGCAUUGCUUGUUCUCUUCCAUUUCAUUAGACUAGAUCAAGAUAAAUAUGGUUAAAGAGAUGAAUAUUAGAGAUGGAAUUAUGAUGGCAAAACCCAAGAUAAUCUAGAUUUUUGCAGGGAUUUACUAGUCAUUUGGCUAAAUUACACUGUUACGUUCUCAAAUGUUGAGGCGCGUGACACUUAGGAAUGAAACACUGAAAUAUUGUAAUCAAAUUUUACAUUCUCAGUUCAAUUAAUUAAGUUGACUGAAUAAUGAUGUAUCACUGACGUGACAGUAACAUUGUAGUGUUGUAGUCAAUAUAUGGCAAUGUUACCACAUCAGCGACGCAUCAGCACUCAACCAACUAAAUUAGACUGUGAAAUUUUAAUUGCAAUCAUUUGAAUAAUUAAUUUGAACCAAAAUUAUAAUAAACUAGAAUUUGAAAAUUAAAGUGUCACUCGUCUUGUGGUUUGAGAAACCAAAAGAGAAGGUGUUAUCUAGCCUAGUUAUUUGGUAUAGUUUGCAUGCAAGGAGCAUUAUCUUAGCAAUUAUAUCUCUUUCGACUUAACAUGCCCAAUCUUAAUUAGCUUGGCAACUUNAUUACUUGGCUUCUGAAAUAGCUUAUUCUAUUAAAGAAGCAGAAACGACAUGCUUUGCAAAGGACAUGUUCAAGAGCUUUUAGUUGCCGCGCUACUGAAGAAAAAGAAGUUAUAACUAGUGUUUUACUUUUGUUUGAAGCUUUAAUUGUCAAGGAAGAUUUUGAUGAAAAAGUUGUUAGGGUCUAAUAAAAAAGCAAAAGCCGCAUAAUUGUAAUUGCAAAUUCGAGAGCUUCUGAUUGUUGUGAAACUGAAGCUGAAAAGAUUAUAAUAGAAAUGUUUUUAGGAUUUUUCGAACAACAACUCCUAAAAGUACUUUUCUGGAAGCUCGUAGCGUGCCAAACUAAGAUAGAAAAACUAUAUAUGUUCUUCAAAUCGUCGCUAAUAUCCCCUCGCGUGUUCUAAGAGCUAUUAUAUUUUAAGAUAAGAGACAAUAUGAUCUCUCCAAGUUAAUAGAACAAUUCUUUGCUAACCAAAAAGGGUUAGAAAGUUGUUUAAGUUUCAUUAUAAAUUUUUAUUUUUGAAAAGUAAGUGAUUUGGUAGGUUGAUGAAUUCAAUAGAUAAUAUUUUUACACAUAAUAUAGACAGUAGCUAGUGAAUGAAACUUUAGAGUUUAAUAAUAGUCAAGUACAAUUAUAUAAUCUUUGUGAUCUCAUUAAAUAGAAGUUCUUAAUUUCUUUUGUAGCCUCUUAAUGUUAAAAUUGCUAUUUUAUUCUUUAAAAUUUCACCUUUUUUCAAAUUUUUAUUGUGUUUGCAUUGAGUUACGAUUACUUUCUCUCUUUUACAACCUGUUUGGUUACAUGAAUCUCUUGUUCAGCAUUGCUUGUUCUCUUCCAUUUCAUUGGACUAGAUCAAGAUAAAUAUGGUUAAAGAGAUGAAUAUUAGAGAUGGAAUUAUAAUGGCAAAACCCAAGAUAAUCUAGAUUUUUGCAGGGAUUUAUUAGUUAUUUGGCUAAAUUACACUGUUAUGUUCUCAAAUGUUGAGGCGCGUGACACUUAGGAAUGAAACACUGAAAUAUUGUAAUCAAAUCUUACAUUCAGUUCAAUUAAUUAAGUUGACUGAAUAAUGAUGUAUCACUGACGUGACAAUAAUAUCGUAGUGUUGUAGUCAAUAUAUGACAAUGAUACCACAUCAGCGACGCAUCAGCAUUCAACCAACUAAAUUAAACUGUGAAAUUUUAAUUGCAAUAAUUUAAAUAAUUAAUUUGAACCAAAAUUAUAAUAAACUAGAAUUUGAAAAUUAAAGUGUCACUCGUCUUGUGGUUUGAGAAACCAAAAGAGAAGGUGUUAUCUAGCCUAGUUAUUUGGUACAGUUUGCAUGCAAGGAGCAUCAUCUUAGCAAUUAUAUCUCUUUCGACUUAACAUGCCCAAUCUUAAUUAGCUAGCAACUUGUUAAUUCAGUAACAAUUAAAGAUCUACAUGAGAAAAGGACACAACAAAUACAAAAUUGGCUAGUCUUACCCAAAUAUUUUAGAAACUAGUUUUGAAGGCUUACAAACUCAACUUUGGAGGACUAUAAUAAGAUUUUCUUUUGUUUUUCAGAGAGAUACAACAUGCUAUUCCCUUUUUUCUUUUUUCUUUUUUUUCUUUUGGUUAGAAAUGAACUCAGCUAGAAAUAUAAAGUAACAAUAUUUCGAACUUACCGACCGUCCCUAGAGCAAGUGGCAAAGGGCUUGGUGGUUGGUACUCGAGACCCAAGUUCGAAUCCUAGUUGAUUUACAUUUCCAGCUAAGUUUAUUUCUAAAUGAAAUAAACGAAGCGGGUAGCGUGCUACCUAUCUCUCCUCUAGUACUAAAAAUAAAUGAGUUUAGGGUUACAUCAAAUGUGAUCUCAUCUACAAAAAGUCUCCUCAUAAACUUGGAUUCUCUCCAUAUAGUAGAAAGGGAACACCAUUUUAUUUAAUGGUCUUAUUGAAUUAAAAAUAAGAACUAAUUGAACCUCCAUGAUAAGUGACAUAAACUGAACAAUGAGAAUACAGAUUUUUUUUUAAUCAGUUGGAUUACUUAGUUUCUUUUUUGAUAAUCUAUCAUCAUCAAAUCAGGCCCUAAUGACAAUGACAAUAAAACCUAAAUAAAAAAAAAUAAAUAAUUUGGCCCUAUUACCCUCUUCUUCUAAAAGAUUUAAAUAUUUUUUGACCCAGACAAUUAACCAAAUUGGACCUAAUACUUUUGACAUGACAAUUUAGAUUUUUGUGAGUAGUUUGAUUCGCAAUUACAUUAUGAAAGAGAUUUACCAAGCAGUUAAUAUUGGUCUGUAAACUAGCUCUCUUAUACAUGCAGUCUUGCAAGAUUAAUUGAUAUGAAACUAUCCAGAAAUAGUAACUGACCGUUGACAGUGGUGCAACAUAUCCAAAAAUUUAGUAUACAUGACUCUCUAUCUUUCUCCAUGCAUAUUUUUCAUGGUAGGACCAAGCCAAGAAGAAAAAAUGAAAAAUCCAAAGAGAUAACUAUUGUCACCAUCAAGCUAAGUAGAUAAACAAGUAUACCAAAAAAAAAAAAAAAUCCUUUUUUAAAAAAACUUUGAGAGAAACAAAAAGAAGCAAUUCAAAAAGAGAGGAAUCACAGGGUCCUAUGUGGCAUGCAAUGUGUGGCUAGCUCAUUUCUGCCACUUGUUUGUUCAUGAUUGGUUGUUGAGGCAAGAUUAGUUAAUUUCCUUUAGUUUAGUGUUUGUGAUCUUGUAGUGUACAUGUUGUGUGAUUUUGAGUUAUCCUCAAUUUGCAUAGCAAACCUCUCUCUUGAAAACACAAGGACUAUCUGAGUAUUAAUAUUACUUGGCUUCUGAAAUAGCUUAUUCUAUUAGAGAAGGAGAAACAACAUGCUUUGUAAAGUACAUGUUCAAGAGCUUUUAGUUGCCGUGCUACUGAAGAAAAACAAGUUAUAACUAGUGUUUUACUUUUGUUGGAAGCUUUGUUAAGGAAGAUUUUGAUGAAAAAGUUAUUAGGAUCUAAUAAAAAAGCAAAAGCCGCAUAAUUGUAAUUGCAAAUUCGAGAGCUUCUGAUUGUUGUGAAACUGAAGCUGAAAAGAUUCGAAUAGAAAUGUUUUAGGAUUUUUCGAACAACAACUCCUAAAAAUACUUUCUGGAAGCUCGUAGCGUGCCAAACUAAGGUAGAAAAACUAUAUAUGUUCUUGAACGCGUCGCUAAUAUCCCCUCGCGUGUUCUAAGAGCUAUUAUAUUUUAAGAUAAGAGACAAUAUGAUCUCUCCAAGUUAAUAGAAUAAUUCUUCUCUAACCAAAAAGGGUUAGAAAGUUGUUUAAGUUUCAUUAUAAAUUUUUAUUUUUGAAAAGUAAGUGAUUUGGUAGGUUGAUGAGCUCAAUAGAUAAUCUUUUUACACAUAAUAUAGACAGUAGCUAGUGAAUGAAACUUUAGAGUUUAAUAAUAGUCAAGUAAAAUUAUAUAUUAAUCUUUGUGAUCUCAAUAAAUGGAAGUACUUAAUUUCUUUUGUAGCCUCUUAAUGUUAAAAUUGCUAUUUUGUUCUUUAAAAUUUAACUUUUUUUUUCAAAUUUUUAUUGUGUUUGCAUUGAGUUACGUUACUCUCUCUUUUACAACCUGUUUGGUUACACAAAUAUCUUGUUCAGCAUUGCUUGUUCUCUUCCAUUUCGUUUGACUAGAUCAAGAUAAAUAUGGUUAAGAGAUGAAUAUUAGACAUGGAAUUAUAAUAGCAAAACCCAAGCUAAUCUAGAUUUUUGCAGGGAUUUAUUAGUUAUUUGGCUAAAUUACACGGUUCGUUAUCAAAUGUUGAGGCAUGUGACACUUAGGCGUGAAUCACUAAAAUAUUGUAAUCACAAGUCUUAUAGUUUAAUUAAGUUGAUUGAAUAAUAAUGUAUCACUGACAUGACAAUAAUAUUGUAGUGUUGUGGUUCAAUAUAUGGCAAUGACACCACAUCAGUAACGCAUCAGCACUCAACCAACUAAAUUAGACUGUGAAAUUUUAAUUGCAAUAAUUUAAAUAGUUAAUAUGAACCGAAAUUAUAAUAAACUAGCUAGAUUUUGAAAAUUAAAGUGUCACUCGUCUUGUGGUUUGAGAAACCAAAAGAGAAGGUGUUAUCUAGCCUAGUUAUUUGGUAUAGUUUGCAUGCAAGGAGCAUUAUCUUAGCAAUUAUAUCUCUUUCGACUUAACAUGCCCAAUCUUAAUUAGCUUGGCAACUUGUUAAUUUAGUAACAAUUAAAGAUCUACAUGAGAAAAGGACACAACAAAUACAAAAUUGGCUAGUCAUACACCCAAAUAUUUCAGAAUCUAGUUUUGAAGGCUUAAAACCUCAACUUUGGAGGACUAUAAUAAGAUUUAAUUUUUAUUUUUUUCAGAGAGAUACAGCAUGCUAUUCGCUUCUUUUUUUUUUCUUUUUCUUUUGGUUAGAAAUGAACUUAGCUCGAAAUAUAAAGUAACAACGCUUCGAAGUUGGGACCUUAGAAACUAGCUAUCAGACCCUUUGUCACUUGCGCUAGGCGCGGUCGGUAAUAAACUUCAAUUGUUUAGUUGUUACACUACUUAACUCACUCGACAAUUGUCCUGUGCUUGAAUUCUUAUUUGAUUGAACAAUAAAUAUAGAAACACUAUUCUUGGCAGCUUAAUUUUUUUCAGAGAAAGCAACUGUUUUACAUAAUAAUAAAAUAGGAGGUUGUAAGUUCAAAUCUCAGCCAACUUUUCAGACUUUUAUUAUGUCUUAAACCAGAUGUGAGGAGAAGCGUUGAAUAUUAAAAUUAACACAUCAUUCUCUAACAUCUUAAACUUGUUAGAAAAUAAUUUUGUACAUUAAUCAAAGUAAGUUUAACAAGCUUAUUAGAUUGAGAAAAGUAAAAGUUACAACUUGCAAGUAGUUUGAUGCCUCUAGUAUCUAAAAAUAAAUGAGUUUAGGGUUACAUCAAAUGUGAUCUCAUCUACCAAAAAGUCCUCUAAACUUGGAUUCUCUCCAUAGUAGAAAGGGACACAUUUUAUUUAACUGGUCUUUGAAUUAAAAAUAAGAAAUAAUGAACCUCCUAGUGACAUAAAUGAACCAAUGAGAAUGCAGAUUUUUUUACAUCAUUGGAUUACUUUAGUUUCUUUUUUGAAUCUAUCAAUCAUCAAAAUCAGGCCUAAUGAACAAUGACAUAAAACCCUAAAAAAAAAAAAAAAUGGCCCUAUUACCCUUCUUCUUCAUAAAGAUUAAUAUUUUUGACCCAGACAAUUAACCAAAUUGGACUAAUACUUUGACAUGAAAAUUAGAUUUUUUGCAGUAGUUUGAUUUGCGAUUAGCGUCACGAAAGAGAUUUACCAGGAGUUAAGAUUGGUAUGAUAAGACCAGCUCUUAUACCAUACGGUACUUGCAAGAUCAAUCUGAUAUGAAACUAUUCAGAAAUAAUCUUCACAACUGCAUUACAAUCGUGUUGUUUGCAUGAGAAUUGUUAAAAGGCUCGACAUUACGUACAAGUCAAUAACUUUAGCUAAAAGGAAGCGACGACACCUUCAUAUUUGUAUCCAAUAUGUGGCUAAUAUACUUAACCAGCAUUAUAUAUCCUUUUUUUUUUGUAGAAAUCUUAUGGAUAUUAUUAUUCAAUUAUAGGAGAAGCAGAAACUUACAAAGAAUCCUUGUUUUUUUUUUUUUUUUCUUAUCUAUACCUACCUAUACAUUAUUUCUCUUGGAGUUUGCCACGUGGCAAUUCCUCCUUCAUCCCUUCUUUUCACUCCAAAAUUUCUAUUCUCUAAUUAUUACUUCUCUGUAACGUCUGUCUCUUCGACUUUCCGUCUUAUUAAUUUUUUCCCUGUAACGUUUGCCUCUUCAGUUUUCCGUCUCAUUAAUUUCUUUUCUGUAACGUAUGUCUCUUUGGCUUCCCAUCUCAUUAAUUUCUUCUCUGUAACGUCGCUGCUUCGACUUCCCCCUUAUUAAUUUCUAUGUUCUAAGAGGCGUUGCCCGAGAAGCCCCUGGGCAUGGCAUAUGGCGUCCUCGACAACGACCUCGCCUACUACGUCCGCUCCAACCUCAAGCCUCGCAGGCGUGCCACCCUUGCCCUUGCCGUCAACGUCGAGUGAGUCGAACUCUAACCCUAGCCUUGAAUCUUCCUCCCUCGAUCUCGACCACUUAAAUUUGUAAUAUAUAGUUAUACAAAGCGUGUGUAUCCCUCUCCUCUAAUAGUCUCGGAGGACACAAAGUAUCAAUUAAAAUAUGGACUUGUUGAAAAGGGGUUGAAGGCACUGUGGUACUUCACGAAAUUAUCGGUGUUAGUAGAAAAUGUCCUAAAUGAGGAUACAAAGUGGUCCGAUUUUUAUGUAACAAAUUUUUUUCUCCUAUAAUUUUUUUUUUUAUCUUUUGUUGUUUUUCAUUGAAUUAUAAUUUUAUUUUAAAAUUUUUAAAGUAUUUUUUAUAUUAUUAAAUUUAAUCAAAUAUGAUUAUAUCGGCCGCAUCGCGCGGGUUCCUACACUAGUGAAACAAAAAGGUUGCUCAGAAACCUAGUCAUCUUAAUUUUUACUUUUCUUAUUAUUUUUUUGGCAUUAUAUUAUUAUGGGCCCAUCGCAAGGCCCAAUAACAAAUGGGCUGUAAUUUUGAUUGGAUCAUGACAACAUUAUGGACUUGGUGAAAAUUUACAGAGAGAUUGAAAUUUGUAUAAUAUAAUGAGGAAAAUGUACAAUGGCCCCAAAACUUUAGCAUUUUUGCAAACAGAUCUAUGAACUUUUAUAUUUAGCAAUGAGAAUAUGAUAAUUCCAAACUUUUGCACUUUUACAUUAUAUAUAUUGCUAAAUUAUAGAAAGCCCCUUUGCACUUUAAUUAGCCCCGUUCUCAAUUACCCUCCACAAUAAAAAUUGCAUCAAUUGUCAUUCUAUACUUUGUCGCUAUUUCGGAUAGAUCCAAAAAGUUUAGAAAAUUGGCAAAUUAGACUAUAAAACUUUACAAAAAAAUAAGUUGGCAUAUCACAUUGUUCAACAUCUUAACAUAUAUUCAUUUGCAACUCAAAAAAUCUAUUAAAAAAGUAGAUAAAUGAAAUCUCUUAUAUUGCUAAUACUAUCAAAAUUGAUAGUUUAUUGAGUAAUUUAUUUAAUUUAUAUGGUUCAAUUGUAUUACUUAUUGAUAACUUUAUUUAUAAAUUUAUUUUUAUAACUUUUUAUAAUGUUUUAUAAAAAUAUUCCAAAUAAUUAAGCCUAUUUGAGAUAUUAACAAAAUAUAGGACAAUAAUUGAUACAAUUUUUUAUAUCAGGGGUGCAACCGAGACAAACGCUAAAGCGCAAGGGUAUAUUUUUUAUAAUUUAGCCAAUAUAUAGUUGAGCGAGGGUUGUCAACGGGUUGGAUUCAAAGUAGCUCUUUCAAAACCCGAAUCCGAACUCGAAGGAUUAUGAAAAUUCAUAUCCAAACUCGACCACCACCAAAAAUCCAAAGCCUGAGCACGAACCUGAAAAUCUAAACCCAAAAUAAUUAUUUUUCUUUAUCAUAUUUCAAAAUAUAUUAUAUUAAAAUUUAAAAUUCAAAAACACAAGUGUAAAUAUAGAACAAAACAUUAAUAUACAUUAUGUAAUAUAAAAUGAAUUCAGGUUCGGAUUGAAUAGCGACAAAAUUCAAAUCUAAAUUCAAAUCCACCGAAUUUUUAUAUUUUGUACUCAUAUUCGAAUCAUAUCGGUUUAGCAUGAGAUAAACCAACUCUGUUCGGAUUCGAAUUCGGAUAAAAUUUAAGGUAAUCCUACUUGUGCUAAACCGAUAUUGUAUAGUUGAGGGGGCUAGUUCAAAAUAUGCUAUAGUUGAGGGGUCUCCAUACAUUUUUACCGAGAGAAUACGAUUUCAAUGGAGUGCGAAAACGAAGGGGAUAACAAUGGCCUCAUCCUACACAAUGUGCUCCGCGAAGUUAUCUCCCUCCCCUUCUCCACCCCUCUCCUCCCAUGGCGUCGUCGUCGCGCUCCUCCCCUCUCCUCCCAUGGCGUCGCUCUCCUUCGCCUCCUCCAUAUCCCUCUCCAACCUCCCUCUCCCCCUCCGCACCCACCACCACCCUCCUCCCACUCCUCCCACUCCUACCGCUCCCACACUCUUCGCCGCAGCGGCCUACGGCGCGAAACCCUACAAGGUACCGCUUUUUACCUGCUCGAUCACCGUUUUCGAUCAGUUUGGGGGCGAGACCCAUGUCUUCGAUCCUCGUUUCUAGGGUUCGGUGAAGCGGCUUUGGAGCCCGCGGGGGAAGAAGAGCGUCAAGAGGAAGAGGAAGAAGAAGCAGCAGCUUCGGCUCUCGAAAAUGGUCGGCCCCUUUAUCCGAUCCCUCUUGCGUGGUUUGAUUUGGCUUGGUAAUUAUAAUAGUCGUGCUGAUUUUAAGAAGCUUCUAGUGGCAUUGUGUUAUGGCGAAAAGAAUCCGAUUUUUUUGGUGAUUUUUUUGGAUUUGGUGAGAAGGAUGCGUAGAUUAGUCAAAUUAUUGGUUUAGAGUAAUGAAUUGUAGAUGCUGCGAUUCUAGAGAAUUAACAUUGUGGGUGUUUGAUGCUGCAUUUGCUCAAAUCCUACAUAAUUAUGAACUUUUUAGUUAUUUUCUUGGGAAUCAAAUUGAUAUAUUUACUUUGAUUAAACUGAGGGUUUGUUAAUGUUCAAUUGAUUGCUACAGAAUAUAGCCAUUAAAACUGCUUUUAAUUUUUAUAGCUGAUUUUUUUGGUUUCCUCUUUCGUGGUUUGAUUUGGUCUAGUAAUUAUAAUAAUCGUGUUGAUUUGAAGGUUCUAGUGGCAUUGUGUUAUGGUGAAAAAAAAGUUCGAUUUUUGUCGUGGUUUUAUUGAAUUUUAUGAGAAGUAUUUGUAGAUUGGUCAAAUCAUUGGUUUGGAGUAAUGAAUUGUAGAUGCUGCGAUUUUAGAGAAUUAACAUUGUGGGUGUCUGAUGCUGCAUUUGCUCAAAAGGUACAUAUUUGUGAAUUUUUUUCAUUGAUUUUUUGGUAAUCAAAUUGAUGUGUUUAGUUUGAUUAAACUGACGAUUGUGUUAAUGUUCAAUUGACUGCGACGGAAUAUAGCCAUUAAAACUACUUUUGAUGUUUAUAGCUGAUUUUUGUUUUUUGGUUUCCUUUUCCUAUUCAUGCGAAUGUCAUUACUUAUGCUUAUGUAUACUGUGCUUGCUAUUGUCAUUAUAUUGGGAACAAACAAGCAGUAUUUGCUUUGAUAUGAUAAAGAACAACUGCAGAAUUUGUUGAUGUUAAAUAAGAUGAAAUUAUGUAAGACAGGUCGAAUCCUUGUACUUGUUAUCUAUUGAUAAUUUAAGGAUGAUUCAAAUUUCUUUCACAAUAUAAUUGUGUUGAGGCUAGCAUAAUUACAUUACGAAAACUUCUCCUGAAUAAUUGUGGUUGGUGUGCUUACUAUGUGGGUGAGGUUUUAUAGAACAUAAACCAUGGGAGACAAUAAUUUGGUGGCUGAAAUAUAGAUGGUUUAAAUAUGUAUGCAACAGGGGUAGUUCCGUUGAAAAUUUUCCAUGAUCAAGAUGUGUUGGUUUUGGAAUGAUAAAGUUAAUUUUCUGUAGUUUACUUACUAAUGUUUCUCAUGCUUCGAGUUUGGAUGGGAAUGUUGAAACUUGAGAGUGGGUGAGAAGUAAAUAAACUGGCUGUGUUUAUGAUUCAAAAUGUUGGGUUGUUGGAAAAUAAUGUUUUUUAAAACUAUAUACAUACAUAUGCGCAUGAUAAAAAAAAAAUGUUGAGAUUGGUGUCUCGCUUUGCUGGUAAAGAUGAUUUAAGGAAAUAUAGCUUUGUAGCAAAUUAGUAGAACAAUUGGAGAAUUUUAACAUGAGGAAGUUGUUUAGGAUAUUACAAUACAUCAUAUCAACAAAAACUUACUAGCGUACAAAUCAGGAGUGAUUCCUUCCAACAAGAAGGUAUCACAAGAGGAUGGGAACGUAAAAGCAAUGUCCUGUAACUUGAAUAAUGAUUCUAUAUCUAACUACACUGUAAUCUUUAAAUUAAUAUUGAAGUGAAUAAGUAAUGUAUUACAAUUCAAAUUGGGCUACAAGUUACGCCUCAUAUCCAAUCCAAGUGUAUCAAUUUAUUUCUAUUGAACAAAGGUCGGGGUUGAUAUGCUAUUGUAGACAUUCGAAACAUGAGUGUUGCCUUCUAGUAAACCAAUUAGUUGACUCUUUUAAUCCUUUUUUCAGCUUCUACUUUCAGCUUCUACUUUCAGCUGCAGUUCACUUUAAUACAUCAUAUGGCAAACAAAAAACAAGUCCGGAUCCUCUUCUGCUUUGGGUGCUAAAAUGAGAUUCUGUAAUCCUGCUUUGGAUACUAAAACAAUAGUUUAACCUCCAUCAUUUCUCUAGUACUAUCCUUUAUUGCAGCCAUGAACGGUUUGAUGCUAUCCAUGAAGUGUCAUCCUUUAACUUGGUUUCUUUAAAUGUUAUUACAGUUAAACUACAUUAUGUAAGUAGAGAUAUAGUCACUAGUAUCAGUAUAUAAUCUUGGAAAUGUGUCUUGGGCCUUGUUUUUUAACAUAGUUCUUCUUAGUCUUGAAGUACAAGAUAAUUGAGUCUUCUUCUAAUCAACUAAGGUUCAUUUGCACUGUAAGUACGAGACAUAAACAUUGAGCAACACAGGGAUUGAUUUAUGAAUAGAAAUUGAUGGCUAAUUAUUUUUCGAACUUCUUCCUCAAUCCUCAUCUAUUUUCUUCUUUCUAUUUGGCAACUGUUAUGUUUCAGAUUUUACAUCUCCAAGACAAUCUGGCAGAUUUCUUUUUACUCUUCUUCACCUCAAAUUGAAAAAAAAUUGAAGUGUUCUUUCUCUUCUCAUUCUGUAUAUGUGUCUAAGUCCAGCUAACCCCGGUUACGCUUUCUCUUUUUGUAGUCAUAGAUUUGUCUGGAUUCAAAAAGGUCCAGAUCUAGAUAUUCUUAAUAACUAAUAAAAUUUUAGCAGUGAUCAACUGGACAUAAGAGACCUACUAAAGAUAUGUCCAUUUUUUCCAAUUCGUCCAUAUUUACAUUCAUGUAAAUCUCCUACACCGACAAGAUCGAACAUGUUGUUGAUAAAAAUGCAGCUAGGUAGUAAGAAGAACAAAAUGACAGAGAUUAAAAUUUAUGGCAUUCUGAUCUCAAAUCUAUUGUGAGCUUAUUUUAUUACCUGUUCUUUAGUUCCAUGAUAACAUCCAUAAUUUCUGUUGACGGGGUAUUUAGUUAGCAUCUCUUUAAGUAUUCUGCAACCAUAAAUUGAUAACACAUAAAUUAAAUGUGAAUUUGAAAUGGAUCGAACCCCUUAUCUAUGAUGCUGUAUCUGACAUUACACAAGUUGGAUCUUAUAGCAGAUGAGGUUCGUUUUGGACAACGAGCCCUAGGGGUCGCAUUAAUUUGUCUAAACCAGAUACAGAUAUGGAUUAUAUUUCAGAUGCAAAGUAAAGAACCAGUUUCGUUAAAACUGGAGGUACAAACCAGAUAAUAAGUGGCUGGCUACUUAGUUUUAAAUGAAGCAUCAGACUUUUAACUUGCGGAAGGUUACGUAAAUUAGUUGGAAAAGAUACAAUUAGUCACCAUUAUGGAAAACUAUUACUAAAGUGAAAUGUGUCUCAGUUUGCUCAACUCCAAUAUGUGUCUCUCAUGUUCAUCAAAUGCUCCAUUGUUAUCCCUGAUUACUAGUGUUGAAAUAACUGCUCUUCAAACAUGGGUAGAUGUUCAUUGAAAACCUUUGUUUUUCUUCUUUCCGUUCUAUCUUUAUUUCUGUUAGCACAAACGACUAUGGUAAUGUGAUUGGUGAUUGUCCUUUAAUUUUUCGACUCAUUUAGCUGAUCCAGUGACUCAUGAUUAACCAGAUCCCUUCUUUAUAUGUUUUAGUGUAGUACUUAGCCAUAAUUAGUUCAUGUAUUUUGAGGAAAAUGAGUGCGUAGUGCACUCAAAUUCCUUUCAUUAACCUUAAAAACCAAUUUCAUUUGGUGAACUGAGAUGUAAGCUUCAAGCUUGGUAUAUAUUAUUGAGUAAUCCAGUUUAUAGUAUUGGAGUUUUAGUUCUAAUGUUUCACCCUGCACAAAAUUUGAUGAUUUGGUUCACUUGGAAGAGUAUUUGCAAAUAAAAAAACUAUAAUCAAUCAUUCUCAUGUGCAUUUGACCAAUACUUUUUUAAUUUUUGUAUAUGCUACAUUACAUUAAGAAAAAAACAUAGAGAGAGACUCAUGAACUACAUCUUAUAGGCUUAUAGCCCUAAUCCAUUUAGGAGAUGUAGCAUAUAAAAGAUUGUAUAAAUAUUGUCACAUGUAUUAGACUCUACCAAUGACCAGUGUGAAACAGAGAAUUGUUUGUUUUUCAAGGAAUUAUUAUAUAUGUUGGGAAAUUACCUAAUAUUCCUUACUUAUUUAAGCAUUUUGAUAUUAGAGAAAAAGAGAAAAGUGCACUCUCAUCUCUAAUUUUUAAUUUAGGUAUACGAUGUAUCGUAGUUGCUAAUGAUACUUUUUAGGCUCAAAGUAGAGCACACGCAUCUGAGCCAUUCACUGUAAGAGUGUUCAUGCAAAGGUGUGCAAAGCGAACUUCUUUUAAAAAGCAACUAAUCUUUAGAUUAUUUUAUAUAUAUAUAUAUAUAUAUAUGGGACUUGGAUCCUAAACAACCUAGUUCGUAACUUAUUGGACUUGAAUUUGCAUGCUAUGAUUCAGUCAGAUUUGAAUUUGGAUUCAGAUUCAUUAUUUACCCGACCCACUAAUGCCCCUAAUAUAUGUUAGUUGUUUCAAUAACAAAGUAUACAUAUAUAUACUUUUAGUACAUCUAUGAAAAGGAUUGAAGUUAUAUAAAAAUAAUAGCCCAUAUAAAGAAGCAAUAUAUGGUUUAGUGCGCUCAUACCAAAUGAUUCUAUUUAAAAGUAGAUGCAAGCAUGGCUAUUCUCUCAGCAUAACUUUAGGGGGGAAUAUUCCAUAUUCCUCCUAAUCCUAUGUAUAUAUAUUAAGAAUAAAAUGUAUCCUACCAAUCAUUGUUGUACAUAACUAAUUAAUCCCUUACGUUCUUAUUCAAUAGGAUUAGUUUGUUACUUGUGUAAACCUAGGCUCUGUUUGGGUGUUGGAAUAAGAUAUGUAAUGAUACUUUAUUCCGUAUAAUUUUUUUUUUAUAUGAUUGGAAGUUAGUUGCUUAAUUUUAAAUUUUUUUUAAAAUCAUAGUAUUUAUGACUUAGUAAGAUAGCAUAUUUUACCAACGAAGUCAUUUAUUUUAUAUCGAAAACUAAUUUAGAGAUCGAAUAUGGUGUUCAUUCUAAAUGUAUAAUACGACAUGCUUCUUAAGUAAAUUAAAAAAAAAAAUACACCGAAUAAGAUGUUUAUACAUGAUCUUAUUUUUUUGUACUUUAAAUGGAAUUGGAUUUAGGAUGUGAAGAGAGAGGUUAUGCUUUGGCUCUUUGUGUAAUGCAAAACUUUAAUUUUGAUUGGAGUAAACAAAGAGAGAGAAAGAGAGAGACAGAAUAAGAGUAGAAGCUUCAAAUUAGAGAGUCCGAUUAUGCCAUUUAAAAGCUCGAGUAAAUGCAGUUCGAGCUCAAUGGCAUCGCUUAUAUCAUAUGUAAAAAUUCUUUUUUGUAACAGUCCAUGUCAUGUAACAUAGUGCAGGAUAUAAUUUGAAGCAAGGGUAAUUUUAUGUUAAACAAUAGAAAAACCUCAAAUAUCUUUUUAGUAGUUUGUUGUUUUUUUUAAUUUAAUACUCUAAUAAUUUUAACUAUUUCAUAACUACUCUGUGGUAUUACUUCUCAUUUUUCAUUAUAAUUUUUAUUAAUUUUUUCAUUAAAUUCAUCACGUAGCGCGGUUGUGCGUCAGAAUUAUUCUACAAAUAUUGAUAAAAAAGACAUGAUAGGUUGGUUCUCAUAAGCAAAAAAGUAACGAUCCACGACGCAUGUGCGGAGCUCGCGACUGUUUUUGCAGAAAAAAUUAAUGAAGGGUAUAAUUCAAAAUAAAUAUAAAAAUCAUAUGAAGGGUAUAAUUCAAAAUAAAUAUAAAAAUCAUAUGUUAUUUUUAUAGGGUACUAAAAUAAAAAUGCAGUAAAUCAAAAAAAAAAAAAUAUCUGAAGCUUUUCUAAAUAAUAAUAAGGAAAAAAAAUUUAAAAUGACGUGGCACUUCGGCCACGUGGGCCCCACGCACCACCUCAUUACGCACCCAGUGGACAGUUUGACUCGUAGGAUUCCAUCAUCCUGAUCGGACGGCUACCAACGACUCUAUCCCUAUCAUGGGUGACCAAAAAAGCGUCCUAAAAAAAGUUAAAAUUUGUAAAAAUAAAAAUAAAAAUAAAAAUAAUAAAAAUAGUAAUAAUAAUAAAAUAAAUAAUAAUAGUAAAAUUCAAAAAGCGUAGCAACUUGUCGUUUUUCACUGCGUACUCAAGCACGCGGGGAUAUCAACCCCUCGUGAGUAGUAGUUUAAUCCACACUCGAAAAGUGACUACAAAUAUUGACUCCAUAAAUACUUUUAUUAUUAUUUUUAUUAUUAUUAUUUGUAGCUAAUUUUUACAAAUAGUUGGUAAAAGUUUGUGGAGACACCUUCAAUUAUAGGAUAAUUUGAAAUCGACCCUCUAACUUUGUUUGUUUGAUGCCUCUUGAUUCUUAAUUAUUCUAUUUUAAGUUGUAUAAGGGAUUUUUUUUUCUCUCGGUAAUUUCAUAUGGGAUUGGUGAUAUAUAUAUAUAUAUAUAUAUAUAUAUAUAAAAUAGGGAAAAAAAAUUUCUUACAUUAGAAAUAUAGUUGGAAUUAAUGGCUUCAUUAGCUAUUAGGUGUUGAAAUAGAAAAAAAUGAGUUAAAACUGGUAAAAUAGUAAACUUUAUUAUGAAUAAUAUUAAAUUUAGUGAAAAUUUUCAUUAGUUUGAUGUCAGUCCCUUAAAACUAGUUGAAAGUGAUCAAUAAAGAAAAUUGAAGUGAAAAAGACAAAAUUACAGGGGUCAACUUGAAAAGUGUCAAUCAUUGAAGGGGAUUUCUAAACUAUUUUUUAUCUUAUUUGUUAUAAGAAAAAAAAGAAAAACUACCAGUAUACUAUAAAAAGGAUAUAAAUCUUACAUCUCAUCCAUCCAAUAAAUAAAAUAUCACUCACUAAGCACCUGAUGUAAUUNUAUAUAUAUAUAUAUAUUAAAUUAUAAUUUAAAAAAUAAAAAUAAAAAUUUUAAAAUAAAAAAUGGUGCACCGGGUGCACCAAAAAAAAUCCUGCUGCUUCCCUUGCUGGGAGAGCAAAAGGAGCGAUGGGCCCCGCAUGAGUUGGGUGCCACACGGCACCCAUCCGGAAGUGGCUCGAAACACAUGGCACCCAUCUAGGGUAUCCCUAAAGUAAAUUUCAUGGACACAAUGUCCAUAAAAUUUUUGUCCCAUGUAUAGUGAGAGCUCUCAAAGUCCUAUAUCAAUAUUCUGAGCAUUAACUUAUUGAAAUUUCUAAAACAAUUGAACGACACAACAAUUAAGCUCGACACAGGAUGCUAGCUCCAAAAGAGGUAGUCGAUAGGUAUUGUGUGUGAGGUCGAGAUGGUCGCAAACGAACUAAAGUAAGUUUAAGUUUGACGCAAAGGACACUUACGUGAGGAAAGAGGUUGGGGGCUUAUUUUUUUCACCAAAAAUAGGCUUCGAGUAAAAAAUUAUUUCUCUUCUGCUGUCUGCUUUUGUUUGGCAAUAAGUGAACGGCGUUAAAACUAUAGUUUCUACAUAAACAAUAGAUAAUUUAAUAAAUUAAUAAAUUAUAAUAUAAUAAAUAAAAAAUAAUAUAAUUGUAUCCCUAUAUAACUAAAAAAAAUAAUUUAAAACAAAGAAAUUAAUUUUUUAUACCUAAAUUAUAAUAAAACAAUAAUAAAACCAUGGUCUUUUUUUCAAUUUAGCCCCCUGGCAAAUUUUUAUUUUAAAAAUAGCACUGUCAAAAUUUAAUUUACAAAAAUGACCCUGGUCGGGUGCCACGUCAGCGCCACGCGGGCAGGACUGAGGCCAGUGUGUUAAGUUGAACACGGUCAAUGAUUCACCAUGUUUCAUAUUUAUAUUCAUUUUCUUCUCUUUUAGGGAUGCCAACGAGUCGGGUUUGAAUCGGAUUUUUAAAAAUCCGAAAUCGAAUCCGAAAAUCAAAUUAAAAUCUGAACACGAAUCCGAGCCCGACGGAUUUUAAAAAUUCAUACCCAUAUCCAUAUAUUAAAGUUAUAUGGGUAUGAAUUUUUAAAACCCGCCGGAUUCGGAGAUCCAAAUCCGACCCAUUGACAUCCCUAAAAGAGAAAACAUGGAAUAUAAAUAUGAAACAUGGUGAAUCAUUCAUCGUGUUUGAACACGGUGAAUAGUUUACCGUGUUCAACUUAACACACUGGACCCAGCCCUGCCCGCGUGGUGCUGACGUGGCGCCUGCGUGGCAAGAUCAGGACUAUUUUUGCAAAUUAAAUUUUGACAGGAUUAUUUUUAAAAUAAAAUUUUUUCAUAGGGCCAUUUGCAAAAAAAGCCUUAAAAUCAUGUAAUAAAAGAAAUCAGUAAUACUAAACUAAUCAAUUUUUAUAAUAUUUUAAAUAUGCAAAUUAACUGAAUAAAAGCGAUACUAUAACUUAGCUGAUCAAUUUUCAUUACAUUAAUCGAGCAUUCCUAACGCAAGUAGUAAAGGACUUGAUAGUUGAUACCCGACGUCCUAAAUUCGAAAUAUAAAUUGCUUCACAUUUCCAGCUAAGUUUAUUUUUAAAAGAAAUAAACGAAACGGAUAGCAUGUUACCUUUCUCUGACUAAAUGAGAGAGUAACUAAAUAUAACUAGUAUUUACACAUUAUAUUAUUUUAUUUUUUUUAAUUAUUAAAGUCAAUUAUCAAUUAUAUUAUUUUGGAGUAACUCGAGCUUCGACUGUAUCUUCUUCUGACAAAUAAAAUAAUUUUUUACAGCAGAAGAUAACUUUACUCUUUUCCACCAUUCGUUCAAACAAACUGGCCCAAGGGAUCAAAGUGAACCAAAAAAAAAAAAAAAAAAAAAAAAAAAAAAAAUGCAAAUAGGAUAUUCAUGCAAUUAACUUUUACUAAAUAGUAUUACACCGAAUUGAAAGGGGAAAAUAAAAAAAAAUAAUAUAACUUAUUACAGUCCAAAAUUGGGAACAUGACGUGGGCCCCACAAAAGAGUGGGUCCCACUUCCUUCAAAAAAGUACAUGCUUCGAAUGGAAUCUCAUUAGGUCAGAGCCGAUUCCUCCCCCCCCCAAACCAAAAAAAAAAAAAAAAAAAAAAAAAAAAAAAAAAAAAAAAACGUAGAAAAGGGGAACGCUAACCAUAGCGAGGAAACGCGUUUCGCGCGCUCGCCGAGCGCAGGGGAAACGGUUUCCGCUCCCCGCCCCACCCCGGGAACGCGUUUCGGCCCGGUGCUCCGCGUGACACUCACGUGGGUCCCGCUCAGCCAAUGAGGGCUUCCCUCUACGCCUGGUGUCGUCGCCUGGAGAAAUUGUUCCGUAGACCGGUCUACCAGUCAUCAUUGGACCGGUAUUCGAGGUGGAUAUUAUUUGCAUAUGUGCUUUGCGUAGAAUCUUUUCAAUGUAAGAAACAACUCCGCUCUCCGCUUAGUACAAAAUAUUUUAUUUAGUACACAUCUGAUGAAAAGAGACAUGUUUUUCUACCCUUUAACAGUUACUCGUGGACAAACUGAGAGUACUGAUAAUAAAGAACUGAAACCAAACAGUACUUUUUAACUGGCCAAUAUUACUAAAUAAUCAAUCAGCUGAUCUAAUUUGUAUGAAAUUUAGAGAAUAUAUAAUUUAUAAUACGAUACGAAAUAUUUAAAUAUUAAAAACUAUAAUUGUAACUGUUUUCUAGCUAACAUAUUUUUGAAAUUAAUCAGCAAGUCCCUUGAAACAUUACUAUGUAAAAAUAUAAUAUAAUAUUUUAAUUAUUGGCACAAUACUAAUCACAAUACUGCCGUCUCUGAUACUUUAAUAUUUAAUAAACUAAAUCAAAUUAUACAUAUUUACUGAAAUAUCCAAAAAUUCGAGCAAAAAAUUAUAAUAAAUUGAACUUUGAGGAUCAAAACGUCACACUUUGUAUAGUUUCAGGGUCAAACUCGCAAUUUAUCCCUAAAAUUGUAAGGGGGUUUUUGGGGUGAAAAAGAGGGGACCGGUCUAUGGCUGACGUGGUGGACUUUAUCGGGUCUAUGUAGUAGUCUUCACCCGUCGGCAAGCGGAAAACUUCCGACGCGUACGCAUAAAUAUUUCUACGAGACCGUCGAAUGAGCUGUCAAAAUCAUCUGCUAAGGGCAUCAAAACCGUUGGAUUUAAAGUCCAAGGACGCGUGUCCGCAUAGAAAACCCUGUGCUUACGCCCCUUAUAGCGUAACGGUGAAAAUAGACGGUUAUUAUUAUUAGAUUAAUACAAUAAUUGCAUAUUUUAAUGGUGCAAAUCUUAGAGAUAGUUACAAUUUCAUUGUAUUUGUAAAUAUAUGCGAAUUCAAAUUCGGCGUUUGGUUCGAAAUAUUUAAAUUUAAAUUGCUACAGUUGAAACUGUAUCAACUGUAGCAGAUGAGAAAAGUAAAUUUAAACUAGAAAUAAACUUAAUUACCUCUUUAAUUAAUUACUUUUUUAAUAAAAAUUUUACAAAAACACAUUUCUUAACUACAUGUCAUUAAAUAAAUUAUUUAUAAUUGAAAAAUUAUUGCUUUAUUGAUCAAGAAAAUAAAUGAUGGUGAUGAUAUGAUGGUCCCUUCGAUCACUGGAUAAAUGAUAUUAAAAAAAAAUUAUGAAAUUUAUUUUCUAAAUACUUUAAAUACUUUGGAUCAAAUUUAAUAAAAUCGAUCGUCAAUUUAGAAGUCUCAAUAUCAAAAACAACUUGAUAGCUGAAGGUCAUCUUGUUUCUAAAAGCAAACAGAUCUCUAUCUCUAUAUAUAGGGGGGAUAAUUUUUUGAUGUGAUACAAUAAUACUAUUUUAAUAUGAAACAAAAUUGCUACAAAAUUUUCAAAAAAUAAUUUUUAAUAAUAUUUGAGGUUGAAUUAUGAACAAUUAUUUGUUGAGGUUCUUAAAAUGGCCCAACCAACCUAACUGUGAACCCUAAUUGUCACUCUUUAUGGGAGCCAAGGGCAUUGAACUACAUAUUAUUUAUGCAUGAGGUAAUAAUAAUACUUAAUUAUUAUAAUUGAACCAACAAAUAAGAACAAAAAGUACAAACCCUCUAUAAAUAAAUAAAUAAUAAAUAAAUAUAUAUAUAUAUAUAUAUAUAAUAUAUAUAUAUAUAUAUAUAUUAUAUAUAUAUAUAUAUAGAAUUAGUUUUUAUACUAUCUAUAGUACCGGAGCUUCAGUACUAAGUUUUGUUUUCGAUCUUAGGGUGUUCAAAUUAAUGAUCCUACCGUUAAAUAUGAUCUAGGGUAUAUGAAGUUUUUAGAAAUAAAAUUUUAUUUUUUUCAACAUCGUUUAUUAGUAAAUAAAUUAUGUCAAAAUAGACGGUGAAAUUGAAUAAUCUUAAAAAUUGAGCAUAGGACUUUUAAAUUCAAGAUCAAGAAUGUUAACCUUAAUCUAGAUAGUUUAAAAUAUUUUCUAGCAAAAUUUGAAGAAUUAUAUUCUUCUAUACGUUAAACUCCAAACUCGUCAUAGUAACCAUUGAAAAUUGACAAUUUUUGAAAUGGUUUGAUCAUAAAAUAAACUAUUCGAAAAAUAUAAAAUUUUAUUUCUAAAAUUUUAAAUACCUAGAUCAGUUUUAACGGUGUGGAUCAUUGAUUUAAAUUACCUAAGAUGAAAAACUAGACUAUAGUAUCGGAGCCCCGGUAUUACAGUAGUAUAGUGUGUAGCUCUAUAUUAUAUAUAUAUAUUAUUAUAUAUAUAUAGUUGUAGUUGAGUACCUUUUGUUUUCUUUAGAAAAUUGUGUAUAUUUUAUUCCACUUGAAAUUUUUCAAGAAUUAUUUGUACCAAAAACAGUGAUAAAAAUCAGACUUUCAUGUAGUAAAUUAUAUAUAUAGGUAUUAUUCUUACAUAACAACAUUUUUGCAAUGAAUAUAUGAGUUUUAAAAGUUUGAUCAAAUAGCAGUAAUUCAGAGUUAAAUAGCAAAAUCAAAAUUUUCAAAAUUUAUGCACCUAUCAAAAAGGGUGAAAAAUGUAUGUAUGGAGUAUUUUGAACUAUGAUUUAUUUUGAAAUAACUUAUUUUUCAUUUUGAAAUAACUAUCUAACUUUCAAUAAGUUUUGAUUUUGUUAUCAACAUUCAUUCUUUGAUUUAAACUAUCUAAGAGCUCUAUUAUUACAAAAUUUGAUGCACCCUCAGUUUAAUUGAAUUGUACCUCUGAUGAUUAUACAAAAUAUUCUAAAUAUUUCAGUAAGAUUAGCGAUGUACUCAAAUUUUAUAUCGAAAAAGUCAAAUAGUUAGAAUCAAGUCAAUUAAAAGUUAGACUAUAAAAAUUAAUAUUUAGAUGAUUAUAUAUAUAUAUAUAUAUAUAUAGUAUAUAUAUAUACUAUCACAUAGAUCAAAGCCGUUAGCGGUAUAUGAGUUUUUUGGCGUUGGAUGAAAGGAUGUGCGAUAUAGAGAUGAUAGUGAUCCCUUAGCGGUUGAGUGGUUGGUGGUUUAUAUGUAUAAUUACAGCAGCGUGGAAUGGAUCAAAGAAAUAGAUCUUAACGAUAGAAAUUCAAUAGUCCAAAGACUUGGUACUAUCAUAGUAUAGUAGCGACCUAUCUAUAGUAUAUACUACUAUAUAUAUAAUAUAUAUAUUAUAUAUAUAUAUGGUUGUAAUGCUCGGUUUUACUAACCGAUUGUUGUUUUGAUAUAGAGGCUUCCAAAUCGACGAUCCGCACCGUUGAACAUGAUCUAGACUAUUUAAAUAUUAUCUAGAAAUCAAAUUUUAUGAUUUUUUGGCGUCACUAACUAAACGAUCAAUAUGGUUUCACAAAUCAUGAUAAUUUUAAUGGACGAUAUCGGUGCGUAUUGCUCGUUUAACGAUAUAGAAAGAGUUUCAAAUAACUGAUAAUUUUUAUUAAAAAAUUCUUUAAAACUAUUUAAAAUAAAGAUCUAGCCACUCUAGAUCUCAAUAUAAAAAUUCUAUCAUCACUUUUGAAGGAUAUUUAUUUCCGCCGUUUAUUUUUUGUUCAUGAUGGACCAAGGAGAACAAUAUCGAAAAAUUAUACGAAUCACCUGUGAAACUUUGAUUUUCCAAUUGUUUAAAUAGUUUAAUGAUGUUUAACGGACGGUGUCGAUCUAUCAAUUUUUGAAGCGUCUAUCAUUAAAAACAAAUCGCAUAGUUAAAUCAAGCCGUUUACUUACCGAUGAGCUUUUUAGCAAAGCUUCUAUAUAUUAUAUAUAUAUAUAUAUAUAUUAUAUAUAUUUAUUAUAUAUAUAUGUGGUGUGUGUGUGUGUGUGUGUGUGCUGUGUGUGUGUGUGUUAAAAAUUAACAUACUUUACUCGAACUUGAUCUUUUUGAUUCUUAGUACCAAAUUUUUUCAAAAUUUUCGAUUUUUAUAUCUAUCUUUCAAUCAUUUGCAUUUGGAGUCGGUACAUAACACUUUGACUUUAAAAUGUGAACGCAUUGAUUAUCUUUACAUAUUUAGUUAAUAUACUCCAUGCGAUUCUUACAACUAUAAAUUUGCUAAAAUAAGUAAUUAGCUUGAAUUUUAAAAUCAAAAUAUCAUUGACCGAUUCAAAUCAAAUAAAUUGAAAUAUUGGAUAGUAAAAUUAAAAUUUUAAAAAGCUUGGAUAAUCGGCCCAAAAUAAUUUAUAAUUCAGAUAUGUUCUAUACAUUUUUACCAAUAUAUAAUUAAUUAUUUCAAAAUAGGUUAAAAUUCAGAUCACAAAAUGUGCUAUCAUUGAGAUGCUAGUUUACCUAAAUCAUGUAUUUAGUGGCCAAUGGGUGCCAAGGAAUAGACAUGCACACAAAUAUAGGUGAAAGCUAUAUAUGGGUCCAACUUUGAGUCACUAGGGUUAUGAAAGGGACCCACAUGUACCCAAAAGAGCUAAGAGAUAUGAAAUGAUCCUCCCUAAGUGGAGGCAAUUAGGUAGGGUUUGGACUUGGCAAAGGUGGCAAAUAAUAGAUUAGGAGGGGGAGGUGGGGAGGGGUACUUGAAAGAUACAUGUCAAAAUAAUAAUAUUAAGUUGAGGAGUGGGAACAUUGGCACUUUGUGUUUGUGUGUUUUAAUUUGUGGGUCUUUUUUGGUUCAUGGUGGGCCAUUUUAUGUUUGGUGAGUAGGGGUUCUUGAAUAAACCUUGAUUAGUAUGUCACUCAUUGAUUGAAGGGCUUUUUGUUGACAAUUGCAACAAAAAUAUAUGUGAUGGUUGCAUGAGUGAUAUGCAUGCAUGUCAUGCUAGCUCCAAAGUUGUAUAUAUCUUGGUAGUUUAAUUUGUUGCAUGAAAUAUUUUAUAUCUAAUCAUAUUUAAUUUCGUAGCAGGAUUUAGCCGAAAGCAGAAGUAGAAAGGAUAUUCUUUUUUCUGAGAGAUAGGUAGCACGCUACCCGCUUCGUUUAUUUCACUUAAAAAUAAAUUUAGCUGGAAAUGUGAAUCAACUAAGAUUCGAACUUGGGUCUCGAAUAUCAACCACCAAAUCCUUUGCCACUUGCUCUAGGAACAAUCGGUGUAGAAAGGAUAUUCUGUUCAAUGCUAAUGCGAUAGUAGUCAAAGAUCGAGUUUUCUUUUAUGAUGAGAUUUCAUCAAAGUUCUAACUUGAUAGUUAUGUAACAUAAAAAUGUUAUUGUUAAGGUUAUAUCAAAGAUUAAUUCAUAUCUAAUCAUACUUACUUUUAAUUUAGGAUUUAGCUCAACUUACACUCUCAUCAGCAGUCAGGAGUAAAAAAAAAAAAAAAAGUUCAUUGUUGACAUGGCAGUAAUCUAACGAAUUUUUUUCAAUGACUAAAGCUCAUCAAUGAGUAUGAAUAAAGAAUAAAUUAAAAUUUUAAUUUGCUAAAUAACAUAGCAUUGAUGACUACAAAAUUUCCAUACAUUGGGGUUGUGGAGAAUCUAGUCACCAUUUAGUUUGUACCAAAUGACAUGUAUUAAAUAAUGGUGUGGUUUUUAAAUUGAUAAAGGAUCACCUACAAAUAUAAUGCUUUUGUUAUACCUAUCUUUGGAAAUGCAUGUGUGUAUGUGUGUUUUUUUUUAUAUUGUUUGGUUGAUGCCACAGUAAAAGUGUGUGACAUUUAAUGAUAUAGGAUCUAAAUGCAUGGCACAUUAAGAAAUAUAAAACUAAAAAAACAAAAUUCCCUUUUAAAUUUUUUUUUUUUUUUUAAAUAACCUGUCACUUUGAGAGACUAUUUAGUACCAAGCAUAGUAGAGCUAGAAUGGUGACAUAAAUUUUUUGUAGCUUAUAAUUAAUUAAUUACAACUUUAAAUAUGUCAUAAUCAUAGACCGUAUCAUAGUCGAGAAAAAUGCAAAUUUUAAUAUAAAGUAGAAAGGCAAUUUUAAUAAAAAAAAUAUUACUUAUUUUACAAUUCUAUACUUUUAUAUUUAUGGGAUAAUCUAAACUAAUUGUGCAUUAAAAAUAUGAUUGCACACUUAUGUAGAUUAGCCGCCGAUUUUAUAUAUUAUAUUCCACACUUUUACUAUAAAAAUGUAAUAAUAUAGUUACACGCAUAGCAUGUCUAAUUUUGUAGUGAAAUGUAUACAUUAAGAUAUUAUAUUUUAAUAAUUUAUGUUUUUAGAAAAUAACGAAUGUUUCAGCGUAUUAAAUAUGUCUAGUUUAUACAAUAUUAGACCCAAUAGGAUCGAUGCACAUAUGAACUGAGUUGUGGUUUUAGAACAAAUUUUAAAUUAAAAAUUAUUUUAUUAGAUUAUGUUCAUACAAAACUAACGAGAACUAAAUAUAUUUUAUUUAUCACAUGCUUUAUUAAAUAUAACCGUUGCUCAAAUUGGUUGAAAUUGUAUUUGUAGUAAUUAGCGAGCGUAAUUUUAAACAAAGAACUUUCAUACUAUGAAUAAUUUUAUCACCUCAUAUAUAUAUAUAUAAUAUAUAAUAAAAUUUAAUAAAUAUGAAUUUUAAUCGUAUGUAAAGGAACAAAUUAUUAAUAACUACAUUACCUUUUGCAUAAUCUAAUUAAGCAUAAAGAAGAUGCGUACAUUAUUGUACUAUAUAUAUAANAAGCAUUAGAGCAUAUAUUCAAUUCAUUUUAAUAUAAAAAAUAACAAAAUACAUAAAAUCAAUAAAAUAGUUAAAAAUAACUAAAACAAAAUUUUUUAAUUAGUCAAGAUUCAUUUUAUAUUUUUUCUACUAUUUAAUCGGAGUCUCAUAAUAGAGUUGUUGGAUUUUAUCUAAACAAUUAAUUUAUUAAUAAUAAUAUAUUAAUUUUAAAAAAAUAAUUUAGUGAUAUUUAUCGAAAAGAAAAAUAGUUCAAUAUUAUAAAAAAGAAGUAAAUCUAAAAUACAGUAUAAAAAUUGAUAAAAUAUAAUAAUAUAAUAAUAUUUUUUUAGAAAAUAGUACAUCAUAUUAAAUAAAAAUAAUAUAUAUAGUACAAUACAGUAGAGUGUAAUUAAGCAUGUUAACCGUAUAUUUUUUCAACUAUACGGUAUCUACUGUUACAUCCAUCCAAACACAUUGUAUCUAAUUUAAUUGUCGUUGCGUGUGUUCAAAUUAAGACCUAAUUAUACACACCACUGCACAUUGGGUGGAGACAAAUUAUGUCCAAUUUUGUAAACUUUUGUUUUACUUUUUUUUUUUCUAUUUUAAUUUAAUUAUUAAUCCCUUCAUUCCCCCACCUAUAUUUCUCCCAUGGCUCUCUCUAGAUUCCAACUUUUCAAAAAAAAAAAAAAACUUUAAAUACCACUCCUGUAGUUUUAUAUAUUUUUAUUUUAGUACCAUAUAGUUUAAAGUGUAUCAAGUUAAUAUCCUGUGGCUUUAUUUUUAUUUUUUCGUCAGCUUUUUCGUCAAUAUUUUGUUAAAUUAUAUAAAAAAAACUUCAGAUACCCGAACUAGCUCUAUCGAAUAUUCACUUUAGUAACUUUUAGUUUUAACUUUAUUACUAAUUUAACGAAAAAAAUUAGUGAAAUCGAUAAUAAAAAAAUAAAAAUUAAACCAUAUGAAACUAAAUUGAUAUAUUUUAAAACACAGAAUAAUAAAGUGAAAAAGUAUGAAACCAUAAGAAUAAUAUUUGAAGUUUUUUUUUAAAGAAAAAGAAAAGAAUGAAAAAAAGAGAGAAAAAAGAAAGAAAUUAUUGCUUGCUGCUGCCUCCUCCUCCGAGUCCUCUCGUUGGUGAAAAAAAAAAAAAAAAAAUCACAAAAACAAAAACAAAAACAAAUAAAUUAUUAGACUAAUAAAUUUUUUUUAAAAAAAAAUGUAAAAAGCAGUGAAAAGGUGUGGAAAAAGUUUCCAUUUUUGCAGGUGCAUGAAUUGGCUCCUCCUCCGCCUCCCCCUCUCCCUCCCCUUCCUCCUCCUCCUCCUCCUCCUCCAUUCAACUCUUUCUCCAAAAACAUUCCUUUUUCCCUCUCUCUCUCUCUCUCUCUCUCUCUCUCUCUCUAUAUCUUUCUCUGAAACCAUUCAAAGCUCCCACCUUUCUCUCUCUUCUCUUCUCUUCUCUCUCUCUCACACACACACUUCUCCUCUGGUGAGCCCUGCUUGCGCUGUUCCUUUCAGACCCCAUCGCCUGCUCCCUUUUUGACUCUGGUUUCCUCUGCUGCUGCUGCUUUUAUUCUGGGGCUUCAAUUUUUCUGGGUAUUUAUUUAUUUAUUUAUUUAUUUAUUUCACAGGGGAUUAGGAAAAAGGAGGAUUUUUUUUCUCUUUCUUUUUGUUGGUGUGGGGGGGUUUGUAUUGUUUCUCUGAGGAUUUGGUCAUCUGGGUCUCCCCUGUUUCUUCUCCUUCUCCUUCUUUUUACACAUCUUGUUUGAGUUAAGGAGAGGAAGAGGAAGGGGAAGAGGAAGAGGAGGAAGAAGAUGACUGUGGAGGAGAUUAAGGUGAAGGGGGAAGGCGCCGGAGACCAGUUUCCGGUGGGCAUGCGCGUGCUCGCCGUCGACGACGAUCCCACCUGCCUCAAAUUGCUCGAGACCCUCCUCAUCAGAUGCAAAUACCAUGGUUCGUUUCUUCAUCCAAAUUCCUCACUUUUACUUGUUUUUUGGGGCUUCUUUUUUUAAAAAAAUAUAUAUUUGUUGGUUAAUUUCUCUCAGUAUUAGGACGUGGGUGAUCUUUUAAUUCAUUGAAAUCCUCUUUUUUCCUUGGUUUUUUGUGUUAUUUUGGUUUUUUCUUCUUUUUUUUUUUGUUUUUGGAAGUGAAAGGGUUUUAGAUAUCAUGGAAAAUUCUUUUGUUGGUUAAUUUCUCUGAGUAUUAUUAGGAUGUGGGUCUUUUAAUUCUACCUAUCAACUCUAUGUUUUCAUGUUGAUUGUUUCUGGGACUUUGCUUGUUAUUCUCUACUUUGUACCUUUUUCCUUCUCCUUUUGAAGUUCCUUUUCACUUAAGUUGUUAAUCUUAAAAUUGAAACUUUUGGCCCUGUUUGGUUUAAAAAAUGUUCAAAUUCUAUGUGGUUGGAUGGCAAAGAAGCGCAAAAAAAAAAAAAGAAAAAAGAAAAAAAAGUGUUGCUGUUGAGUGUUUUUUUCGCACUCCAUCACAUAAAAAUUUGUGUUUUUCUUUUUUCCCUAUUUCAAGAUAAGCAGUGGGACCUUAGGACCAGUUGGUUUUGUUUUUUACUUUUUUUUGUGUGUUUGUGUGUUGUUAUUUCAGUUACAACAACUAGCCAAGCAAUCACUGCCCUGAAGCUGCUGCGCGAGAACAAGGACCGAUUCGAUCUGGUCAUCAGCGACGUCCACAUGCCCGACAUGGACGGUUUCAAGCUCCUCGAGCUCGUCGGCCUCGAAAUGGACCUCCCAGUGAUUAGUAAGUCUCUCGCAUGAUCAUGCACACCUCUCUUUGUAUUUGUCGAGUUUGAUAACUACUUCGCAAAUGAAUCAUGUCCAUUAUUGCAUUAUUAUUACUGUUAUUGGUACAUUAUUUGAUGACGUAAGCGAAUGAAUCUCUCGCUCGCGCAGUGCUGUCCGGAAACGGCGAGACGCAGGCCGUGAUGAAGGGCAUAACGCACGGAGCUUGCGAUUACUUGUUGAAGCCCGUGCGGAUCGAGGAGCUAAGGAACAUAUGGCAGCACGUUGUUAGGAGGCGGAAGUUCGAUGGGCGAAGCCAGAGUAAUCUUGAGAACGGGGGGGAGGACGGUCAGAAGAGUAGCCAGAUCAAUCACGAAGGUGAGCAGGGUGCGGUCGACCGCAACGGGAAGCUGAAGAAGAAGAGGAAGGAGCAGAACGGAGAGGAGGAGGAGGAUUCUGACGAGAACCCGCGCGAGAAUGAGGACCCCUCGGCCCAGAAGAAGCCGAGGGUUGUUUGGUCGGUCGAGCUGCACCGCAAGUUCGUUGCCGCUGUUAAUCAGUUGGGAAUCGACAGUAAGAAUUCUUGCUCUUGGCUUGUUGUUGCCGUGCCAUGUUCAAUUUCUUGGAUGGGUUGGAAUGAUGAUAAUAUGUUGGUUUUGUGCAUUUUGUUCCAGAGGCUGUUCCUAAGCGGAUUCUCGAUCUUAUGAAGGUCGAGAAGCUCACUAGAGAGAAUGUCGCAAGCCAUCUGCAGGCAUGAUUUCAGUUCUUAUAUUCAUUUUUCAGCAUAUACUCACAGCUGAAUUUCCAUUUGCAUAGUGUUUUAGCCACUUUGCAACCAAAAAAAAAAAAAAAAUUACAACUCCACUCUUGUUUUCUGAAUUUGCAAAAAUGGGACUCCUUUCUUGUUUUUUUUUUUUUUUCUUUUUCAGAUUUUCGUUUUUUUUAAAAUAAAUUUCAACUUUAAGAACGAAACCACCCCUCCGCUUCAAGGCUGUGAUGCACAUUUUCGGAUAACCAAUGCACAAUUCUGAAUAGUCGAAGCACAAUUUCGAAACCUUGCGGCUAUCAAUCAAAGUUGUGCAUCGACAUUGAUAGUUCUCAACUGUGCAAUCCAUUGUGCAUCAUGCAUCGUGGUCUUUUAUUUGUCGACGAAACUUGCUCCUAUGCCUAUUUCUUUUGUAGUUUACAUAAUCACCUGUAAUUACCAUUAACAUCUAUUUCGCUCUCAUUGGAUGAAAUCAGAAGUAUAGGCUCUACCUUAAGAGGCUAAGUGCUGUAACAAGCCAACAAGCUAACAUCGCCGCGGCUUUGGGAGGACGGAACCCGUCAUUUAUCCACAUGAGCUCAUUGGAAAGCUUCAGAAACUACCAUUCACUCGGAAGCACUCGGCAUCUCCCGUCAGUCGCUUCCUGCCAAGCAAAUGGGCUUCUCGGCCGGAUGAACACGCCAACUGCGUUCGGAGUGCACGGUUUGCUUCCCUCUCAGGCGGUUCAACAGAUCGCUCGAACGCAAAACAACCCAAGCAAUCACACUAAGGAUUUGGAGAAAAUCCAAGCCGCUUAUCCGCAAGGAGUUCAUCAAGGGAAUUUGUUUCAAGGGUUUCAAGAAUCAAACAAGCUUUUCUCCGCCGGUUUCAACGGUGGUGGAUUAGCUAAUGGUUCUUGCGGCGACGCUUACGCGAACGCCGCGAACGGUUCAAUGCUAGUGCAAGCGAAUAAGAUCCCGACGCAGAAUGGAGUGUUGGGCAACUCUCCUUCUUUCAGAACUCGCGUCGGAGAGGCAGCCCAGUUUCCCGAUCUUUCGCGAUGCGACAAUACUUGGCAAAGCGUCGUUUCGUCAAAGUAUCCAGCCGCCACUUUGCCAGUCAACGACUCAUUUAAUCACAACAACGAUCUAACUCCGUGUAGCAUCGGAGACAGUAUUGCUCCGAUGCCCUCGCACAUAGAAGGUGCCGUUCUCUGUGAAUCUCCGAGCAAUUUGGAGGCGGCAGUUAAUCGUAAUCCGGUGAUUGGAAGUGAUUUACGGAAUCCUAAUCCCAUUUCUUCACUUGGUGGGAGUGCGAUGCCAAUUUCAAGCCUCGGUGAAGACCCAACGACCACUUCCUUUGACUUCAGAAGCAUGUCGAAUGCGAAUCCGAGACUGGAUCAUACCGCUAAUGCAAGUACUUCUUCCUUGAGCUCCAUAUUGCCGAAUCUUCAAAUAAAUGAUCCUACUGCCCAGAAGCAGGGCUUUUGUAGCAAGCAGAUGGAUGCGAGUUUGAUAGGAGAAGCAAAUUUUGGCGCUCCGAUCCUGACGCACGAUUGGAGGAUCGACAGUAGAUCAUCUAACAGAGAUCAAAUUCAGGGCAAGGACGAUUACGCUUCGGGAAUGACCAAGUUGCAGAAUGGCCUUAGUCGCAGCAUUGACGAUAUUGUUAGCGCCAUGCUUAAAUCGGUAUGUGUUCUUUUUCUUCUAUUGAACUACAAAAUUGUUUCUUUAGCUGUUAUUAGCAUGUUAAGAAAUGUGUCUUAAGACACUCGAAAUCACAAUAAGAUCCUUAUUAUCUUGUUGAAGGCUUUUGAGAAAGAAUACUCGAUUUAGCCGACUACAUGAAGAGCAAGUACUUUCACAUAACUAGCUAAACCACCUUAUUUCUUCAUUGUAGGACCGCGACGAGUUUACUGCUUUCGUGGAUGGGGACAUGGGAUAUGACCUCUAUACUCUUAGUACUUGAUGAGCCGAAUCGCGAUGAAGAAAAAAAAAAAAGCUCGUUGUAUUGAUUUGCGUAGGAUUCACAAUUCCAGUCGCGAAGUUUGUAUUUAUUAAUGCCCAUUUCCUCUAUUGACUUUGUUAUUCUUCUUUUUUCUAGCAAACAAUCAUCUAGGUGAGUGUAGCAUAGGAAAUUAUGAGUUGGGAAUGUUUGGAGUUUUGUAUUAUACAAAAUAUGCUUUUAAACUAAAUGAUGCUAUGGAUGGUAUUUAUUCAAGUGGAAUGUGUUUGACAAGUGACAAACAACUUGAUUUUAGGUUAUUGUACUAGGUAGUUGUCAUAGUGCUCUUUCAUAUUUGCUUAAUACUUUAUCCAGUGAUAGUAUACAACAACUUAAAAUUUGUAUUAGUUUAACAUGCUUUGAAAUUCAUUGAGCUAUGUAGUACUUUAAAAUUCAUCCAAAGUAUCUACACAUUCUUUUUUAAUUUUUAAUAUUAAAAAAUAUUGAUAUGAUUGGUAUAAAAAAAAUUAGUCCUUAAUGAAUAAAACAUAAUAUUCAUAUUUUUUUUGAAUGCUUAAAUAACAUUGCCCUCAUUUGAUUCUGUUGUUACCUAGUUUUGGAAUACAUUUUCCAUACUACAACCUGACCAUACAAAUUAUAUCAGUAAGAAUGUUAUAUCAUUAAAAAUUUUAGCGAAAACCAAGAUGCGGUCCAAAAAAAUAUCCAAAAAAAUAUUAACUCUAUUCUAUUCUCAUCAGCUCCGAGAUCGAAAGUGGAGAGUCCAAUUGAUCUUAACAUCACUGGCAUCAUCCAAAUCAUCUAACCAUUGCAUCUCAUCUCUUUUUUAAAAAAAAAAUUUCUAUUUUUUGUCUACAAAUAGAGAGAGUAACAUGGUUCAAGGACCUGAUUGAGAGAACAUGAGCCAAUAUUUUCAACUACUUCACUAUCCAGCAAAAUAUCUAGUAAAGAUUCACUAGGUAGAACACUCAAAACUGUCCCAUUGGUGCAUGCCACUUUUGGCAAGUUAUAGCAAAGAGAAAUAUUUAAGCUUCAAGUAAUUCAAAUAAUCUUAAGAGACCUAUACUUAUUUUGCAGCAUCAUCUUCAUCUCCAAUAAUGUGCGCACUUGGACAACAAGGAAUUAUAUCACAAACAGUAGAUGCUCAAUGGUUUCUGGUGCACUACCACAGAGAGUGCGGGCGACAUCCACACCCGGCGGCUGAGACUAACAAGAUCAAACACUGCAGCAUAAAAACCUCAAACAUAACAAGAUCAAAACACCAAAUGCAACCUUCGCAGAAAAGAAAAGACAAACAAAGAGCGCCUAAUCCUCUCAUCUCACAUCCUGUCCACACCCAUUUCUUUCCGAGCAGGGUGUCGCGCUGUUCAGUUAAGAGCUGUUUGGAAAAGCACGGAGCGAAUAGCUAAAGCAGUUGCCGCCACUGGGCCAUCCAAACUGCCUCCUCAUCCCAGCAUUGAGAAACCACAAGAUGUUACGGCUAUACCGGAGAAUUUCGUUGCAGGAUAGAGAGGUUCUGGAUCUCUGAUAAAUCAUAACCUGAUCAAUCGCCAGUCUUCAUCGCCUGUUUGCACAUCGAAUAAUAAAUUGGUAACCCGAAAAGAGAGAAAAGUAAUGGCGAUGAUAAGGUAUUAGAUAGAAGGAUUAAGGCUCAGAUUCACCUUUCAUUUACUAGAAAGAGAGAUCCUCCUCUCCACUCCCCAUGCAUGGCUGCAGCAUUUGCCAUGGUGCCAUCCAAGCUGCGCUACCGAGUUGCCGUCAAAUGCUUUCAUUUUAGAAUUUCACAGUAAGAGGAUAGAGAAGUAUUCAGAUCUCAUAGAAGACGAAACUUCUACCAGGCCCUCCUCUUAGAUGGCGAGAAAGUCUUCAUCGUAACAGCAAUUUCAUACAGGAUCAGAAAAUGCUAGGGGUGCAACCGGGGCAGAUCCGGACGCGCGAGGGGUCCCCCACCUCACACCGCAGUUCCUUGGCGCGUCAGGGCAGAUCUAUUUUUAUCUUUAUCUUUUACCCCCACUUAACACUUCAUUUGGGGCAAAAGCGAGUAUUUGGCAUAUUGGGACCGAUCAAGGGAAGGAAGGGGCCCUGCCUACCACUCCAUUUGCUCACCGGAUCAGGGCAGAUUUGGGACAAGUUUUUUUUUUGGGGGGGUUUUUAUUUUUGGGACCCAGGAUUGGGCGGGAUGCUAGGACUUAGGAAUUUUCUCCAAGAUUUCCCUAGCUUAAGUCCGUAAUAGGGAGCUCUAUCAACCCAGAUCCAUUUGCAUCACUAGUAAACGCCAGCUAGGGGAAGGAAUCCGACAUCAUUACCUCUUUGAAAACGGAUUAUGAAAGAAAAGGGGAAUCACCAUACAGUUUGCUAAAACUUUUGUAUGGAGCUCCCAAUAGAGGGGGUCGGCUUCCGUAGAGGCAAGUCCAACAUCACAGCAGCAAACCAAACUCCAUCAAGAUCAAAAACUAAAAGAAACUUUAUUAAAAGACAAAACGUAAACUAAACGAAAUCGUAAAAGAAAAAAGAAAAUCUCAAUAUAUGGUUGAGAAAAAAAGAAAGGAGAAAAUCCUCAAUAAAAUGGCAGCACACCAAAAGUGCAAAAGAUAGAACGGAUGAAUAAAGAGAAUUUUGUUAGAGAGAUUUUGGAUCUCUGAUAAGCCAUCACCAGUAUCAGUUGUCCAAAAGCAAGAUGAUGGUCUCAUUGAUCAUCAUCAAUACUUAAUUUGUAUGGGUAAAAUGCAUGGAUAGCCUAGCCUCUGUACUUUAACAAUAUUCCGACUUGGUCCCUAGGAAGGGGUUUUGCAUUUUGAAACUAGAGUCAUCGGUUCUAGAAGAGAUAAAAAGGGAGAGCGUAGCAGGCGGCAAACCCUUCCGAAGAACACCCAAUCCUCCGGUGAAGAGGCACCCUUAGUUGAAUUGUAGGUAAAAAUGUAUAGAACUUAUCUAAAACAUGGCCAAAUUGACCUAUUUUGAGAAGAUUGCUUAACCAGCCUACCUUUAAGGCCUAGUUAGGAAAUGUGUUGACCAAGAGUACUACCCUAAAGUGCAAUGGGAAAAUAUUGUGCUUGUUUUCUAGAGUAAUAACAUGAGAAAAAUAGUUUUGUUGCACUUUUAUCUCAAAAGAAGAGAUGUGAUUGGCUUGGACAUAAAUGAUACGGUGUAGCUGCUACAUAAAAACUACCUCCCUGUUUAGAGUAUAAAAAGGUUGGCACUUAGACAAUGGACUUGUCGAAUUACAACUCCAUUUGUGUUGUGGGGCUAGCUCUAACUCAAAAUUGAUUUUUAUUGGUCCUAUCUAAAAACAGAGAUAAAUAGCUCCACAUGCUUCCGCUCCGAACUCUUUUUAUUGUAAAGUGGACAUUUGGUCGGAUGCAAUUGUAAUUACAGUGUAGUUAGAAUUUCCUGUAGUUGACAAUGAAACAAUUACAACUAAAUGUAGCUUGUUUGGUUGAAUACAGUAGACAACGCUACAACCAUAAAUAAUUUGUUUAGUUGCACACAAUUGAAAACUGUAUCCACAAAUUUUAUCAUGGUAGGAUUACCCCCAAUAUAGAAGAAAAUUUAUAUAACUUUUUUCAUUUAGAAGGUAAGUAGGUAGGAAGGUUUACCUCUUAUAAAAUUGUGGUCAAUUUGGACGUAGCUCUUGCUGAUGCUGGAGAUUGCAACCCCAAUUUUACAAGAUAAAAGGAGAAAAAAAAAUUGAAAACAUUUUUAAUUUUUUUGGACAUUCUAUAGCAUAAAAACAAGAUGUUUUUAGCCACAGUCAAAAGUUUCAAAAGCCCUUUUACUCUUCACUCCAAUGCUGUAAAAUUCGAGCACUAAACCACCGCCGGAGAAGCAUUCAUAAGAAGAGUCCGACGAUGAUGCUUCCGGAAACACCACAUAGGUGGUGCUUCCAAUUUAUUAACCUUCGAUUCAACCCUUUCGACCAUUUCUAACAUUUGGAUUAAUAUUAUUUCUCUAGAGAGACCGCUAAAUCCUAGAUUGACCACUAAAUCCUAACCCUACAAUCCUUAAUCCAAAGGCCAAAAAGUCGAAAGCAUCAACUCCUUUAUACCUCUAGAAGCCUAGUAGCUCUACACGCAUAAGUAUAAAAUUACCUGUUCUGCUUUGUGCCUGCGUUUGCCACAAACAUUUUGCGGCUACUCUUCAAUGGGCUCGAGAAAUUCGAGAUAUUAACAAAUAUUUAACAAAAAAAAUUAGAAUGAAAAUAACAGAAACCCUAAGACAUCAAAAGCCAAUACCAACAUCAGCAAAACCAAAUGAAUAAAUAAAUAAAUAAAAGCCUAGUAAAAUGGCGACUCAAAAACGAAUAGAAUAAAUUACAAAAAAAACUAUCACCAUUAGUAGUUUGCUUGAGAGUAGGGCUCAGAAACCAUCAUCGCCUCUUUGCCCAUCGAUCGAUCGAUCUAUCUAUCUAUCUAUCUCUAGAGAGAGAUAGAGAGGGUUAGGGUUUUGGCGUUUGACGAAGAAGAUGAUCAUCGGCUCUGUCGAGUAGAGAGAGAAGAGCACAAGGAGGAGGCAAACCCUUUCCCCUCCCCAACAAACACCCGAUCCUCUUCUUGUGCUCUUCCGAGAGCCUCACACUUAAACUAAUGAGAGUGUGGAGCGAGGAAGCCUCAAACCCUAGAUUUAUAGGGUUUGAGAGAGAGACAAUAGAUUUUUUUUGUUUUCUUUUGGGAAAACUUCAAAAAACCCCUUGUGGUUUCAUUUUUUUCAAUUUAGUACCAUGUGAUUUAAAAUGUAUCAAGUUAGUACCGUGUGAUUUAAAAUGUAUCAAGUUAGUACCUUGUGGUUUCGCACUUUCUCAUUUUAGUACUCUGUGGUUUAAAGUGUAUCAAGUUAGUACCUUGUGGUUUCGCACUUUCUCACUUUAGUACCCUGUGGUUUAAUAUUUCAUUCGGAAAAAAAUAAAAUCAUAGGAUACUAACUUGAUACAAAAAUAAAAUUAUAGGGUACUAACUUGAUACAAAAAUAAAACUAUAGAGUACUAGCUUGAUACACUUGAAACCACAGAGUACUAAACCCAAUCCCAAGUUUUGAUCCCAAUCCCAAAACCACCCGUUUCCACUUCUUGUUCCUGCGCUCCUACCAUAUUUAUUAUUAUUAAAAUAUAAACAAAAUUUCUAAUUUAUUUAUUUCUAAUUAAAUUAACUCUCCAACCUCCGCCCGCUACGCUCCGGCAGUCUAUAAUACUUGGAGGCAUCCUAUGGUGAACCUUUGCUUUUUAGCUGUUUCUACUUUACUAGCUAUUACUAAUCUGUGCGACCAGUGUUAUUAAUGUAGGUCCUGUUGCCUAUCCUCGUGAACUAGGGUCGGUUUCGACUCAUAUUUUCGGUGGUGUUGUUGUUAACAUUCACGUCGUUAUUUGUUUUUUAAACUACCAUUGCACUCUACAGUUUUUAUUUUUAUGUUCAUCAUAUAUUACUAUGAUUACAAAAUUUUAUUAAUUUUUUAUUGUAAUUGAAAAAAAAAUCUUUUUUGAGUUUUUUAGAGGUACACCAAAGUGUGAAAGAUUGAAAUUAUGGGGCACCAAAUUUCACAUAGUUUAAUCAUGGGAUACUAAAGUGUGAAAGAGUGNUGAAUUAUUCGGUUUAGCAUUUCUACAAGGCAUUAAAAUUAAUUUUAUUGUUUAAUAGCAUACACCCUUUAGAGUUCGAAUGUAAAAAAAUAUAUAAAUUUGAUAAAAAUUGUUCACCAUUUUUUUAAAACGAUAAAUAAUUCGCCAUGUAAUGCUAAUUUAAUAAAUAAAAAUUUUAAAUACUUAUAUUUACAAUUGAAAAAAUCUGCAAUUAGGAACACACUUCGCAUAUUUUAACCUUUCAUCCUAAGAUUCACGCACGUCUUUUUCAGUUUUUAUUAUUAACAAAUUAAAUUAAAAAAUAUAUGAAUUGCACAUUUGGUCCUCAAACUGUAAGACCGGUGACACUUUAAUUUUCAAACUGCAAUUUAUUGCAACUUUUUUACUUAAAUAUUUAAAAUUAUUACAAUCAAAUCCUAUAAUCCAAUUUAGCUCUAAACUAAAUAUUAACAUAACGCUAAUGUANAGCGUGCAGCUUGAGUUUGCGCGGGAAUUUCAGGUAACGAAUUCCUAUCUUAAAAAAAAAAUUGUUUUAAUUUUCUUCGGGUUUCUUAACAUUAGAUUGUUACAGAUAAUUUAGAUAAUUAGAUAAUUUAAAAAAAAAAAAAAAAAAAAAAAAAAAAAGAUCCACCUGCGGUUCAGAAUCAGAAUCAGAAUCAGAAUUGAAAUUAAGCCCAAAAUCAGUUUCACUUCAAUUCAUAUUUUUUGCAAAUCAAAUCGAUAAUUCUCACUUUGUUGCGUAAGGCAUGUGUUUGGAUGUUGGAAACACAUCGCUGCAACCACUUGAAUCUUGCUUUCCUCUUCCUUCAGAAUUAGUGAUUUAGAGGAUUUCAAAGAGGAUAUAUAAAUUGAAAUUCAAUGGAAAUAAAUUACCAAUAAGCAGCAGAUGAUGAAAAAUUUUCAGCUACUCAUGCAACAACAGCAGAUUCAGCAAAAAGUAGUUCCUCAAUGCAACGAAUUUCCCCGACUAAGCAGCGAAAUAUGCAAAAAGUAGUUCCUCAAUGAUUCAAAAAAGAUGAUAAAUUCAAAACAGAACAAAUAUUCAGAAUAGAAAAAGGAGCAAGGAAAAGACACCAACAUUGCAAAAUUGUAUCCGGGAAGUAGGUUCUGCCAUUAAGGGCAGUCCAAACAUAAUAGUAAAUUGAUAUUUUACGAGAAGCAAAUAUUUUACGGACCGCUGCAGUAACUUAAAAAAGAGGGAGCAAAAAUGGUUGCCUGAAAAGAACAGACAAGCCAAACCACACUAGACAGAACAGAGAAGAUGCAGGAUGAACAGGAUGAACAAAUAUAGCUUCAAAACCUCACAAAUUUAACCGAAUAGUGUGUACAAAUCUCUAAACCAAGAAUCUGCACCCAAAAUAUUGGGAUUAUAUUUCUCUGGGUGGGCCAAAAUCAUCAUUUGCCUCGAAAGAGAAACAGGAAAAGAGCUGAAAGACAACAACAACCACCAACAACACCACCACCACCGCCGACCGGAGCAGGAAGGAAGAAGUGCCUGAGAGAAGCUACCAAAUUAAAGUAAGCAAAAAGCUGUUCUAACCCGGCAUAUUCUUCUCAAGAAAAGCUCGAAAUUGUCGUUACGUAAAACAUAUAUAGACUGCUUUCACAAAUUGCAAGGAAGCGUAGCAUGACAAGCCUCAAAAUCGAAGGAUCUCCCUAGAGGAUCAUUACUAGACAUUAAAUCAGUGUCUCACAUACAAAUACCUUAUCAAUUUUAUUGUUUAGCCAAUCGUAUCUAGCGCAAUUGGCUAAAGACCUGAUGGUUGGCACCCGAAGUCCCAAAUUCAAAGCCUAGUUGCCUCACAUUUCCAACCGAGUACAUUUCUAAAAAAUAGAACGAAGUAGCUAGUUUGCUACUUUUCUCUCAAUUUUUUUAAAAAAAUUACUAUUUAGAAAUUUAAUAAAUUAUUUUAUGAACAAAAUUUAAUUUACGAGAAUUUUUAAGUAAAAAUCUAGAUCCACAACAAACCUGCAAGAGGGAAGACAGGAUUUUCGGUUAAACAAGAUUAGAGUAGAUAUUAAUUGCCACAUGUCAGUUACUUGGCAUGCCACUUGGCAAAACGAGAAUCCUUCACGUUCUCUCAGCUUUUGCUUUCAUAUAUUUAUGUAGAAUUAAAUCAAAGCAUCGCUUACUCGCUCCUGCUUCCAUCUAUAGAUCAAAUAGGAAAGGGCAAAAAAGAUGACAGGAGCUGCAGGUAAAGGAGGCUCAGAUUCGCCUUUGAUGCAUCAGAGAAAAGAUCUCUCUCCCUCUCUUCUCUCAUGCAAGUCCAACCCCUUCUACACGUUAAUGGCGGCAGCGGUUGCGUUCGCACCAUCCAUGCUGCUUUGCCAUCAUUAGAAGGGAUCUGAGAAAAGCAUGAAGAGAAGAGACGGAUUCGCAAUCCGAGAUUAACUAACAAUCAGCUAUGCACUGAAUCAUCGAUCAUCAUCACCUCCUCACUGCUAUCCUCUUUCAAAUCAAAUCUGAUUAUAGAUCACUUGAAUUCAGUUCACAAAAACUCAAUUGAAUUCAAAGCUGUAAAAUGCUCAAAUGUUUGCACUCAUUUUGAACACCCCGAAAGGAGCUAUAGGGUGAGAAAGGAGAGGAGAUAACACCCAUUCGAUCCAGCUUCCAAAAUGUAGUUUUGCCAGAUGAGUGGUAUCAAGAUUUAAACAGAGUCUGAACACCAAGUUGGGGUUAUAUCCCAUGGGAGGGGCCAAAAUCACCAUUGCCGUUGGAAAAGGAAAGGCAAACCUUUAAAGAUGAUCACUAACAGCAGGAACGGAAAGAAAAAAAAGAAGCAAUGAAAAGGAAGGAUAGUGAUAUUGCCAGAGCAAGUAAUGAAGGACCUUGAAAUGUGCUCUGAAUGUAGGUACUAAAGGUGCAAGGCUGCCAUUCCAACCUUCCAGCAUCCAUCACAGAAGCUCGAGAAUUACAUAGGGUGAUGUUUGGUUUCACAUAAAACUGCUAUUGACAAGUUGCAUCCUUGAUUUUCAGGAAAAGAAAAUGAAGAGUGAGAAAGAACGAGACAGAUAAGUAUUUUCAGUUUUCAGUCUGCAUUUUCUGCAGAACUACUUAAAAUACAAAAAAGCCUUUUCCAGAGUAUUUUACACACAGAAAAACUUCAAGAGCUCUUCUCACCCCAAAAUAGUGAUUUUGGGCCUAAUGUCUAACGACUCAAUCCACCAGUUAAGCAUGCUAGGGCGAGAGUAGUACUAGCAGGCUUGGUUGUCACAUUGGGGGUGGAGCAUCAAAGAGGAUUACCAGCCAGAAGUGUAAGCAAGGUCUCGCAUCGCCUGAUGAUCGGGAACAUGUGGGUAAAUGGACCUAACAAAGAUGCUGAGAUCUAAAUAGGGGAAGUUUGUGAUGCCCCAACGGUAGUCCCAUAUCAGACGGAAAAAAGAUUAUGCAUGUACAUAUAAGGGCUAAACUCUCUAGUACUAACAACUUAGGCUUAAGCAUUUUGAACUAGUAGUUUAGACCAGGUAAGUUAUUAGUGCUAGUGAACUCUGUAGCAUUAUGCUUGAGCACGGCUAUGAACAUCCCCGAGUGUUCCCAACUGUAAACUGACGAGAGAAAGGAAUAUCUUCUCUGGAGCAGGCAGAGCAGAACAGAAAAGGAGGAGUUUUAGAAUCAGAAAACAGAACUAGCAGCUCUGAAAUAGAAUGGAGACAGCACAGGAGGCGGCAAACCCUUCCCACGAACAACCAAUCCUCUGGUAAAGAAACACUCUCCGACUAUGUAAAUUGCACCAAGAGUCAUCAACUUUUUAAUCUUACUUUCAGCUUGAUCUCCAUUUCACAACCUUAAAAUAGAACACUUCGAUAGGAUCGAGUUCUGAGUAGACUUGCUGGGAUUUCAGCUUAGAAGAAUUCAGUUGAAUCCAUUUAGAAAUGACCAUAUGUUUUGAAGGAGUAAAAGAACUCCCAAAAUUCUUCAUGCAAAGUGAAAGAAUCUAGACACCGUCAAAUCAAGAUUUGCUUAAAGCCAGUUGGGUAAAAUUCCAAAGAAUUGGCAGGGAAAAAGAGGGGGGCGGGGAAAGGAGGGGGGGGGUUGUGUUUGGGAAUUAGCAAUCCAGAACAAGAAAUACAAAAAAAGAUACCAAAAGUGAACAUUUCAAAUAGUAAUUUGCAUGCAAAUGCAAAUGCCAAAACAGCCAUAGAAGACAUAAGCAUCAUAAAAUUCUACUUUUCUGAAAAAAUUACAACAAAUAGAAAACAGAGAGAGAGUAAACGGAGAAUAACAAAUAUACCAGUAUUAGUAUAGAUAAAUACAUCAAGAUGAAAAACCGAAAGAAACUUCAUUAAAAACAAAAGCAUCAUUAUUAAAACCACAAAAUUAUUACAAAAAAAAGAUAAGCAUGGUGUUUGGACAGGAAAGUAUGGCUCAGAUUCACCUAAGAUCAAUCAAAAGCAAAAAGUUUUUAGUCCGACAAUCCUACCAUGCAGUUUGAUAUGACCAAUUUGGUCUGAGGCACCACAUUAAGAUUCUGGUCUGAAAGGGCGUGGGUUCAAAUCCCAAUCCCAACAGAAAACAACAUUUCCGCCCACUGAGAUCCUUGUUAGUGGGUACUGCAUUGGUCAAAUACCAGGUCGCAGGUUCCAGGAUGUCCACAGACCCAUUACAUGGCUGAGCUCUAAGAUUGAAAGGGAAGUCUUCUUUGCAACAGAUGGACCAUGAAUCCAUGAGAAGUUAAAAAGAAAGAGGCAGGGUCUUAGAUUUUCGAAACAGUUAAAUUCUAUAAGGAGCUCCUUAAAAAGGAGGAUGGCUCCACUUGAGAACCCGUUAGAUAUGACUCGAAAUUUGGUCAUCGGUGUCGAUUUUGUCCCUAAUUUGCCGACAGCUUUGCGGUGCGACAAAUUUUGAAAAAUGAUUUGGAAAGGGAAAAGUGGAUGUCAGUGGUGGAAGCGGGGGACUCGGGCUGAUCCAAUACUAAAAUAAUUCGCUAAGAACUUCUCUUUUUUUUGCCCUAGAGGCAAUACAUUGCAUUGUACUUCCAUAAUAUUGUACUCCCUUAGGUAUAGUUUGGUUUGGGGAUAAGCAAAAAGUGGGUAUUCUAGGGAUAGGUAUAAAUUGAGGUAUAAGCGGGGAUUAGAUCAAUUUUGCGUUUGGAUGAAAAUUGGGUUAUUCUUGAGAAUAAGAAAAAUAGUGUUUGGUUAGGUAAGAUGGAAUAAGAAUUAAAGUGGGUAGUUAUAAAUAAAAAAUAAUAAUAUUAUUCUUUUCUUUAUAUUAGAAUUUGAAUUUUUAUAUUUUAUAUUUAUAUUUUAAAAUUUAUAAUUUUAACUUUUAAAUUUUAAAUUUUGAAAUUAAAAUUUAAAUUUAAAAUCUCAAAUUUCAAAUUUUAAAUUUCAAACUUUAAAUUUAAGAUCAAAUUUAAAUUUUAAAAAAAUAAAAUAUCAAAAUUAAAUUUAAAAUUUAUUUAAAUUUUAAAUUUUAAUUUAUUAUAAUAUUUAAAUAUAAUUUAUUAUAAAAUUUAUUACAAUAUUUAAAUAUAAAUAAUAUGUAUUAAUAUAGUACAAUUAAUAAUUUUAUAAUAAAAAUAAUGUAUUAUAAUAUAUAAUAUAUUAUAUUUAUAUAAUUUAGUUUUAAUUCAUUUUAUAAUUUUAAUUAAGUUUAAAAUUAAGCAUUGGAAUAGCACUAUUCCACCAAAAUGGUGGAAUAGUAAAAAGCUUGCUAUUCCGGGAUAACCGGGAAUAGCAAGCUUUGGUCGGGAUAAAAUAUCCUGGUAAAAAAUGACCCCGUUUGGCGGAAUAGCGGGGAUAACUUUCGUUAUCCCGUUUAUCCCCCGAACCAAACGGGGCCUUAGUGAAGUACUCUUCUUUUUCGCCCGUGAUUUUUUACCCUACAAAGGGUUUUCCAUGUAAAUCCUUGUGUUCUAUAUUUUCUUUUUCUGUUUUGUGAUUUGUCUACUUUGCGAUCGCCGUUUCUCGUUUCUGUUUGUGCGCUCCUCAUAACAGAACCCAACCCUGUCCGAGAAAAAGGCUUUCUAUAUAAAACUCAUAGCAUGCAGAAUGUUGCAUUGAGGAACAAAAUCUUCCUUGUGACCUUUAAACCAUGAGUAUCAAAGGAGAAGAGGAAGGAUUUACAUUUGAUAUAACAGAAUCAUCAGCUCUAGAGGAGAUGAUGAUCACAGAGAUCAAAGGAGGUGGCAAACCCUUCCCAAGAACACCCAAUCCUCCAUGAGCCUCAUAUAAGAGCAAGAAGUCAAGGCCUUCUAAUUCCAGAGGAGAAGUCUAGCAAAGGAGAAAUUAUUGCCUGCACCUGGUGCAUCCGGAAAUUCUAUACAUCCUGUCUUGCCAACAUAAACUUCACAGUAAUGAUGUUAAGUGAAUGCCGUGGCGUGGGGUCGUGCUAAGCACUUUCCGACAAAAUAAGGCACAAUGCAUGCUGUACUAUGCCAAUGUGUGCCUUCUACAAAAGUAACUUGGACACACUAUGGUAUAAAAAUAUAUACAUCUUUGGCACCGGCGUACUCUAAUUGCUUAUCUACUAAUUUAAAAGAAGAGGGUUUUGCUAUCGACAGAAGGGUUGUAUCAUGUCAAUAUCUUGUCGACCCGCUACGGCACUGGCGGUGACAAUGGCCACUUAAAUCCUUGCUUCACAGGAUAUAAUAUGACUCACAUAGAACUAAGUUCAAGAUUACCCUUUCAAUAGUCGAUGUGCUACCCCAACAUAAGAUUCAGCUGCUCAAAGGCCACAUGCACAAAUCAAUCAUCCAUGCCUCAUAAAUUUAUGUGCGUAUGCAUGUGUGCUUCUAUGUAUGUUAUUAUUAUGCAUAUUCCAAACAUAUAUACAUAUAUACACAUACAUAUGAGAGAGAGAGAGAGAGAGAGAGAGAGAGAGAGAGAGAACCCUGAUCGACCCAAGUAGGGAGAGAUCUCUCAGAUUGGCAAAAAUCAACAUUGCCUCUGAAAAACAAAAAGGAAAAGAGCAAAAGAGAAACCCAUUAACAGCAAUAAAAAAAGAGGCAAGGAAAAGGGGACUAAAAUUAAAAUUAACAGAAGCUUGAAAGAUAUCAUAGAGUUCGGACAAACCACAGUAAAUCAAAGCUCAGAGGCUAUCAGUAUAUAAAUAAAGGACAUAAAUAAUAUUACCAACAAAUAUAAGAGCAAAAAGCAAUAAAAUAAGAAAAUAUAGACCUGACAGUUCUGUAACAAAACCAAAAAUCCCACUGAUACAAAGGAUUAAAUAUAUAAAAGAAAUUCUCUGCAAGUGUAUGUUUCAAGAAAAAAAAGGGGCAAACAGAUAAAGAAAAAUGAUGAAUAGAAAAGGAAAAAGAUUUGCGAAGGGAGGCUCAGAUUUGCCUUUGAUCAGUCACAUAAUGAGUCAAUCCUCUCCUCUGCCCUUGUCCAAACCCAGCCCCUAUGAAAAACAAAUGGCUGCAGUAAUAUUAUCCAAUCCGCCUUGCCAUUUUAACUUCUAAUAGUUGAUCGAAGAAGAAAACACUCCACGUAUCCCCCGAAAUGGGGGCUAACUAUAGAAGAUUACUACUAAGGGGAUCUCAAUAAAGGCUAAAUUACAGAAAACACCCCUGCACUUUUGCAACCUGUAUCAAUUAUCCCUCAUAAAAGGAGACUUAGAUUCAUUGUUGUUGAUCAAUCAGAUGAAAAAAUAUGCCUCUUCUCUCCUCUUGCCUAAAUCAUUUCCCUCAGGGUUAACGGCUGCAGCAGUUGCACUGGUACCAUCCAUACUAUCUUUGCCAUCAUAAACUUUAACAAGGGAUCGGAAAGGAGCUUGAGACAAAGCAGUUGGAUUAUAAGAUUACCUGCUAAUGAGUGAUACACCAUCACCAGCUUUGCUUGUUCACCCCAAGCUGAUGCGCUCAUCAAUCAUCAUCACCGCCUCCUUAUAAUCACUCUGCUCAGAACCAAAUCAGAAUAGAAUUCUUUUUUUUUUUUUCCUUUUUACUGUAAGACAUUGUGAGUCCCUAUGCAGUUAGAAUAGGACUCAUUGAAUGCAAUUCAAAAGUAAACAAUUAAAUUCACUCAUUCAUUUAUGUGGUUCAAAAUGAAAGGAAGUAGGGAUGUAAACGGGUCGGAUAACAUCAGAACCAUGAUCUGGUUGGAACCGCGAUCUGAUUACAGAGCUCCCAUCAGAACCGCGAUCAGAUCGCGCAUUCCAAUUUGUGGAGGGUUCCCAAUCUGUAUAGCAAAAAGUGACAAAGACAAAUAAAAAAUAAAUAAAUAAAUCAAUCAAAUUGGUUGGUUAGAUUACCUUAAAUAAGUGUGUUUUAAAAGAUAGAAUAAUACGCAAAAAUCAUACCCCAAAAAAAGAAAGAGCUGGUGAUUAGAAGAGAAAUUCACAACUGGAGAUAAACAAAAGAAAAAUAUAUGUAGUAACAAUAUGUUAAGUUAUAUACACACACGCACUGGUUAUUCGAUGAGAACCAUGGUCGGACAAACGAUCUGACUAAUCCUAACCACAUUCUUGAGAAACUAGCAUACUGCAUCCCCAUAUACAGCAUGCCACAUCGUAUCCCAUUACCAGUAGCAUUGAUCCAUCUAACCUUGCUUCUGAACACAGAGUUUGCUAGACAAUGAAUUCAAAUUUCCUUAUCCAGCUUGAACUCAGGUGGGAACAAGAUUUCUAAACGUAAUUCGAAUGUGCAAAAGCAAAAUCCAAGCGGAAAUUUUAUUCGAAAUGGCUACGAUGAAGUAUUUAAGUGCCGAUUGGCAUGGGCCGUAUCGUGCCGACAAGAUAUAUGCACGAUACAGCCACUAUGCCGAUGACACAACUCAACACCCUCUAUUCUUUAAAUUAGUAAGUAAUUUUCUCAAUAAAGUUCAAAAGAUUUGAUAAAGAUAUAUAAUAAACGGUUAGAAUAUUUUGUUGCUAAAGAAAAUAAAUAUUUCAUGCCAUUGUGGGUUGGCACACAUAUAUUUUUUGUGACCGGCAAGCACAGUGCCGUACCGUGCCGGCAAGUUUCCGGCACGAACCCGUGCCACAGCACAAAUCAUUGGCUAAGAUAUUCCUAGGAUUAGCCCAAUGUAUAUAAAGGAAAGGUCAAGAAGGCUCAGAUUGGCUCACAUAUCAGGACAUGACGGCUUUUGGGCUCCCCAAAGUCUUGGAACGAAACACUGUUCUUAGGGACACGUUGUCUCUCCAUCUCCAGUUGCAUUAAAAGUGGGACAAAAUGGUUGCCUGCACAAGGCAGGCCAUCCACAAUUUGCCUUGCCAACUAUUUUGAAGUUCAAUGCAUCAAACUGCAACACAAAGAAAUACACUUGCCUAAACAAAAUUUCAGGAGAAAGUUCAGUGACCGAUGGUGCGAUUUACCCAAAGCAAAGCAUCAACACGAAAACCAUGAACCCCCAAACCCUAAAUUCAAUAUCUAAACCAACAAGGCUGCAGCUAGAAAUGGGGCUAUAUCCCUUCAAGUGGGCCAAAUCAUCAUUGCCUUUCAGAGGGAGGGUCAAAAUAAGAAAAGCCGAUAGCCAACAACAAAAAAAGAAGGGCCUGAGAAUGAACUUCUAGAGGGAGACAAGAACCACGAGCUCUCACUCUAAGAGAGACAGGGCAGCGCUUCCAAGCUUCCAUCUAGUCCUCACAAAAGUAGAUAAGUCACCAAAGUAAUGCUCAAAAUUUCAUGUUUGAGACUAACUUACGAAGCUAAAUGCAGUAAUAAGAUUUACCCAAUUUGGGGUAAAAUGUAUGGAACUAACCUGAACUAUAGGCCAUUUUGAAAUAGGCACACUUUCUCAAAGAGAAUAAGUGUAUUUGAGCACCAUCACAGGCUCCCAUGAACUCACCCCAAUUCAAUGAAGUACAACCCACAUUGUACAACAGUGCAAGGGACCCGUAGCAUACUCUUCAGAAACAGUGAUGAACUCACCAAUCAUCACUGUUUCAAGCUAUAGAACAAACAGGGAACUUGCAGCAGUACUGAGUGAAAUAGGUAUCUUUUUGUCAAAGAGGAGAAAUGGAUGAACUCACCAAUCAUCAUCACCUCCUUAUUAUCAUGCUUGCUAUUUUAUGUGUGUGCGUAUGAGAGAGAGAGAGAGAGAGAGAGAGAGAGAGAGAGAGAGAGAGGAGAGGAGAGGUGGGCUUUUUAAGAGAUCGCCUGCUCAGCCUGGAAGGGGUCCCAAUAUACUGCGUCUUGCAGAGGCUGAGAAUGAGGCAAACACUUCCAGAGGCAAAAAACCUUUAAUGUGUUACUCUGGGAUCCCAAGGGAGAUAGGCCCAGAUUUCAUAUCAGGGAAAUAUUUUGGCUAGAAAUACUUCGGCUUCUCCAGGGCACAAGAAAUUGCCUGCACCGGGUGUAUAAGUACAUCUCAUACAUCGCACUGCCAAAAUCAUAAGAUAGAGGCAUUAAAAUCAGAAGUAGAGGACCCAAAAUUUGCAUUGCCAACUGUUCUGAAGUUCAGUGCUUCAAACUGUAACUCACAAAUGAACUUGUUUAAAUGAAACUUAGCUGAAUGUUCAAUGACAAAUGGUGCAACUUACCCAAAAAGAAGCAUCGAAUCUGAAACACAGAACCAAAACCCAAAACCCUAUAUUCAACAUUCAAACCAACCAGUCUGCAUCCCAAACUAAAUUGACUUUUAAAAAGAAGGUAAAGGUAAGAAAAUAUGAUGGCCAGCAGCAGGACAAAAUAAUAAAAAUGAAACAAUUAAAAAGAAAAGCCUAAUAAUGAAUUUGGAAGGGACAUCGGAACCAUGAGAUCUGGCUUCAAGGAAGGCAGGGCAACCCUUCCAACCUUCCAACCUUUCCUAACAAGAGCCACGAAAUUUUCUAACUUAAUACUCAUAUAUAUCCCAUUUGCAACAAACUUGUGAACUUUGUUCGACCAUUGAUAAAAGGACCUCAAAAAGAACCCAAGAACCUUGAAAAAAAGGAUUAAACAACAAGAGAAUGAUGCUAUCGGUAACUCAGGAGAAGAAAAGGUUCACUGCAUUCAUGAUUUCACACAAGAUUGGUAACAAUUUAAUCAAACAUUUCAAAGCCGAUGCGUUGAUUUCAUAAAUCCUCAAGAAACAGCAAAGGAAUGUCAGGAAAAAAAAAAAAAGAGAAUAAGAAAACCCUUUGUAUUGUCUGAAAUCUGAACAGCAAAUCAGAUAAGUGGAAGAAUGUUAAUCUCAUUUGUAUCACCACGACCUUCUCCCACUGUCCCACCAUAGAAUAUCUCAUUAAAAACGGAGAAAAGAACACAGCAAUAGCAGCAAUACGUCGAAAAGAAAAGGAUUUUGUUAAAAACAUCAAUAUUCCACUAUAGCAGACUGACCUUCUAAGAACAAAACCACAAUAAAGCCACAAGACUGUGUGUUGGAAAUGGAAAGAAGAAUCAUAAUACUUAAAAAUUGAAGGGACAAAAAUUAAGAAAGGACUUCACGAAAAAUGUCGCAGAACCAAAGCAAAAACACUUGUUUAAACAACCCAAUGAAAGAAAAAAAAAACUCCAUAGAAUCUCAGCAAUAGUAAAAUAAUAGGGUUAAUUGCAUACAGCUCCCUGUAACUCCAAGAAGAAACACACACAUGGAAAUACAAUGAGAUUGGAGGAAGUGAGGCUCAGAUUCACCAUUGAUUGAUCAAAUAAACAAAUCUCCUCUCUCUCUCUCUCUCUCUCUUUAUCUCCCACGCUUCUUGUCCGAGUAAAACCCUUCAUAAGGGCAAAGGGCUGCAGCAGUUGCACUCAUGCCAUACAAGCUGCCUUGCCAUCUUGACCUUCAAAAUGGUAUGGUGUCAUCAAUCAUCAUCGCCUCCCCCUUGCAUACAUCAUUUCAACACACAUAUACAUACAUACAUACAUACAUACAUAUAUAUACACACACACACACAUACACAAGAAGGGGCAAGCUAGAGAGACUAGUCAAUCCGUCACCUCCAAGCUGCCGCAAAAACGUAAAUAAGGCGUUCACUAGCACAAAACCCUUAAAAAUGAACUCACUAAGAAUGUCGCAAAACCAAAGCAAAAACACUUGUUUAAACAACCCAAUGAAACAAAAAAAAACUCCAUAGAAUCUCAGCAUUAGUAAAAUAACCGGGUUAAUUGCAUACAGCUCCCUGUAACUCCUAGAAGAAACACACACUUGGAAAUACGAUGAGAUUGGGGGAAGUGAGGCUCAGAUUCACCAUUGAAUAUCAAAUAAACAAGUCUCCUCUCUCCCUCUCUCUCUCUCUCUCUCUCUAUUUAUCUCCCACGCUUCUUGUCUGAGUAAAACCCUUCAUAAGGGCAAAGGGCUGCAGCAGUUGCACUCAUGCCAUACAAGCUGCCUUGCCAUCUUGACCUUCAAAAUGGUAUGGUGUCAUCAAUCAUCAUUGCCUCCCCCUUGCGUACAUCAUUUCAACACACAUAUACAUACAUACACACAUACACAAGAAGGGGCAAGCUAGAGAGACAAGUCAAUCCGUCACCUCCAAGCUGCCGCAAAAACAUAAAUAAGGAGUUCACUAGCACAAAACCCUUAAAAAUGAACUUAAUAUACACAAAAUUUGUAAAUCAACAAUAAACUUCUCAACGGUUCAAGGGUUAAUUUUAUACAGUCCCCCAAAUCCGACCAUUAUUUCUAUUUCAACCUUUAAGUAGGCCAAAAUCAUCAUUGUAAAAGAAAAGCUAAGAAGCCAAGAAGGAAGCAAGGAAGAAUGGCUUGACAACACGCUUACAAUAGAGAUAAGAAACCAUGGGCUUCUAGUACGGAGAGGUAGGGCAGCCCUUCAAACCUUCCAUCCUUUCCUCACAAAAACUCGAGGAUUUUCAGUGUGUCGCUCAUGUAGUAUAUCUGGAUCAAAAGCAGAGGAACUUCCUAUAGAAUUUCUUUUUGAGCAAUGCUACUGAGCAGCAUACUGCCUCAAAAGUGGAGGAGCUAGGGAUGCCAAUGAGUUGGAUGAAUAUCAGUCCAACCCGGUUCCAAAUCCGAGUUUUUCCAGAUCCGUUCAGAUUUAUUAAACUAACCUGAAAAAAGCGCAAAACUAGUGGAUUUUUUAUGCAAAUUGGCAUUCCAUGAACUAGCCAGUUAGGUAUGAAGAAACUGAGAAGAAGGCUCAGAAUGGCCCGUUUAUCAGACACAACACUCGCUGGUUUUCUCAAACUAGAAGCAAGAAACAACAGGGGGCAUGGCUAUGUCCGGGAGUGACAGACUGUUUUUAGGCUCACCAUCCAUUCAGCAUAUCUUUUUUACUUCAUAUCUAAAGAGGCGAGCAAAUGGUUGCCUGCAGAAGGCAGACCAUCCAAAUUUGCCCAAAAAGUUUAGGGACCAGCAGUGCAAUUUACCCAAAUAAAGCAUUAAGAACUCGGACCAUGAACACCCCAAAUUCGAAAUUCGAGAACUAAACCAGCAAGUCUGCAUCCCAAUUUAGGAUAGUAUCCCCUUGGGCGGGCCAAUAUCAUCAUUGCCAAACCAAAAGAACAGCUGAUCACCGGCAACUGGAGCAAAAAAAGAGGAAGAUGCUCCUAAUAACGACAGUGCAGGGCAGCCUUUCCAAUCCCCAAAGCUCACAAACAUUUAAGGGGCUGUUUGGUUCAACAUUCGUAAUAUUCCAGGAAUGCUGUAUGUUUUAUAUGUGGACUAGCAAGUUCGUAACAUUGAUGAUCAUCUAAGAUGAUUACAUCAAUAUAUAUAUAUAUAUAUAGAAUUAGGCUACUAUUAUAUAUAUAUAUAUAUAGAGAGAGAGAGAGAGAGAGAAUUAUGCUACUAUACUAUCGAUAGUACUAAGCGUUUGGUGCUAUCGAAUUUUUGACCGUUGGAUUAAAGGAUGUGCAGUUAGGAUGAUAGCAGCCUCCUAGGGUUGAGUGGAUGGUUGGUUGAAUAGAAUAAUCUAACGGGUGAAAAUGAUCAAAAUGAUAGAUCUAACGGCGGAAAACUUGGUAGCACUAAGUGCUUCGUGCUAUAUAUAAGAGUAUAUACGGUAUAUACGAUCAAAACAGCUAUGUAAUCAGUAACUUUAAUUGAGAAAAAGAAUAUCUAUUGAACUGUAUGAUAAAAUUUAUUUCAAGAAGGGGCAAGCUAGAGAGACUAGUCAAUCCGUCACCUCCAAGCUGCCGCAAAAACGUAAAUAAGGCGUUCACUAGCACAAAACCCUUAAAAAUGAACUCACUAAGAAUGUCGCAAAACCAAAGCAAAAACACUUGUUUAAACAACCCAAUGAAACAAAAAAAAACUCCAUAGAAUCUCAGCAUUAGUAAAAUAACCGGGUUAAUUGCAUACAGCUCCCUGUAACUCCUAGAAGAAACACACACUUGGAAAUACGAUGAGAUUGGGGGAAGUGAGGCUCAGAUUCACCAUUGAAUAUCAAAUAAACAAGUCUCCUCUCUCCCUCUCUCUCUCUCUCUCUCUCUAUUUAUCUCCCACGCUUCUUGUCCGAGUAAAACCCUUCAUAAGGGCAAAGGGCUGCAGCAGUUGCACUCAUGCCAUACAAGCUGCCUUGCCAUCUUGACCUUCAAAAUGGUAUGGUGUCAUCAAUCAUCAUUGCCUCCCCCUUGCGUACACACACACACACACACACACACACACACACACACACACACACACACACACACACACACACACACACACACACACACACACACACACACACACACACACACACACACACACACACACACACACACACACACACACACACACACACACACACACACACACACACACACACACACACACACACACACACACACACACACACACACACACACACACACACACACACACACACACACACACACACACACACACACACACACACACACACACACACACACACACACACACACACACACACACACACACACACACACACACACACACACACACACACACACACACACACACACACACACACACACACACACACACACACACACACACACACACACACACACACACACACACACACACACACACACACACACACACACACACACACACACACACACACACACACACACACACACACACACACACAUACACAAGAAGGGGCAAGCUAGAGAGACUAGUCAAUCCGUCACCUCCAAGCUGCCGCAAAAACAUAAAUAAGGCGUUCACUAGCAAACAACCCUUCAAAAUGAACUCACUAACAAUGUCACAGAACCAAAGCAAAAACACUUGUUUAAACAACCCAAUGAAAGAAAAAAAAAAACCUCCAUAGAAUCUCAGCAUUAGUAAAAUAAUAGGGUUACAGCUCCCUGUAACUCCAAGAAGAAACACACACUUGGAAAUACAAUGAGAUUGGGGGAAGUGAGGCUCAGAUUCACCAUUGAAUAUCCAAUAAACAAAUCUCCUCUCUCUCUCUCUCUCUCUCUCUCUCUCUCUCUCUCUCCCACGCUUCUUGUCCGAGUAAAACCCUUCAUAAGGGCAAAGGGCUGCAGCAGUUGCACUCAUGCCAUACAAGCUGCCUUGCCAUCUUGACCUUCAAAAUGGUAUGGUGUCAUCAAUCAUCAUUGCCUCCCCCUUGCGUACAUCAUUUCAACACACAUAUACAUACAUACACACAUACACAAGAAGGGGCAAGCUAGAGAGACAAGUCAAUCCGUCACCUCCAAGCUGCCGCAAAACAUAAAUAAGGAGUUCACUAGCACAAAACCCUUAAAAAUGAACUUAAUAUACACAAAAUUUGUAAAUCAACAAUAAACUUCUCAACGGUUCAAGGGUUAAUUUUAUACAGUCCCCCAAAUCCGACCAUUAUUUCUAUUUCAACCUUUAAGUAGGCCAAAAUCAUCAUUGUAAAAGAAAAGCUAAGAAGCCAAGAAGGAAGCAAGGAAGAAUGGCUUGACAACACGCUUACAAUAGAGAUAAGAAACCAUGGGCUUCUAGUACGGAGAGGUAGGGCAGCCCCUCAAACCUUCCAUCCUUUCCUCACAAAAACUCGAGGAUUUUCAGUGUGUCGCUCAUGUAGUAUAUCUGGAUCAAAAGCAGAGGAACUUCCUAUAGAAUUUCUUUUUGAGCAAUGCUACUGAGCAGCAUACUGCCUCAAAAGUGGAGGAGCUAGGGAUGCCAAUGAGUUGGAUGAAUAUCAGUCCAACCCGGUUCCAAAUCCGAGUUUUUCCAGAUCCGUUCAGAUUUAUUAAACUAACCUGAAAAAAGCGCAAAACUAGUGGAUUUUUUAUGCAAAUUGGCAUUCCAUGAACUAGCCAGUUAGGUAUGAANUGGCCCCCUAGGGUUGAGUGGAUGGUUGGUUGAAUAGAAUAAUCUAACGGAUGAAAAUGAUCAAAGGGUAGAUCUAACGGCAGAAAACUUGAUAGUAUCAGGAACUUGGUACAAUCGAUAGUAUAGUAGACGGACUAUAUAUAUAUAUAUAUAUAUAAUAUUUGUUUGCAAUGAUACAUAUACACCGAAAAGUAGGGCGUAAAUGUAUCAAACUAAGAUCUACAACCAAAGACGAGGUUGUAAUCUUACAACACCACCAUCCAUCCAGGGACCAAUAUUAUUAUUUCUUUUCCUCAUCACUCCCUUUUUCUUCUAGGGAGUAGUCUAAAUCCCGGGCCGGAGGGAGGGUCGUAAGAUUACAAUCCCUUUUUUGGUUGUAGACGUCAGUGUAUUUUUCCCAUUUUGAAGGAGACAUGCUAGGUCUUCGACCGAAAAGGAGAGGCACCCUUUCGCAAAACAUAAGAGAGAGUAGUAGCAGUAGCAGCAGCAGCAGCAGUAGUAGAAGAAGAAGAAGAAGAAGAAGAAGAGGGAGCAUAGCAUCACAAGGGGCAACAUCAGUUUUUGGGAACCCUGUAGCUUUUACUGGAAGAGGAGAAACGGCUAGCAGCUUACCAAGUAACAUCACCUCCUACUUAUUUUGUAUGCUAGAGAGAGAUCUAGAGAGAGAGAGAGAGAGCGUGUGUGUGUGUGAGAGAGAUCUAUAGAGAGAGAGAGAGAGAGAGUGUGUGUGUGUGUGUGUGUGUGUGUGAGAGAGAGAGAGAGAGAGAGAGAGAGAGAGGGUUUUUGAGGAGAGAGAGAGAGAGAGAGAGAGGAAACCCUUUGUUGUUGCGGAGGAGAGAGCACCAACUGGGCCUGAGGAGGAAGAGGAGCACUCGAUCGAUCCCCUCCCCUCCCACUGUGGAGGAAUUCUACACUGUCACACCUGCACCACGUUGUAUUCUAGAAUUUUUCCCCACUCUGCCGUUUGCCCUGGAACCCAUUUUCUGGUUAUAUAUUCCCGUGGGAAGGGAAAACACAGAGUCAAGCAAUUACAAGGCUUAAGCACUAUCAUCUAUACAUUUAAAUAAGGAAUUGAGUUCCUGUACUUUUAAUAGUAUCAUCAUGUCAUAUAUAUAUAUAUAUAACCUUUAAACUAAAAAUAUAUAUAAUUAGAAUGGUUAUAGUCUUCUAAAAUUAAAUAGAUAGUUGAUUAAAUAAUAUAAUUUAAUCAAUGAAAAUAAAAAAUAGAUAUAACCACAGAAAAUUUAUAAAUACCAAAUGCACGGUGCUUGAACUCCUAAAUAAACAUACUAUUAUUACUUGAUAUUCCUUCAAAGCUGCACAGUAAUUUUUCCUUUCUCCUCUCCCCCAUGCGCCUUUCUGUCUCUCUCCUAUGUGUGUGUGUGUGUCUCUCUCUCUCUCUCUCUCUCUUGGCGAUAUUGUAUCCCUUCUAUAUCUCUCUCUCCUCGAUCUUAUCACUUUUUUCUUUUUUCUCUCUCCUCCUCCUCCUCCCGUGCUUCUCGCUCUCUCUUUCCUUCAUUUGACCUUUCUUGUUCUCCCUGAUUUUUGACCGGUUAUAAUUGAAUUGAUCAUUAUGAUGAAAUUUUUUGUAACUGACUGUGUUUUAACUUUGCCUAUAGAGAUAAAUCUAGGUUAGAGGUGGGAUUGCCCUAACCUCUGAUGCGACCCAACUUUUUUUUUUAAUAGUUUUCUUUUAUUAAACAAGUUCAAAUUUAAAUAUCUGUUAUUUAGGAAUAUAAUUAGGGAUAGUCAAUUAUCUUGUUAGGAAAUGGUUAGAAGUAGUUGAACUCUAUAUAAUGUAACCGGGGCGUUACAAGAAACUAUCAAGUAAAAUUAUCUCUUUUCCCUCAUAUCUUGUCCCUACCUCUCAAUUUCUUAAUUCUCUGGAGGCUCGAUCCCCUCGAAGUGAUCGUUUAUCCCUAUUGAUACGGUAGGAUCGUAUCAACCUCUCUCUCUUCUCCUCUUUACCUUAUUUGUGCCUCUCUCUCUCUUCUUCUCCUAUGUCUUUCUUUCGCCAAGCUUUUUUCUCUCCUCCGAUACUGGUCUUUUUCUGUUUGCUCUUCUCGCCCUAUUUCUGGAGCAUUCAAAAAUUAUUAUUUUACAAAAUUUUAUGGGGAAUGCAAAAUAUAUAUUUAGAUUGUCAUGAGAUAGGGUCCCUAUAUUUCUCUCUUAUACUUCUACUUUGCUGGGAGAGAGAAAUGAUUCUAUUAAGAAGUGCUGAUUAGACAGUGACAACUAAACAUCUUUUAUAAUAAAUUCAUUGUGAACUUCCAUCAAUUUUCUUUUUAAUUUUUUUCUGCUACUUUUUAAAUAUUUUCUUUUUCUUAUCAAAACACACUGAACAUUCCUGCUGCAACUUUCAACCAGUUUUAAUAAUAUUUUUGAAAACAAUAAUAACUCAAGAUAGGAAUUUUUUUUUAAAAAAAAAAAAAACCUAAAAUACAGUAUGAUGAUAUAAUGAAACUAAGCCUAGAUCUUUUGACCCAAACCAGUCCAUUCCAGUAAGUGCCCUCUUAUACCCAUCCAUCCUUACAUAAAGAGUUACAAAUAACCCAGCAAAAUUUGCAACCAAACUACUAAUUGAAGAUACAAUGCUUGAAACUGAGAGGCUAUUUACAAUUUUGGAUACAGAGCUUGCAACAAGAACCGAAAUGUAAGGAUCUGGUAGAAACAAUUAAAAGAUUGCAGACCAACCGAUAAUAACAAAGAAAGUUCGCAAAAUCCUUGAGCAGUCUGUCAAUACAAGUACAUAGCACAAAACAAAAGCAUAGACUCCUUUUCCUUUCUUCAGUAUUAGAUCACGGCUCACUUCCGCCAUUGAAUGAUGAAAUAAGCUGAUCCCUUGCAGCUGAUUUCUCGCAUCCCUUCGUCACAUCCAAAUCAGACUGCUCGAAGGGCACCAUCGUAGCUGCCUUUGCCACUGUAAACUACAUAACUGUUGAGUUCAUUAAUCAUCGUCACAUCUGUAGAUGUAAAUAUACAUUUAUAUGUACAAAUAUACGUAUGUACGAAUGUACAUACACAUAGACAAAUGGAAGUAAUGCGGUUGGUGAUGUAGAAAUUACUAAGUACUAUAUCAACAUGACAUCAUCAUCCAGCUACUUAAAUGGGACUAUAAAGCUUGAUUGCAACAAUUUAUAGAGUUCGAGCAAAAAAUUUCAAUAAAUUAAAAUAUGAGGACAAAAGUGUCACCCACCUUACAGUUCGAGGGCCCAAGUAUAAUUUUGCCUAUACACAUAUAUGCAUAAACGCAAGCAAACAUAGACAAGAUGCAGGGAAAAGAGACAGAUUAACUGUUGCAAACACUGAAAGAGAGUUCAUUCCCGGAAAAUCCAUACAAAUGUAAGUGACAUACCCCGAAUUUGUUGAUGAAUAGGUAUUCGAGUCAGAAAAUCUCACAAUGAGAAUGAAGAUGCAAAAACUGAAAAAGGUGAAAAAUUGCAAAACAGAAAAAAUUAUAUUUUACAUGGGAAAAAAAACUAAAAUAAUAAGGACAAUUUCACACGCAGAGUACUGCUCUCAAUUUAGCUAACUUGAUUUUGAAGGGAAAAUGGAGGCUCAGAUUGAUCCAUCUAUCAAGCAUGACAAUUUAAUGCUAGGGAUAAAAGCACCAGAACCACCCGAACUUUAACCUGCUACCACUUGUUUUGGGGAUAAGUGCAGAAAAGACUGUCUAAACUUCAGCUACCUUGCACAGAAACCACAAGAAUAUUUACCAUUUCUGCAAAUUGCCAUCUAAACUUGAAAUUUUCAUACCUAGCACCCAAACAUUCAAAUAUAUUAUAUUAACAACUUUAUUUUCAAACAAGAAAACUCCCCUUUGUUUCUUGAUCAUCGAACUAAUAGCCAUUGCUCCAAACAGGAAAUCUCCUUGAUUCAUUGGAAACAAUCAAGUAAUUAGGAUGCCGAACAUAAAAUUUUCCAAAGUUUCAAUAAAUACCUGCAGAUGGGCAGAGCUUCAGGUAGCUCCGGUGCAGUUGGCCCUUAACUUUGUGUCUCUCCAUCUCUAUUGGACCUAAAAGCAGGGGCAAAUGGUUGCCUGAGAGGCAACAGACCAGCCAAAAAUUGCCCUGCCAAAAUUUUAGAACCAUAGCGCAUGGAGAGAAAAGAGCAGUAUGAACAGAGAAAACUUCGAAAAUCCAAAACCCUAAACCUCAUACGCUAAUCAGAUAUCAAAACUCAAGCUUGCAAGGCAAAAUUGUCAAAGCAAACCUUUCUACAGUGGACCAAAAUCAUCAUUGCCUCAAAGAGAGAAAAAAGAAAGGGUAUCCAGCAGCGAUAGCAGCGGCAGCAGCAAAGAAAUUAGCAAAAGCAUAACAAUGCUCUUAAAAUGGCAUUAAGCUUAAGAAUCCUUCAGCGUAAACAUUGUACAUCCUAUCAGAUCCAACAUGGUGGACAAGGACUAGGCAAUAAUUUCUCAGACAGCAUGGCUUAAUGGUCAACAAAAGUCGUGAUCAGCUUCUGUUGGGCUCCGCCACACUCUUGGUAGAAAAAGCCCCUAAGCCACCGUUUGGUUCGGGGUUGAGUAAAAACUUGUUAUUCCAGGAAUAGAGUUAAAUUCAGGGUUAAGGUGGGGUUAGAGUAAUUUUGUGUUUGGUUGAGAAUUGGGUAUAGUCUAGGUAUAGGUAAAAUAGUAUUUGGUUGGAGUAGAUGGGAUAAGAAGGAUAGUGGAUAAAACAGUGUUUUGUUUGGUUGGAGUAGUGGAGUGGGGUGGGGUUAGCUAACCCAACCCUCCAAAUUGGGUGUUUGGGAAUAACUUCGGGGUUAAGGGGUUAUUCCACCCCUUAACCCCGAACCAAACGGGUGCUAAGAGAACAGGACUCCUCAAAGUAUAGUAUAUGAAAAUACAGAAAACGAAUUAUGAAUUCUUCAUCUCAAAGUAUAGCAUGAAAAUACAGAAAACAAAUUAUGAAUUCUUCAAUGAGGCAGUGUAGAGAAAUAAAACGUGAAGAUUCAGAUUACCCCGUCAAUAGGACGAGAAAUCCAGAAUUUCCUCCAUAAGAUGAACAUACGGAUAGGCAAUGCAGAGACUUACAUAUGCACCAGGGUGUAGGCAGCAAUUUUUCACAGUUUUGCGACUUGCUAUCUCUCCAGGCCUGAAGAGUGGCUGCAAACGGUUGCCUGCUAAACACAGACCAACCGAAAUUUGCCUUGCCCCUCAAUACACAGGAGAAAAUAGCAGCAUAUACAAAACGUGCACCAAAACUCCAAACCCUGAAACAAAGUACGAAAUCCAGAUUCCAGGAUCUGCAUUAACAAACCUGCAGUCCAAAUCACGUAACAUCCUUCUGGGCGUGCCAAAGCUUCUACGAGAAAGAAAAAGAGAAUACAGCAGAACCAGCAAAGAAAGGCAAGAUGAAAGACAAAGAAAACAAGAAGAGGAAAGAAUAAGAGAAAGGACUCGAGAUUCCAAAAGAAGAAUCACCGGCCAUGGGAGUGAUGAUAGAGAGAGCAAAGGAAGCAAAUCCAUCUCUCUAAUUCUCUUGAAAUCACUCCAAUGGGAAGAAUACACUACCACAGCCCACGACAUGGUGCAGGCAAUACUUUCUCCUCUCCACACCAUAAGAAUAAUAUGGAUAUUCGGAUCUACAGGGUGCAGGCAAUAAUUUCUCAUAGUUGUGAGGGACUCCAUACAUUUUUACAUUAAAAUAACUAAAAAAGAUAGAUUUCUUGAAAUAAAUUUCUAUUAGAUUAUAGAAACAAGUGCCUUCAAAAACCAUCAUGAUAACAACUAAACUAUAAAUUAUUGGCUAUUUAUUAUUAGCUAAAAUAAGUCCAAUUUCCUAUCCCAUGAUAAUAUGCCCAAAAGACUAAUAAGUUGAGUUGGAUAAGCCCAACAAGUUGAGGGAGACUGCAAUCCGCAAUACACCUAACAGCAAGAGGCCCAACAAUAGACAUAACAUCCAGGUGAUGCAAGUCAAGUCGAAGCCGGUGAGCGCUAUAGUUGAGCCCUUAAGUGCGAUGGAUAUGCCCUUCCUAUUAGGGCUUGCUUUUUGGAUAGUUGGUUAGCGCUUACGAUCCAUAUCCAUAUACAUAAGUGAAAAAAAGGAAAAUAUUUUGUGAAAAGCAUUGAAUCCAAAACAAAUGCAUACAUCUCUUUGGAGAUAUCUGAUAAAAUGGAAUGAUAUAGAGAAGAUUAGCAUGGCCCCUGCACAAGGAUGACACGCACAGAUCAAGUCAAUGCACACGAUUUAAUCAUGAACAGAGGUACUCACAGUCCACUACACUGCCGCAAGCAAAUGGAUCUUUUACAACAAUGAAACACAUUUAGUUUGCAUUAGAAGCUCCAUUAAGGAAAAUACUGCAAAAGUCAAAGGGAAAGGUAUUACAAAGAAAUGUGAAGUCCAAAGCUCCGAUCAAAACAAGUUACAUGUUAAGUUUAUAAUUGGCAGUUAUUAAUAUUAUAGUAACUCUAUAGAGUUGAUCACAUUGCUGAAGAGAGGAUGAGAUUGCGAAGAUAGCUCAGAUUCGCCCUUUGAUUGAUCACAUAGAUCACUCCCCUCUCCGCCCAUUCAAAUCAAACACUUAAUGAUGAAUGGCUGCAGCAGUCACACUGACCCAUCCAAGCUACCUUGCCAUUACAGUCACCAUUUUCUUAACGUGUGUGUGUACCUAUGCAUAUGUAGGGACAUACACACACGCGCGCACACGCACACACACAAAAACAAACACGCACACACACACACACACACAAUAGGUCCGUCUUGCAUGCAUGCAAACAAAAACAAACACGCACACACACACACACACACACACACACACACACAUAAUCAAUUUAUCUAUCUACCCAUCCAACCAUCGAUAAUAUACAAGGAGCGGUAAAGAGUGACUACACUCAAAUCAUUGCCUGCCAAACUGCAGCAAGAAACACAAAAUGUGGUUUGUUACACAAAAUUUUAACAAGUGAACUUUGUGUGCUAAACUUGUAAUCUUUAAACACAUUUAGGCCUGCAAAGGUCGCAAUCAAGGGGUGAAAAAAAGAAAAAAAGGUGCCAAAAAGUUGUAAAACUAAGAAAAGGUAAACCUUUUAUUCAAAUGGCAUAAAGAAAAAGGCCAACUUAAUACAUAGUAAAAGGUAAAAUUCUUGUCAUACUCAACUGGCUAUAAGAGACAGGUGAGGAUGGCUCAGAUAUUGGCCCAUCAAUCAAGCGUAACGAUUGCUUAAACUCCUCAAUAUUGAAGUAAAUGACAAUGCUAUAAAAAAGUACAGGGCAAUCUUCUGAACCAACAAACUAUUUUUAGUUGUCACCAUUCUUUUCAUCUUCAUUGGCCUAAAAGUGGUUGCAAAUUGUUGAUUACGUAGAAGACCAGCCGAAAUUUGCCUUGCCAACAUAUUAAUGCCUUAGAUGACGAGAAAAGAGAAGUGAGCACACAAAGUGUCAAAACCCAAAACCCUAAACCCCAAAACAUAAACCGAAGAUUGAUAUGAAUGACUAAGCAAUUCCGCACCAUAAAAUUAGGAAAAUAUCCUUUGCUCAGGCCAAAAUCAUCAUUGCCUUGAAUAGAAUAGAAAAGAGAAGUAAAAGGUACCCAUCAGCAGAAGGGGCAAAGAGGGAAGCACGUCCUUAUAAUUAGGGGUGUUCAUGGGAAUCGAAGAAGCCGAAAGCAUAACUGAACCAAAGUUUCUUUUUUCUUUCUUCCCAACACAUGUUUGAUUCCAGUACACAGAAUUCCAAAAACCAGAUUUUCUGGUUCGGUUAUGUUUUGCAUUUUUUCUCCACAAAGUAAAAAAUAAAUAAAUAAAUAAAAAUCAGAAAAACAGUUAACCCAUCCGAACCAGUUUGGUUCAUAAACAUCUAAAGUUGUUCCAAUUCACUUUUCUUUGGUCCUUCUAGUUCAAAAGCAAAGCCCCUACCAAUCUAGGGUUUCAAGAUCACCAACCUUUAUCACAUCUCCUCCUUCGACGCGCCCCUUCUCCUCUGGUGGCUCCCCCACCAAACCAUCUCUCUCUCUCACUUAAAUCUUAUUCGCCACCUGCUCACUCUUAGACACCACCGUCAACACUGUCAAUGCCAAACAGGCUAACCAGUUUGCCAUACCGGUUGAAACCAAAAAACUGGUGGUUUUGCAACCUGUUCAUAUUUUGUCCAAACCGGUCCAGUUAAUUAGACUGGUUUCACCCCUACUUAUAAUGAACAUACAAAGUAGAUAUGAUUGCUUUGAGGAAAGUUUGUGAGGAGGCCUUCAAACUUUCAUCCACGCAACACAUAACUUGCUACUCAUAAUGAACAUGUUAGGGCAUAAAAAAUAUAAAAGUUUUUCCCUAACAUUUCCAAAUCAGAUCCAGGAAAAGGGAGAUAAAAAAAAAAGAGAUCCAAAACUAGAUUAAUAAGAAUAAAAAAUACCGAAGUGCCUGUGAAGCAUCUCCUAGAGAGAGAUUGCAACUAAAGGAAACAAGACAUGGCUUCAGAUCUAACGAAGUUUGCAACACAUCUGUAAACAAUAUGUGAAAAAGAAGCAUAAACACUCCCUAAAUCGACAAAAAAAGGAAAAAAGUACCUCCAAAUCGGAUCUAACUUCAGUUCGAAAACAAUGAGUUUUAGCGAGAGAGAAGUGAUUAAAUAUGUAUGCGAAAAUGGCGAAUGGAGGGAAGGAGAUCACAAAGAUUACCUGGGAGGACGAAGUAGUAGAAGAGGAUAGGUGUUCGUGCGAGAGAGAGAGAGAGCAGCGUGCAACAAUACUCGCCUUCAGUAAUCCAAUAUACGCACCCCCCCCCUCCCCCCUUCGGUAAUAUUUUCGGUGUAAUCUUACACCUUUUGUUAUGCUGAAAUACCAAAUAGAUUACAUAUUGAAUGAACCAAAUGCAGUAAUCCUGACAGGAUUGCAUGUAAUCCUGCAAGGAUAACCGAACCAAACGCACCCUUUAUGUAAUGCUUCUAAAUCAUGCCUGACAUGGUGGACCAAAUCCAGCCAAUAAUUUCUCAAAGAGUAGGGCUGCCAAAUUAACUUACUCUUGCAAACAGCUUGUGUGUAGCUUGAAGCUCAAUUGAGUUGAUUACAUUGGCUGCUUUAAGAAAUAAGCUGAGCAUGAGAUAGGAGUGAAAACGGAUACAAAUCAGCAAAGUAGAUAAAUCAUAUCUGCACCUAUAUUCCAUAUUUCUUUUCCAAAUUCUUUUGUUUUUCCCCCUUCUCCUGAAUAUGGAAACAGAAGAUAUGUGGAUUCUAAAGUUGGAAAUCAUAUUUGAAUAAAAAGCUACAGAAUAAAACUAAAACUUGAUAUAACAUAAUUGUACUAUAAAUAUGUAACAUAUCUUGAAAAAGUGUAAAAUAAAUCAAUAAGGAACUCAUACAAAGAUUCAAGGGAAACAAGCAAUAAAAGAAGAAAACCAGGAAGUAUGCCUCUCACAAAACACAAAACCCUCACACUACCAACAUCAAAAGGUUAUCUGGAAAAAAAGGAAUAAAGAUCAAGUAGCACAAGAAGCUACAGAAUGGUUUAUAAAAGUGGAAACUUCGACAGAUUAAACUCUCGAGAUUGAGACCAACUGCAACAGAUUUAAUGCCUUCCUAUUCAGUUUCAAAGCUAAGCAUAUCCAACUACAACAGAUUAAGCUCUCGAGAGUCAAGACCAACUGAAAAUUCACGUAAGUUCAGGUACCAAUAGUGCAAUUUACCCAAAUAAAGCAUUAAAGCUGAACACCCCAAAUCCUGAUUUCGAGAACUAAACCAGCAAGCCUGCAUCCCCAAGUUAGGGUACUGUCUUUUUGGGUGGGCCAAGAACUAGAAACACAGAUGGAGAUACAAUGAGAUUGGAGGAAGGGAGGCUCAGAUUCACCACUGAUUGAUCAAAUAAACAAAUCUCCUCUCUCUCUCUCUCUCUCACUUUCUCUCUAUCUCCCACACUUCUUGUUCAAGUAAAACUCUUCAUAAGGGCAAAGGGCUGCAGCAGUUGCACUCAUGCCAUACAAGCUGCCUUGCCAUCAUGACCUUCGAGAUAGUAUGGUGUCAUCAAUCAUCAUUGCCUCCCUGUUGUGGACAUUAUGUCAACUUACAUACAUUUAUACAUAUACGUUAUACACAAGAAGGGGCAAGCAAGAGAGCUUAAUCAAUCCAUCACCUCCAACCUGAGGCAGAAACAAAAAUAAGCCGUUCAAUAGCACAAAACCCUCAAAAAUGAAAAUGUAUCCAAAAUUUGAAAAUCGACAAUUAACUUGUCAAAGGUUCUAGGGUUAACUUCAUAUGUAGUUCCUGAAAUCCGACCAUUAUUUCCAUUUUGGCCUUUAAGUAGGCCAAAAACAUCAUUGCCUUUCAAAAAGGAAAAGAUAAGAAGCGAAGAAGGAAGUAAGAAGGGCUCAACAAUGCACUUAUAACAGCAAUGAUAACCACAGGCUGUUAAUAACAAGAGGUAGGGAAGCUGUUCAAACCUUCCAUCCUUCCCUCACAAAAACUCGAGGAUUUUCAGUGUGUCGCUCAAAUGUUGUCUGGGUCCAUUUUAAUGCAUCAAAAGCAGAGGAGCUGCCUUUAGAAUUUCUUUUUGAGCAAUGCUAUGAAGUUAGGGAAGCAAAUGGGUUGCAUAAUAUCCGUCCAACCAAGCUUCCAAAUCUGAAUUUUUCCAUCUCUCCUGGCCUGAAGAGUGGCUGCAAAUGGUUGCUUGCUAAAACACAGACCAACCAAAUUUGCCUUGCCCCUCAACAGGAGGAAAUAGCAGCUUGUACAAAAACCAUACCAAAGCUGCAGACUGUGAACCACAAACCUUGAACCCAGAUUACCGACCGUCCCUAGCGCAGGAAGCACUGAGCCAUAUGCUUAAGUUUUUUAUUUUUUUUAAUAGAAAAAAGGAAAAGAUGUUGCGAAGUUUUGAAAUCCAACAAAAUCAGUCAAACUGCACACAUCGCUUCAGAGACAUCUGAUAAAUUGGAACAAUACAGAGAAGAUUAGCAUGGUCCCUGCAGAUCCAGCCAAUAAUCUUCCAAGAGUAGGGCUGCAAUCAAGUUAACACAAUUGACUACUUUCGGAAACAAGCUGAGAAUGUGCUAGGGGUGAAAAUGGAUCGAACACAAAUCAGCAGAGUAGCUAAACCAUAUCUACAUCCAUAUUGCAUAGUUCUUUUCCAAAUUCUUGCUUUAUUUUUUAUUUUUUAUAUUGGAAAUCAAGUUUAAUAACAUAUAUUAAAAUAUCUACAAUGUUCUUCAAAACUUCAAAAAACUUUAUUUACCCCUGGAGGACCAACAUACCCUUAUUGAUUUCAAAAAAUUCAUUCAUAUAUCCCCUAGAGGAAAUGGGGAUAUAUGAAUGAAUUUUUUAUUUUUUAUAUUGGAAAUCAAGUUUAAUAACAUAUAUUAAAAUAUCUACAAUGUUCUUCAAAACUUCAAAAAACUUUAUUUACCCCUGGAGGACCAACAUACCCUUAUUGAUUUCAAAAAAUUCAUUCAUAUAUCCCCAUUUCCUCUAGGGUUUACAAUGGGUUGGUUUUAAAAGGAUACUUUGGUAAGUUUAGGGUAAAUUUGAAAAUUUUGAGUAAGACCCUCAAGAAAAUUUACAACAAAUCAAUAGAUACAAGGAUUUAAGGAAAACAAGUAAUAAAAGAAGCUAAGAAUUAAUAUGCCAGCUACAAAACACAAAACCCUCAGCCUAACAAGAUAAAGCAGCUGUCUGGGAAAAGAAAGAAAGAAGGAAAAGUAGAAAGCAGCUGCAGAAUUGUUUAAUAAAAGUGGAAAUGUCAACAGAUAAAAAUAAUUGAAAGAAAAGGAAGAGGAUGGUGGAAGGGACAUCAAAUUCAUCUUUGUUUGGUCAAAUAAAUAGGGAUAAUUUCAUAUGCACCCUUUAGUCCAUUAAAUCUUCAAUCAACCCACCCACUCAACCAUAGGACCGCUAUUAUCCUAACCGCACAUCCCUUCAUCCAAGGGCCAAAAACCUAAUAGCAACAAUGACUUAGUGCUAUUAAUAGUAUAGUACCCUAGUUCUACAUAUAUAUAUAUAUAUCCUCUCCGCCACAAUGAAGCCCCUCCUGUAGGCAAACAGCUGCAGCGGGUGCACUAAUGCCAUCCAAAGCUGCCAGCCAUCAUAAGCUUCAAUAUGGGAUCUGAAAGGGAGAAGGGUCGAGGAAACAAUUUCUCCAACCCCACGAAUGGUGAACAGAUGUAUAUAUGGAUGCAACUGGUGCAAGCAAUAAUUUCACAUAGACAGGGACAUGUUCACACAUUUUUACGAAAAUAUCCUUCGAGGAGAAUAUUUGGCUUCCCAAGCUUAUAAACAAUUGAUAGCAACAAGGUAUUGCAUGGAGCUAUGCACCAAAACAAUACAAAUCACCUUACAUACAUGCAUCUCCCACCAGCCUAACAAUGCGCAAAUUUUAAAUGGUAGUCUGCAAAGAAGCGUCUUGCCAACCAUGCAACAACUUCAGCAUAUUAUAAGAAAGAGAAAUAUGCAAAAAUAAUGGGUCAAAUUGCAAAUCCAAAACCCCAACCCAAGCCCAAGAUGAAAGGUAGUAAGUUUACAUUCCAGACACAGAAAACCCCAAUAACUUGGCCGAGGCAAUAAUUUCUCCAAAUGUAGGGCUGUCAAUUGAGUCGUUUGCUUUCAAACAACUUAUAUUCAGCUUGUGUUACGCUUAACCACCCUUCUCUUUUUACAAGAGAAACAUCAAAGAAAACACCUCAAAAAACACUUCUUCAAAUACUUAAAAAGAAGCAAAACGAAUUAUAAAUUCGUCAAUCAAGCCGAGAUAAUAAUAAUUAAAAUCUUUUUACAAGAGAAACGUCAAAGAAAACACCUCAAAAAACACUUCUUCAAAUACUUAAAAAGAAGCAAAACGAAUUAUAAAUUCGUCAAUCAAGCCGAGAUAAUAAUAAUUAAAAUCUUUUUACAAGAGAAACGUCAAAGAAAACACCUCAAAAAACACUUCUUCAAAUACUUAAAAAGAAGCAAAACGAAUUAUAAAUUCGUCAAUCAAGCCGAGAUAAUAAUAAUUAAAAUCUUUUUACAAGAGAAACGUCAAAGAAAACACCUCAAAAAACACUUCUUCAAAUACUUAAAAAGAAGCAAAACGAAUUAUAAAUUCGUCAAUCAAGCCGAGAUAAUAAUAAUUAAAAUCUUUUUACAAGAGAAACGUCAAAGAAAACACCUCAAAAAACACUUCUUCAAAUACUUAAAAAGAAGCAAAACGAAUUAUAAAUUCGUCAAUCAAGCCGAGAUAAUAAUAAUUAAAGAUAAGGCUCAGUUUGGCCCAACUGCCAGAUAUGAAAAUAUCAGUAUUUUCUCCAUAAAGUGGAGGGUGAAUGAGCGGACAACAUGCAGACGUACAGAUACACCAGGUGCAUGCAAUAAUUUUAUUGGUAGUUCUGUUACUCAUAGUCACCAUCUCUUCAGCCUAAAGAAUGGCUGCAAAUGGUUGCCUGCUAAGAAACAGAUUAACAGACCAGCCAAAUUUGCAUUACCCACUCAGUAGACACAAGAAAAUAACAGUGCUCCAAUAUAAAGCUCAAAAACUCCAAACCCAGAGCCCACAAAUCAGAAUAUGGGGAUCUAAAUUGACUCUGUGUCACAAAUUGGGUAGAAUUUUUUUUAUAAGUAAUCCUAUCAAUUUUAUAAUUAUAAAAAUAAUUUCUUAAAAAAAAUAAUUAUAAAAAUAGACUUCUAAAUGCGGUGAAUGAUUUACCGCAUUUAUAACUCCUCAUUAGGGGUAGAAAAAGAAUAAAAGCGGUGAACCAUUCACCGCUUUUACCAUCGUAGAAAUAUAAAAAAAAGUGAGAAAAUGAAAGAAAGCGGUGAAUGGUUCACCGCUUUUAAAAGCGGUGAACCAUUUACCGCUUUUAUAGGACCAUAUUAAUAAAUAAAAAUUUAAUAGAUCUAUUUUUAGAAUAAAAUUUUAGGAGAAGACUAUUGAACUAAAAAACCCCUCUUGGUGGGCCAAAAUCAUCACCGCCUCAAAAAGAAAAGAAAAGAAAAGAGAAUAAAUCUUGCAGAAGUAGCAAUGAAAGGUAAGGAAUGAAGAGCCAUGAAAUAAACAUACAAAGACAGGAAACAUUUUUGAAAAAAAACUCCCUUAUCCAUUUCCAAAUCCGAAUGAUAGCGCAGAUACACCACUUCAGAAUCAAACCUGAAGAAAUAUUGACACAUUGUAAAACUCAUGUUAUUUAUUAUCCGACCCAUUUCAUCCCUAGAAAUAGCCCUACAAAGUGAAAAAAAAAAAAAACGGACCACUUUGGUAGCCGCAACAUUGGUAAAAAGAAAAAGGACCACUUUGGUAGGAGCAAUAUCUGUAAAACAAGAGAGUCUCCAGUGCAAUGGUUAUAUGAACAGCACUCAGACUGAGUUGUGGUGCUCACACUGUGGAGAGCCAUCACACCUACAAGAUUUUCCAGAGUUUCCAUAUAACACAAUGACUUGGGGAAUGCCAGUGUGAUGCAGUACAAGAUUCCAUACAUUUUUACCAAAAAAAGAUAAAAAAAAGCAUUCAUCCUCUUUUAAUCCAUUCUGCCAAGUGGAUUGGACCAUAACUCACGCAUGGAAUUGUGCAAGUAAUCAUUUCUCCUCUCCCAUGGGCAAUAUGUGCACAGAGUGCAGGCAAUAAUUUCUCAUAAAUGAGGGGACUUAAUACAUUUUAACCAAAAAAUCUCAAAAUUAAAUAACAUAAUCUUUUUUUUUAUCUUAAUAAUAUCAUGGCAACCACUAAACAUGAAAUAAGACAUAUGCAGGAACAAGUAGAAUAUGAAAAGAUUUUGCAGAAAACGAAAGUAUUACAAGAUAUCAGCUAAAUAAAUAUAAUUUAGAUAUCAACAUAAAUAAACAUACUCCAAUAGAUUGACAAAAGCAGAUGAACUUUUAGAAAAAAAUACCAACAUUAAACAGCAUUAAAAGCUCAAAAAAGAACACAAGUACAAAAAAAUGAAGACAAAUAGUAAGAAACCUUAUUUCCAACAUCUCAGUACCAAAGCCCAAACCACUAGUCGAACAGGAUCGAAUUAAAAUACAAACCCUCCCAAUGCCAGAAAUUAUCAAAAUAGUAAUGUUAUAUAGUAGAAAACAAAGCAGGAGAUUGGAUGAGAUUGUGCAGGGAACUCAUAUUCGCGUUUUAUUGAUCAGAGAUAUAUCUCUCUAGCCUGCCCUCUGCACUUGUCCAAAUCAAACCCUCCUAAGUUUGAAUGGCGGCAACAGAUGUGAUCGCGCCAACCAAGCUGCCAUGCCAUUACAACCUUAAUAGAGAAUGAAGUUCACAAUCAUCAUCACCUCCUCAACUUGCAUAUCUAUGUAUGUACAUGCACCGAUACUUACAUAAUAUGUGCAGACUUCCAAAAUAUAUAUACUAGAAAAGGUAGCGAAGAGUGAUUAUGAUCCAAACUAAUUCAAAAUUAGAAUAAUAUGGGUAAACUUUAUUAAUUAACAGUUAUUGAGGUCAGAAAAGGUCGCAACCGAGCAGAGGAAGCAAAAGAAUUUUUUUUUCAGAAAGCUGCAAAAAUGAGAAGAUGUGUGUUUUGUCUUAUUCAAAAUGAGAUAUGGAAAAGGCCAAUUUAAUACGCCAGUCACCAGUUGGCUUGAUUUGGUUUCAGAGUGUAUUCAGUUCCACGCUCGCCCCUAUGUCAGUUCAUGAAAAAAUAGAUUUCUUGUUAUACACAACUACGUUUAGAGAAUUAUCAGAAUGGCCCAUCAACAAGACAUGAUGACUGCUUAAGCUCGUCAACUUUGAAGCAGAUGACAACAAUAUAAUUAGAGUUAGGGCCAUCUUCUAGACAAUAAACUGUCUUUACUUGAACAACCAUUUACAAAUUCUUGAAGGGCAUAUUUCAAAAAGGCCAAUUGUUGAGGGGUUCUUAGUACAUACAUACAUUUAUUUAUACGUCUCUCCAACUCUAUCAGCCUAAAAGUGGGUGCAAUGGUUGCCAAAGAAGAAAUGAACCACCCAAAAUUUGCCUUGCCAACAAAUUAGAACUGUAGCAAAUGGAGAGAAAUGAGUAGUGUGUACAAAUAAAGCAUCAAAAUCCAAACCCUAGACCCCAAACCUUAAAUCCGAGAACUAGAAAUUCCGCAUGACAAAAUAAGCACAGUACCCUUUCAGGCAGACCAAAAUCAUCAUUGCCUCAAAGUGAAAGCAAGAAAGAAGAAGGGGUAUCUAGAGGCAACAAAAGAAUGGGCCAUAAAAUGAACUUACAGUGGAGAUAGGAUCCACGGAUUGCUGUUCUCAGGAGGAAAGGUGAGGCAGCCCUUUCAACCUUCCAUCUUCCCCUCCCAAAAGCUUAAGAAAUUUCAAUGUGACACAUUUCACACCCAACGUGGUGGACCAGGUCUAGGCACUAAUUUCUCCAAAUAUAGGGCUGUCAGUUUAGCUCAUUGCUAAACAGCUCACACUAGGCUGAGUCUCCUUUCCCAAAAAGCCCAAAAAGAAAAGCCCAAAAAGAAACACUACAAAAAGACCAAUCGAAAUACCAAAAUAGAGAGUUUUUCUCUGUACAAUGGAGGAAAGAUAGAUAUGUUAUGAACAGAUAUACAGAUACACCAGGUGCAAGCAAUAAUUUCUUGUUGUUCCACAAUUCCUCAUCUCUGCUAGCCUGAAAGGUGGCUGCAAAUGGUUGCCUUGUAGGAAGAAGGCCAGCCAUAAUUUGCUGAACCACUCAGUAGAGAGUAGAAAAUUGCCGUUCAUAAGGUAAAACACUAAAACGCCAAACUCUGAACCCCAAAUCUGAUCUCCGGGAUUUAUAUCAAUGAGUCUUCAUCCAAAUCAGGUAAUCACCCUUUGGGCAGGCCAAUAUCAUCAUACCCUCAAUGAGAAAGAAAAAGAGAAAACAGGUAUCCAGCAGAAAUAGUCAAAAAUGAGGCAAAAAAAAAAAAAAGGAAAAGGAAGACAAAAAGGGGGGAGGAAAUCCCAAAACAGAAAUCGCAAGAUGGCAAGAGCUUUACAUCAAAAACCACUCCUCUGUUACAAGAAAAGCCCAAAACAUAAAAUCCAAAAAACUCCUCUAAAUAUCAAAAAGAAGGGAAAGCAAAUGAUAUAUCCUUCAAUUCAAAUCUUCUGGACAUAAAGGGAAAGAAAAAAAGGCUCAGAUUGGCCCAUUUAUCAGACAUGAUAUUUUUUUUUCUUUUUUGAGAGAAAGGUAGCAAGCUACCUGCUUUGUUCAUUUAUCAGGCAUCAGAAUUGCAGUACCUUCUCUAUGAGAAGGACUAUAGAUGAAUGAGAUGUACUUAUACACCAAGUACAGGAAACGAUAUAUCGCAUAUAUAUAUCUCUCUCUCUCUCUCUUAGCCAGUCUAAAGAGUGGCUGCAAAUGGUUGCCUGACAAAAGACAGACCAACCAGAAAUUGCCAUGCCAAAUAUACUAGAACAUCAGGAGACGAGGAAAUAGCAGAGCAUACGGAGAAGAUUCAAAAAUCCAAAUGUAAAAUCCAACUCAAAUACAGAGGAGCAAGGAUCUAAAUUAACAAGUCUGCAUCCCAAAUCAGGUAAAUAUCCCUGUAGGUGGGCCAAAUCAUCAUA
This 98707-nucleotide long non-coding RNA is filed under the name Ananas comosus (pineapple). Lineage: Eukaryota; Viridiplantae; Streptophyta; Magnoliopsida; Poales; Bromeliaceae. The record is from RNAcentral.